AUGUUGAUGGAUUCUACAUUGGGGAGCUGCCAAGAAUUAAUUGAUGAAUUUAAAUUGGUUUCCAAAAUCAACACUAAAAGUAAAAAAGGAUGCUGAGAUAUUAUUAUUAUUAUUAUUAUAGAUUGGUUUCUAGAAUUUCAGUUUUUUUUUUUUUUUUUUUUUCAAAUGAGAUGUUAUGAAAUUAGCCUGAGGGCCAACAUCCAAAUGGAAGCAAGUACUCUGAAGGGCUCUCCAUUUUUAAUGUCCUUUUAAAAAGACAUUAACAUAGGUGUUCACACGUUACUGCGAGUUUUAAAAGCGUAUAAAACAUGCAAAGAGUAUUAUGUAUAACCAUAUUAGGCAUGUAUGAAUAUAGGUUGAAUUUGUAAAUUUUGAAGAAUAUCUUUAUAUACAGAAGAAGAAAAUGUACCCUCUUAUAAAUUCUGAAAAUAUACUAAAAGAAGAAAGAAAAAAAUAUGAAGGCAAAAUUGCGUCAUAACGAUGUAUAAUGUACAUUGAUUUUGAAGUGGAUUGCAUACAAUUGUUUAAUUUUCUUAAAUUCUUUAAAGCAUAUUUAACCGAUAAAUAGAUUCUUCACAAAAAUAAUACAAUUACAUUUAGUGCCUAGUAAUUUUCAUAAAAUGUCUAUUCACAUUUGCUCACAACUUGAGUGAUGUCUAAAACAAAUGAUAGAUGAGGGUUAUAGGUUAUGACAUUCACAUUCACAUUUGCUCACAACUUAAGGGUUAUAGGUACAUUAACGAGACUCACACAAUAAAAUAAUUAACAAAUUUGACAUAUGAAAAUUCAUAUGUCAAUCCACAUAAGAUUGACAUAUCGAUUGGAGUUUACUUCUACCUUUAAAUUUGAUUACAUGACAUUUCACUUAGGAUUUGUCAUCUUCUUAGCAGAUGUUUUAAGUGUAAAAGAUUAAAAAAUGUCAAAUGCGUUUAGGUAUUUUUUCCUUCGAGAUACAAAUAAUUAUGAUUAGCAAAAGAAUGAAAAUGUCCCUAAUGGACUGCAAUUCAGAUACAAUUUGAUUUGAAGCACUCAAGCAAUUCAAAAAACGCUUGAAAGAUGAAAUUCAAACACUGAUUUAAUCUGCAACUCAUUCACAUGAGUCAAAGUAUUUCGGGACUGGAUUUUGGGCUUUGGGCUUUUGGGCUGAAAUUUGAGAGUUUUGUGCUGUGGGUUAAAAUUUGGGCUUUUGUACUAAAUUUUUGUCACCCAAUUUCAUAUCAAUUGAAAUUAAGUUUUUUACCUCAUACCAUCUAAGUUUCGAAGUUCCAAACUACUUAAUUUCAUACUCCUAUUUCUAAUAUAGUUUACUAUCAAACUACUUAAAUUCAACACUUAUGCAUGCAACGCAACGCAACUAAAAUAUAUAUAUAUAUAUAUGUCGGUUCGUUUUGAGAUUCCCAAACCAUUGAAUACGUAAUCCUAAUUCCAGUACCCAAACAUUCGAGAUCGAUUCAGUAUAGAGUCUCGAAAAUUUCGGUAUUAUCGAUUUGAGAAUUUUUCGGUAUUGGAUCGGGAUUUUUUUUUUGUUUGGUUUCGAAUUUUCGGUAAAAAUUCCAGUGAAAAAAAAUAAAAUAAAAUAAAAAAUGGGACUUUUCAGCAUAUGGUAUAUGCCAAAAGGACAGUUUAUACAAAUAGGACAGCCCCACGAGACAUUUUUCUUUUAUAGCCCCUUGUUCAAUGGAGUCUCAACGCGUUGGCUCCCCAUGUUCCUUCCAAUAAUGGUUCAACUCUUUCAUUCAACCUUGAUCAUCACCACCACCAUAUCACUCUUGCAGAGUUGUAGUAGUUGUAGGAAAUUUUAGCUUGAGCUCAUUUGGCCGAUUCCUCGAGUCCGAAUCUCCGAGGAGAGUAUCCGGAAAAUGUAUGAGCCAGUUAAACAUAGUAUUCCUCUAUUCAUAUGUAUGGAAGGCCUCAUUUGUACAUGAUAGACCUCGCGUACAUGUUUCGAGAGAAAGGUUAUAAACAUGUAAAACCUUGUCCGAACUAUUACCCAUGCCCUUAUAAUAUCGUACCAUUGGAGAAAACGGGGCUCCAAUCAUGGUUUACCUUGCAAACCGGCGGGGGACUCGAGGCGUGGGAACGACUACAUCUCGACCAGAUUUCAUCAAAGCGAGGCGAUCCUUGAUUGUGUUGUCAAACAAUCUGUUGUCUGGAUUCUCUGCAUAGCAGACAAAGUAACUACCUACACAAGCAUGUGGUAGUGCCAUGGCUAUCCUCGUCUGGAAAAAGCAUCAAAUUAAUAGAAAUUUGUUAGGUUAAGGUGUUAAUUAGGUAUUUAAAUAACUAAUAAGCAACAAAGAUUAGAGAAUUAACAAGUUGAUCACAUCGUUCAUAUGCAUAAAAUGAAUAAUAGAGUAUGAAAAGUGACCAACCAUAAGGUAUCCAAUGAGGAAUGUAAGGAGGGAAAUGGUGGCUGUGAAACCUUGGUGCACUCUAGCAGUCCAAGCCGCCACAAUUAUGACACAGAUAGAGCCGCUGCAGACGCCGGUUAGGAAGCAGAUUGAGCUGGUAAUGUCGGAAUCAACAAUUGGUUCCAUUUCUUGCCGUUCAAAGAGCUCCCAGGUGUCUUGUGAUGCCCUCACAAAACCUUUCCCAUACACUGCUAUCUGCAGCAAUUGGUCAUAUUGUGUUGUUGAAAUAUUGAUCAGCUGGCAAAACUAGUAUACUUUGCUGUGCAAAAUAAGGACUCGUUUGGAAGUAUUUUUAAAAUGACUGAAAGAGCUUUUGGCAAUGGUUUUUGGUACCAAUCUUUAGCAAAAAUGGAAGUGAAUCUUGGAAAAGCACUUGAAUUGCUUUUUGCAAGAAGCACUUGGUUGGUAUGCAAACAGAAUCACAAAGUCAAUUGACAAUGGCUUAUAAAUGUACCUGUAUGAAGGCCCAGCCGUUGCCAUAUCUGAAGAUGCACUCCAUGACUUUGAGACAGCAAUGUGCACAAGAAAACAUGAACUCAUCUUCUCCCUUGAGUAAAUUUAAAGCCCGAGCAACAAUUCUCAGUGCUUCAAUUGAAGGUACAAAGAGUGAACCCAAACAAGCACUUCCAAGAUUUUUACUCAAGGCUCUCUGGAAGCAAAAUUGAGUAUUAGAUUGCAUUCCUCUGAGAUAAUAAAGAGAAAUUACCCUACUGACGGUCAUAUUUGCAACGUUCCUCAUUACUUCAGCUAUCCAAGCUAAGCUCAAGACCAACAAAAUUAUGAUCAGUGGAGGAAAGUAGAAAUUCAAGGCUCCUAUCACAGCUAGAAUCAACAGGGACAUCCACAGAAAUCCGACCCCAAGCAUCCAAUAAGUGGGUUGAUUCAAAUCGGGGAACUUUGAUACGGGUUCGAGCGAUUUGAUCAAUAUCUUGCUACAAAAUCCUAUCCGCUGUGUGAUCCAACAAGCGUAUAAGCCAUUGCCUAUCGCAAAUGCAAUAAAGCAGACUGCAACGCCAUCGGUGGGAGGCUUUUGGAAGCAAAUUAGCAGAAUUCCGGCAGAUAGAGACAUGACAAAAGUGGUCCAUAGUAUGAAAUGAAUAAAAAACUUAGGCCAUAGCCUGACUGCCUUUUGCCAUGCAAAUGCAAGAACAAUGCUUAAAAGAGAUGCAGCUUCGACUUGUGGUAGAAAAAACUUCAACACUCGUUUCUCGGCUCUUUUAACCUUGUUGUCUGAUGCUUCUAUCAGCCCUUGAACUCCCUUGAACAGAAGGAAACCGACUAGCCCAAUGGCUGCAACCAUGUGCAGAAGAAACAGAAACAGAGACAUCUUGUUGGUGUAUUUUCUUGAAUUCAGUGUUGUAAAAGAUGGCUGGUCAAAAAAUUGAGACAAAACCCAUUAAAAUAUCAGAUUGAUAACUCAAAAAUUCUCCCCAAAAAAUUCAUGCUCUACCAGAUAAAUGGCUGCCAAACUGAUUAAAAAUAUUUAGGACCACAAGUUCUACAAUUAAUCUUUUUAUGUCAGUGGGAUCGGCUAUAUGAACCCUAUAACGUCAUUGUGCUCAGUUUUGCACCAAGUCUCAAUCUCAAUAAACAAGUCCCAGAAAAAUGGCUUGUAUCAUUUCCUUUCCAAACUCAUCAAAAGAUAUUUAGGAUAAAAUAACUUAUUUCUCAAAUUUUCAAGAAUAAAAAUGAGAUAUCUUUGUCUAAUCUUUCGUAAACAUCACUUAACUGACAAAACCUUAUAUCACUAAAUGGAUCGGCAAUAUGAACCUAGAUUGCCACUGCACUCUGUUUUGCGUCAAGUCUCAAUCUCAAUAAACAAGUCCCAGAAAAAUGAUCUGUAUCAUUUCCUUUCUACACUAAUCAAGGAUAUUUAGGAAACAAACAUAAAAAUCUCAAAUUUUCAAGAAUAAAAAUGAGAUAUCUUUGUUUAAUCUUUCUUAAGCAUCACUUAAUUAACUUGAAAAUCACUCAAAUUGCUUUAAAAUUACAACUGAAGAAAGUUGGUAUCCUAAGUCGUUUAAAAACUUUAAUUUUGUUUUGAUGAGAAAGAUUAAAAUAAAAUAUAAAAAAAGAAAGAAAAAGAAAACUUACUUGUGGGGUUGGUGUAGAACGAGGCUGAGAAUGCUGGGGAGUGUUGGUGUGAGAGGCGAACUGAGGAGGGGAAGGAGUAGCAGUAGCACCACCAUGACCACCACCAAAGCCUCUGAUAUUAGAGAACCGAGCCGGCGGCGGCGGCGGAGUUGCAGCUCUGGUUUUGCUAUUUAUUACAAUUCUCAAAGGGUUUGUUGGAUUCAGCCUCUGCAGCAUUGACAUAUGAACAUCUCCUUCACUCUCAUUCUGAUUGAUAUUAUUAUUUCCAUGAUUAGUAUUAAUAUUAAUGUUUCUCUCAGCUGCCACCGCCUGUUCUUCAAAACCCACCUCCCCUUCCUCAACAUCUCUCACAUCCUCCUCCUCCUCCUUCCUCCCAUAGUCCUCUCUCUCCUCAAGCUGCUCUCUUUCUCUCUCCUCCACCUACAUGCCACAGCAAAGUGGACCUUUUGGCAUUAACUGAAAUGUACACAGAGCUAAUAAAAAACAAAAAAAAUUUAAACAGCAAAAAAGAAAUGAGAAAGAUGGGUUGCUUUACAGGCUCUGCGGCACCCAUGCCGGCGGUAUGACGUGACACCGGUGUCAGCGGCGGUGGUGUUGUCUGGAAUGUUUCGUGUUUUGUACGUAUUUGUGUAAUUAUCUCUCCGAAGUCUAUCUAUCUAUCCAUGGUUGUGGUGGUGCUGUUACUGGUGCCGGUGGAUGCUGACUCUUCUCUCCUAUUUUUCACAAACGUAAAUACUGACCUCAGAGGAUCUGACUGUGUGGGACCCGCCCGGUCAUAGCACAGGUAUGGCUAACGUGCUCCAGUGGCGCGUGUGUGACUUUGACCAAUGAGAGAGGGCCUGGUGGGUUCAUGUCAGAUUGAGGAUGAAGCACGUUUAAAAUAGAGUUUUUCUGCGGUUGGUGUCUGGGAGUGAAUUGUCAAGAAAAAGCAGCCUCUACUGGUAAAUGACCAAUGUUUUCAUUAAAAAUACGUUUGAAUAUAUAAUAAAAAAAUUAAGGAUUCGUUUGGAUGUUCUUUUAAAAUGACUGAAAGCGUUUUUAGAGAAAAUAUUUUUUUAUUCCAAAAGCCCUUAAAGUGCUUUAUGCAAGAAGCACUUUCCAAAAUAUACUUGCAUUUUUACUAAGAAUUAGUUCUAAAAAUAUUUUCAAUAAAAGAGCUUUCAGUCAUUUUAAAAGAACAUCCGAACGAGUUCUAAAUGUUUUUUGAAAAAAAAAUAUGCAAUAUGCGCUUUUUAAAAAAAGUGCUUAUGGAACACUGGUAACUUCUAUGUGGAAGAUAGUUACAAACACGGAAAUUUUUCAUUACUAUUUAUCAAUCAAUGAAUGAUAAAUAGUAUGCAAUAUGUGCUUUCAGUCAAAACUAUUUAUCAAUCAAUGAAUGAUAAAUAGUACGCAAAAUGUGCUUUCAGUCACAAACACGGAAAUUUGUUCCAUACUAUUUAUCAAUCAAUGAAUGAUAAAUAGUAUGUAAUAUUUUCAACAAAAGUGCUUUUAGUCAUUUUAAAAGCACAUCUAAACGAGCUAUAAGUGUUUUUUGAAAAAAGUAUGCAAUAUGUGUUUUUUUUUUAAAGUGCUUAUGGAACACUGGUAACUUCUAUGUGGAAGAUAGUUACAAACACGGAAAUUUGUUCAAUACUAUGUAUCAAUCAAUGAAUGAUAUGGGAAGAAAUUACAUACAUUAAUAACGAAAUAUUUCUAACAAAAAAUAUGAAAAAUUAAAUUUAAUAAUAAAACACUCGUAACAUUAAAUGUUGUGCAACAUUAACCUUAUAAACGUUUUUAGUUGUAAAAACAAUUUUGGCCCGUACAAACACAAUUGUUUCAAAUUGGAUAUAUCUAUCUAUUCUAUUAAGAGCACCCUCAUUGUCAACUUUUUUUCCUCUUUUUUUUUCAAUUUUGCCCUCACUUUUUGAUACACAAUACUUAUAUAAGAAGGGCAAAAUAGUAAUUUUGUAUCUUUUGAGAAAAUGACAACCAUAUCCUCAUUUUUCUUAUGGGAGAUUAUAUUCACACACUCCAAAUUACUUCUUUCAUACCCUUUUAAUUUUUUAAUAAUUUUUUAUCAAGUGUUAGUGGUGUGUAGAAAAUAUUAAAAAAUUAAAAAGGUGUGGAAAAAGUAAUUUGGGGUGUGUGAAUAUAAUCUAUCUUUCUUAUUUUACCCUCACUUUAGAUACAUAAUAUUUACAUAAAGAGGGCAAAAUGGUAAUUAUGUAAUAUUAAGAAAAAUAUGCCCUUAUUAAAAGAUUCCAUACUCUUUUUAAAAAAUGUAAAAACUAAUUACACUCCUUAAUAAAAAAAACAAAAAAGAAAAUGAAAUUGUUUACACACAAAGUGUGUGCUCAUCUUCUAGUACUUAUAAAUGAAAUGAACAUUAACUUAUUCUGAAAUAUAAAACUAUUUAUUGACCUAAAUUAAAUUUAUUACCAUUUCUAAGGUAAAUGAUAAACUCACAUUUUUGUUCCCCUUACACAGCCACUACAAGCCCAUGUUUAAUCUUGUUCUUUAUUUUCGUUUAAUUUAUUCAACUUGUUGGCUAAAAAUAAAAAUUAGUAUUUGAGACAGUAGAGAGGGUGUGUGAAGAUAUGCUGUUUAUUUUCAAACAACCCUCAAUGCAUAGAGAAACUUUCUUGAAACACCACCGAUAAUAUAGAUAAGUGUCAUCAGUUGUAUGAGAAAAUUCAUUUUCAUCUUCAAAUGAGUUGUCAAAUUUUAAACAUAAAAUUCAAAUUCUGCAGAUUAUGUGGCACUUUGACAUUUUUAAAGUUGUAUUCUCCACUCUAUAUGUCAAAUUAAACUAUUAUUUUAUUAUAUUAUUUUAUUUUCAAAAUUUCUGAUUUAUAUUUUAAAAGUUACAUUUAUAAUAACUCAUGAUAAAAAAUGAUAAAAAAUGAAAACUAAUGAAAAUGACUUGAAAACUUUGAGUUUUAAUGAUAAGGACAAAAUAAAGGGUAAAGUGAAUAGUAUAAGGAUUGACUUUUUAAUGUAAAAAUGUAAUUUUUCAUUAAAGUGAACAGUACCUCGAGCUUUUCGUUAAAACUUUCUAAUAAAAAUUCUUAACAAGAUAUGUGUGCUGAAGCUGCAAAUACGAAGAAGCUACAGGAUGCGUGUUGCCGGCUUGUCAAUCAAAUACGAAGAAGCUGCAAUGUAUGUUGAAGCUGCAAUUCGAGACAUCUGCAAACUCAUUGGCCAUUUAAAUUAAUAUAAAUUCAGUCUAAAUAAAAGCAGACAUGAAACAUCAUAAACCCAUUAAUUAAUCAAUAAAAUGCAUUAAAUAAUUAAUUAAAAAAAUUUGAAGCUGCUGUUAAUUUUGGCAGCAAGGGUGACAUAUGUCAAUCUAUGUCAUGCCACAUCAGAUUUAAAUUUUUGGUUAGAAAAUAUUGUUGCUGUCUUGUUUGAAUGUUAGUGCUAAGUUAGACAUUUUGACAUCUCUUUUAAAAAUAGUUGAAGGGUUUAGACUAACGGAAGUUUGGAUUUUAUGGUUGCGGAAUUAUUGGACAGAUGAGAUGAAAUUAUAAAAAUGAGUAAUGGUGGCAUAAGAAGCAAAGCAUUGACUUUUGUGUGAGUAAAGGAGAAAGAGGCGUAUGCAAAAAGAAAACAAAAACCCACCUUUUCGUAUGCUUGUAUUAAUGUUGCAUGAAAUUCCAUAAAUUGCUUGCGUUUACCAAUUGGGAACAAACAAGCAAGCAAAGUAUAAACUUAGUCCUCAAAUUAAUAUAGUUGUGUUCAACAUUAAAAAAAAAAUGAAACCGCUUAAGUGGUGUUCACUCAUUGGUCGCUCAAGUGUGUUAACACGAGGUUUAUUUAUAUUUUGGUCAAAUUGGAUUAAUUAUUUCUAUGGUCAUGUGGUACUUGCAUGAUGACCUAUAUGGUAAAAAAAGAAAAUUAAGAUUUAACUCUUAUAGUGAAAGACGGUUAUGAAUUUUAACUCAAAAAUGUGAUUUCUAUUAAAAGUCUGUUAAGAGUAGGGGUAAUAUUGUAUUUUCGGCCCCAAUUAGCAUAAAAAACAAAAACAAAAAACAAAUAAAAAUCAUACUAUUUAAUUUUACAAGAAUAGAAAGAGAAAAAAAAGCACCAAUUGAGAGCUCACGAGUCACAACCGCCAUAACCUCCUCAUUCACGCCCAAAUUCCCCAUAUCCCAAAAUUCUCAAUCUUCUUAUCGCUUUGAUUAGUGAUAGUUCAAGGGAUGGUUUAUUGGUCUUUAAUCUUAAAAUUGUGGUUAGCUCGCCGGUUCGGAUCUAAAGCAACGAGACACAUGAAAACAAAGAGAGUAGACGAAAAUGUUGAGAAAAGCGACGGCAACGGUCAAUGGUCGGACCCAUCACCAAAGUUCACGUUGUUGAUCAAUGAAGAUGUUGGGGUGUAGACUGUGUAGUUUAUCAGUAGGAGCCAUAUUAUUAUAACGAUAAUGUUAGAGAAAUUAAAUUUAUAGACAAAAUUUUGAAAAUUAAAUGACUAAAAGUUAAUGAUUAGUUUAUUAUUUAAGCAUGAUAAACAUGUUUAUUCAUAUUGAUGACAUAUUAUUUAAUUUAAAAUUUUUGUCUUUAUAUUUAGGGAACUUUAACGAAAAACUUUCAGUAUUGUUCACUUUAACGAAAAAUCAUUCUUACACUAAAAAGUCAAUUCUGGUACUAUAUAAAGGAAAACUAAUGAAAAUGGUUUGAAAACUUUGAGUUUUAACGAUAAAGACAAAAUAAAGAGCAAAGUGAAUAAUACCAUGAUUGACUUUUUAGUGUAAGAAUGUGAUUUUUUGUUAAAAUGAACAGUACCAUAAGUUUUUCGUUAAAAUUCUUUAUAUUUAAUCUUCCUAACAAUACAUGUAUAAUAAAGAAAUACUUAAAAGGUGAACUCUUUAAUAUAUUUCAUCUUAUUAGUCAAGACUAGGGGUGGAUUCGGUUUAAAUUGGUUCGGUUUUUUGCCAAAACCGAAACUAAACCGAAAUUUCGAUUCGGUUCAUUUUUUUCGGUUCGGUUUCGGUUCGAUUUCGGUUUUUUGUUUUUUUUUUCUUUUCAAAAAAUGAAAAACAUUGAAAUUUUAAAUUUUAACAUAUCCAACACAAUCAUAACAUAAGCAUUCUAACUAGAAUCAAAGACAAUGAAAAUAAACAUUUAAAGUUGAACUAAAAUCAUCAAUCAAGUCUUCCAAAGUCCAAACUAACAACGUCACAACACAAAAAUCGUACAAAUGACUUAGAAAAGUUAAAUUGUAUGAUGUUGUUCAAAGAUCAGGGUUGUUUGCUUGUAACUGCAAGUUGACAACUUGAUUAGUAAAAGUAAUACGUGGGUGGAUUUAUUUAGUGUGUGUUGAAUUCUUUUCCAUCACAAAUUACCCAAGUAAUCUACCCGAAAUAAAUGUUUAUGGAUUAUGUUACAUGUUAUAUGAGAGUAGAUUUGGAAAAGAAAGUUGAGGCAGAAGUAGACAGUGCUAUGGAGAUGGAUGUAGGUACUUCAGGAGGAGGUUUGGUUCCGGAACCUUAUAUGAGGAGAAAUAAUAUGUUAGGGUUUAGAGUUUUUAUAGGCUUUUUUUUUAAUAUUUUGAGCUUAAAGUUUGGCAACACAUUGGGUUUAGCACAUUUUAACUUACAAAUUGGGUUUAGAAAAUAAUACCAAAACAAAUAAUUAAAUAAAAAAUUAAUUUAAUUAAUUCGGUUUGGUUCGGUUUCUAAAUCACUAAAACCGAACCGAACCAAAAGAAUUCAGUUCGGUUCAAUUUUUUCAAUUCAGUUUGGUUUUUUCGUUCGGUUCGAUUUUUUCGGUUUCGGUUCGGUUUGGUUUUCGGUUUUUUUCGGUUUUCGAUUUUUUGAACCCACCCCUAGUCAAGACUCAAAGUAUUAUUGUUCUUUACUACGCGCAUCACUGAAUUUUCGAUGCUAGUCCAAGUCGUGUAAAAUCUCCAUAGUUCCAUAUGCUUACCCUUUUGACCUGUAACAAAGUUGAAGUUGAAAAGUAAAAAUUGAGAAAAGUCAAAGCGAAAUUGGAGAACUACAUGCACCAGAAACUCCACGUGGAUGUGACAGACCAUCUGGCGGGCCCCACCUUCGGGUGAGAAGAUGUAAAGGUGUUGAGAUUAGUGGGCCUGGCCCAUCAGAUGGAUGACUCAGAUACACCUCAACUUCGUUUUAUGCGUCUGCAUCACAGUCCCGUCCUUUUGUAUUAAAGGACGGAAAAUUAUUGUAUUACAAAGUAGAAAUAGACAGCAUCAAUUUUUAUUUUUUUUAUUGAACAAUAUUAUCUUCGUUGAAGGAAAGGAAUAAGUUUAACUUCACAAUGAAUUAACAAUAAUAUAAUUAAAUUCGUAUUUGAUGAGAAUCGAACUUAAGACUUCUCACUUACAAAUGAAGAGAAAUAUCACUAGACCAUAGUACUAAAUGACAAAGAGCACCAAUAUUAGAACUAAACGGUUUUUUAUUUAUAAGUAAAAGAUCUCAUAUUCAACUUACAUGAAUGACAAUAACGUAUUAUAAUUGUGUGAUGUUUAAUACCUAGUUUGUGACUAGCCUGUUGUGUGGUCUAGCCCAGAUAUCCCUCCACUAGAAUAGAAUCCCUUUAAAGUAGAAUAUCGUUGUAUUUAAAAUUAAAAAAAUCAAAAAGUGAAAGAUUCAUGGUUCGACUCAAAUUAAUGACGUUUUCAAUAAAUUAUAAUCUUUUUGUGGCUUAGCUCAAUCUCCCUCCCCCUCCUAGAGUCCUAGGGUAUAAAACCCGUUUAAUUUCACCAUAAUAUUGUAGCGACAUUGGUAGUGCUAUGAUGAAAUCAUACUUAAUUUCACCAUAAUAUAGUAGCAACAUUGGUAGUGCUAUGUGUAAGAACUUGUAAACAAACAAACACCAAGACCAAAGCAUGAACCACAAACAAAAGGAAACCAACCCAGUUAUGUGCACAUAAAUAACCAGAAAGGAAAACAUACCUGCAGCUGCACCAAAACCCGUAGCCAUUGCAGCAAACUUUCAGUGAUCCUUCUCUUCUCUUGCAGAUUGUCAAGAGCUCGACUCACAGAUAGGUUAUGGUCCAAUAUGAGCGUUAGUUCUGUGAGAAGAAAGGUCACUAUAUAUAUACAUAUAGACUUCACCAAAAUAGAUCAGGAUUUCCUAUCAAAAUCCUCAUCGGAAACAAACACUUGUUCCUAAUGCUAACCAAAAUCCUUUUCAGUCAAGGAUCAACAUUCCUUUCAUCAAUAGGACUUUCUAUCCAAAUUGAAUACCUAUAACUGGUCCUAAAACUUCUCUAUCUCAUACUCAUACUCAUAUUCUUACAUUCUCCCACUUGAGUAUGAGAACAGUUUCAAGUACUCAGUUUAUCCAAUCAUACUUAGAUAGAAGUGAUCACUAACAGAUAAUCAUCUCAAAUUAUUAUAAAGGUGAUCACAUAAUUAAGUCAUUCACCAACACACAAGUACAUAGAUACAACCAGCUUACAUAAACCAAAACAAUGAAUUUAUAAUUGCCUCUGCAACACAAAAUACAGAUUUAACUUACAAAUCACAAUGUCCAGUUCAUGUUCAUAGCAAUGUAUCUAAGCUCAAAAGUAAACCAAGACGUCUACUCUCACUCAUAUAGCCACCAAAUCUUUUGGAUAACAAAAGCUUAACCUCACAUACAACUUACCCAUGCAUUUUAAAAUAUUGAACUUAAGAAUUUUUUCUGUUACAUCGCAGAAUUAACUCAAAAGUUACAACAUACUUAAUUUGCACUUUGUAAUUAUGUGAACCAAUAUAGCAAAAACCAAACCAAUUUGCUCCCACUUAUCUAGGCUAUACUUAACACAAACAAGUUAAGUAUAAGUUAAUAUCAACUGUAUUAACUAACAGUCAUUGCAAUACACUAAAUGUCUUAUCAAUGUGAUCAAUUGCCGCAACCAAUAUGCAAACAAAUUCCAUGAUCACAUUCAUCCAAUUUGUAUUUACAACAAUGUGAUUUUACUUGACCAAACAAACACAUAAAUUGAUUUGCUCCCACUAUAUCAAGUUAAGUUUAGUUCCAGCAAAUAGCACUAAACUUCUCAUUACUUAAACAAAUUAAGUAACAUAAAUAAUUACCAAUUGCUUCAAUAAAACCAUAAUCUGGUUUUCAAGCAUCCAAAUGAAUUAUAAUGGCCGGCCUAAAUAACCUUAUGCUUACAUUCGAACAUAUGAUUCUCCCACUUAAGCAUAAGCAGAAUGUACUGCACAGCCAAUAAAGAAACUGGAGAUAUGAACCAAUUGAUUCCCGAUUCCUUACCAAUUGCAUAAUCUCAGUUUAGUCAAAUACACCUAAAUCAUUAUGCAAACAGUCUAUGUAUCAAAAAAUAGUCACAAUCCAUUCGGAAAAACUUAUCUCACAUAAACCCAAAAUCACCAGUUUCAACAAUAAUCAAAAUCAGAAUAGCAAGCACAAUAUUCUUGCAUUCAAUUUGAUCCUAACUAGUUCAAUACCCAUCGAGCAAGAUCAACUAAAUUUUGAUAAUGUCUGGAUAUAAAGGCACAAGUCAUCUUGAUUAAAACAAGAUAAUCAAGAUGAUCAUCCAAUAAAAUUUAGUGUACUUAUAGAUUUAAUACAUAAUAUCAAAUCUCUUACACUUACAAUAUAUCAAGUGAGAUGAGUUUCAGAAUACAUUCUUGCCAACAAGGUUUCACUAAACAAUUUAUAUCAUUUCAUGCAGGUACUAACACAAGAGUCUUCACAUGUUUUUGGUUAUACAGUGCAGAUAUUGGCAUUAACGAACCCAAAAAUUUCGAACUACAUCAUUCACAUAUAUGGCAACACCCCCAAAACCUAUUAUAUAUAGUGUAACCAAAAUUGGGAUAUGAAUUACACUCAUAAUUUUAAAAACGUCAUUAUGGAUACUCGUAUAAUCCAAUUUUGCUUUUCUAGAAUAAUUCAAACCAAUCAGACCCACAUAAAAGCCACAGGUAUUUGGUAGCAACAAUAAGUCAAAUUCUAUUAUCAUAAUUCAUAAUGGAAAAUCAUGAUGCAAGCUUCCAAGUUUCAAGCAAGUUAAUGAGAAUCUUACAUCUGCUUGAGACAACAAAAUAGCAACAAAACAUUAUUUUCCACCCAAUCCAAUUACACAGGCUCUAACUCAAAAAUAGAAGAGCAAUGUGUACACCAAAUAUUAGUCUAAUGAAUCUUUAUGCAGAAAGAAUGAUUCCAGUCAUCUCACAUAAAUCAUAAGUUGACAUCUAUAGGGACUUCGAGUUUAAUUGUGCCUUCACAAAAUAAACAAGCAUACUCGGAAUAGCAAAAGCCCUGAUUCAUUAUGCUCCAACUCAUCGCACUAUAAUCACGCAUAUAGGAGAACAAUUAAUUAUGCAUGAAACAGUGAAUUGAGUUACCUGAAUGCAUCAUUGGACUCGUAUUCGACAACCCGAUUGCAAUUCCUUUGCUCCAAAUCACGAAACAAAUUAUCCAUCAAUGCUCGAGACUCAUCCAUACGGAUUGCCAUGGUUACAGACACGCCGAACCAAAAUCAUCGCCAAACCAUGAACGUUAAUAUCUCUUAGACAAACAAAAACUUAUUAAUGUCGUCAUAAUCAAGAUUUCAUCUUUCUUUUAUCUUACUAAUAUUUGGUCAGGCAUAUUUUAUACACAUCUUUAUUCAUAUAAAGGAUUAAGAAACCACAGCUACCUCAAUCUUCAGACAUCAUAAUGAACACAGCGGAAGCAAUAAUUCUCAAAAUUAGAACUAUGAUGUUUAAGAUAAAUGUGUUUUGCUAAAUCACUUUAUUGAUCUCCAAAGAAGCAAGCAAGAAUAAGUUCACCCUUUCCCACGUGCAGCAUAAUAUAAAUUGUUAUCAUACCAGAUUUAUACCUGAUUCACAUAAUCUGCAGAAGCAAAGCAUAUUCAUAUACGCUAAAACAUACACAGGUAUUGAAAGAAUUAAAAGCAAUCAUACCUUUUAAUCACUGCAGACUUAUAGACAACAUAUGCAACAACAGGCAUCAACAGACGUCUCAUGCAUAAUGAUCAUUUUUCAUGGUUGUUUAAGAAAACACAAAACCAUCAGUAGAAAAUGCAAAUCAAAAUUUUUCCGCAUAUAUGGAAAAAUUCAGCCUUGAUUAUCAGCUCUAAUCAGAAAUAUCAACACAUACCUCCUGCAGAUUUCAAUUUGGAACAGCGCAAUGGAAAUAAUUAUCCAAAUUGAAAAAAUUAAUUUAAGAGUUGAGAGAAUCACAAAACCCAGAACAUGUUUUGAUCAAUGAAGUUGCUAAUCAAAACCCCAAAUUGAGAAAACAACCUCAACCAAUAGAUUUGCAGAAAAAAAAAAACCAAUGGUAAUAGUUUAAAUAUAUUUUGUCAUUAUCUGGAGAUCACAUACCACCGAUGCAUCUAAGAUGAAAACAUUGAGGUUUGCACCAGCAAUUGGCCACAUAUCAAUCCCCAAAAAUCCUGACGGUCAAUUUUAUUUUAUUAAUUCUCUGCAUAUUGAAAACGCAAUGUCGUUUUUGUGAAACUCUUUUCCAGCGAAUUCGUUUAAACCAAUUUCGAAACCUAGAAGUCGCAAAAUUUACUUAUCUAUUUAUAAACACAUUCGACUUUUCUCCUUUACAGAUUUGAACUCAUGUUUGGGUCUUGUGGCUCUGAUACCACAUGUAAGAACUUGUAAACAAACAAACACCAAGACCAAAGCAUGAACCACAAACAAAAGGAAACCAACCCAGUUAUGUGCACAUAAAUAACCAGAAAGGAAAACAUACCUGCAGCUGCACCAAAACUCGUAGCCAUUGCAGCAAACUUUCAGUGAUCCUUCUCUUCUCUUGCAGAUUGUCAAGAGCUCGACUCACAGAUAGGUUAUGGUCCAAUAUGAGCGUUAGUUCUGUGAGAAGAAAGGUCACUAUAUAUAUACAUAUAGACUUCACCAAAAUAGAUCAGGAUUUCCUAUCAAAAUCCUCAUCGGAAACAAACACUUGUUUCCUGAUGCUAACCAAAAUCCUUUUCAGUCAAGGAUCAACAUUCCUUUCAUCAAUAGGACUUUCUAUCCAAAUUGAAUACCUAUAACUGGUCCUAAAACUUCUCUAUCUCAUACUCAUAUUCUUACACUAUGAUAAAAUCAUACUAAACGGGCCCUUAUGGUAUGCAGAAGAAAAAACUGUAGUAUCCAAUCCAAUUUAUCGUAGUCGAUUAAUUAACAUAUUGACUACCAAUUAUCAAUAUGUUAGCUGACAUUCACCUCUCCCAGACCCUGCGUAAAGCGGGAGCCUUGUGCACUGGGUAUGACCUUUUUUGACUACCAAUUAUCAACCCAAUGGGUUGAUUUGUCACAUUCUCAAGUAUCAAAUGAGGGAUGUUUCACGGCAUUAUAUUAGAUGAAACAAUAUGUAGUAUUGGAAAUGACACAAAACAAGUCUCAAUUACCAUCCCAAAACUUCGAAGCCUAAUCGAAUGAUACAAACUAUUUUACGAGUUGGAGCGGAACACGAAAUCUAACAAGACCACUAACAUAAACACCACAAAAUUUUCAACCAUAGUUUUUCAAGUGUUUCCUGACAACCUAUCAGUCUCCGCAUCCAUAGUUCCGCAAGCUUUGGAAACUACUAUUGCUUUGUAGUGUUACCGGAUGCUUGAGGUGUUUUGACAAUACUUAAUUGACCGCCUUCCUUGUUUGCAGCAGUGGCCGCCUUCAUCUCAUUGCAGUGGUUUAUGAACUUUGUCAUCUCCUAAAUCCAUCAGAUAAGAAAGUAAGAACCAAGAAGAAAGAAGAGAUGUAAAGCAAAAUGCUAGUUUUCAUAAAGGAGAUACCAAUCGAUAUCCAUAUAAAGAAAAAAUGGAAUUACGGCAUAAUAUGAAAGGAAUCGGGAGUAAAAGUUGCACACAAAAUGUUAGGGUUCCGCAUCCUAUAUAUUCAAAAACAGAUAAAUGCCGAUGGAAUCCAUGAGCACAUCCAACGCGUUACAAUGAGAUAAAUAUUCAGAUUAGUGAAUUUGAAUAUAUUGUUAGGGAGGUAUUGACUCAACAAUAUAUCUGGUUACUAGCACCUACUUCAACGGGUUUAUGUACUAACACGGAUGUAGCAAGGUGACUAGAACCCCCAACUUCCCACACUACGGUUCCCUCGUCUCUGUAAACCUCAUAUGACAUCAACAAAUUUCCGGUACUCGGUAAUUAUGACAAUAGAUGGUAAUGCACAAUUUACUAACUUAAGAAAAAAUGUUAUGCAUUGGAACAAAUGGCAAAAUAGCACCACGGUUCCUAGGAAAUAAAUAGACUGGCUACACUCAAUAUCAUUUAAGAUUUGGGGGAACAAUGUCAGCUUAUUAACAUUUGAUGUAGCAAGCAACAUACUACAGUUGAAAAAAUGGAACAACAGAACGCCUGUUGCUAUUUAAUACGCACGACCGGAAAUCCAUAGUAGAAGUUGUAGCAUACAGUUGUUUUUUCAAGUUAUUCCAUACACCGGUGAAACAUAAACUUCUCCCCUCCCCUCCCUUCCCCUCACACUUUUUCUUGUCUUUCGCUCUCUAUAAAGAAGUCAACACAAGAAGUUGAUGUUGCUUAAUCAUGACCGUUCAAAUAGGAGGGGACGGAAGGGGAGGGACAUUUAGAGGGGAUGGAAUCCUUCUCCCAAUAAAAGAGGUAAGAAAGGAAAUGAAUCAGAACAGAGUUUGGGCCCGUUUACAAUUCCUUGUAUGGAAAGAACUUCCACUAGAAGCGCUUUCUAUGAGCCCAAAGCACUAAUAAUUUUUCUACAAAACGCAACCAAAAGUGUUUUUGGCUGUACGAAAGCGCUUUCGGCCCUCUAGAAGCAAUCCCAAACAAAAUCCUACGGAGACAUCAGUACAAGAGGAUUUGAUUUUUCCUGAUAUAUGAACCAAAAGAAAGACAUAACCUGCUAUCCUCAGAGAAAUAACUGCAUUUGGAGCAAUUCCUUAAUUAAAUGUGCCCCAAAAAAAUACUCUCAGUUCAAUCUAUUUAACUCUCCAAUAUUACUAAUUCUAAUUAAUAAUAAAGAAUCAAUUAAUGAGACUGAAAUUAAUCAAACAACAAAUGAAAUAAAACUUAUAGAUGCCGUUUUAUCGCAAUAGCGGAAAGCAAUAAUGCAAGCUCGAUCCCCACCGGUCCACCUCCCCUUAACAUUUAAGAAUUUAACUCACUAACGCUAUCGUUUGAAAAAAUAAAAAAGAAAUGAAAUAACAAUUAGGUUCACUUGAAGCAGAACAAAAAUUGAUAAUUCUGGACUGAAAUUAAUCACCAAUCAAAUCAAAUAAUACAAAAUCAUGAGAGAGAGAGAGAGAAGGGAAAAAAAACAUACCCGAUCGGAAUCCAUCUCGCCGGUGACCUUCGAAGGCUUGAUUACUCGCUUGCCUUUGCGAAUUUGAGUCAUUUUUCCAUGGCGGUUGGGAGGAAUCGUUUUCCUCUUCUGCUGCCCUUUGAACAGCUUCCCUUUCUGCGUCAUCUCUCUCUUCCUAUUUCUCACUUCUCUCUCUUCAGCGCCUCUGCGGCUUUUUUUUUUCUUUUCUACUCGGACUCGACUAGGGUUUUGUUCAGGGCUUUUGGUUUGGGUAAUCCCUGUGCACCCAAUGAUAUGCUCAAGAAACCCAACAUUCCAAAUAAAUCUCAUAUUCCCAGAUUUACCCCUGUGAUUGAAUAAUCUAAAUUACAUUUUCCUUCCUCUAUAUUAAUGCUUUUUUCAAUUUUAUCCUCUUAAUUUUUGUUUUAUGAUAUAGCGAAAUAUUUUCACUAAGGGGUAGGAGAAUAAAUAGGUAUAGAACUCGUUGCCACAAUAUUCAAAUUUAAAACGUCUCAAGGUGAAGAGGAAUAAUAAAUUGUAAUACUAAAUGACUAUUUUGUCCUCCUAAUUAGUAGUUACCUAAUAGUUAAACAAUUAUUAAUCUAAUUUUUGGAUUGCAAAUUUUCAUGAGUGGUGAUAUUCCCACCCUGAUGUCUUAUUUCCUCACCCACCAUUUAAUGAAAAUGUUAAUAACAUAUUUAUCUUUUUAAAAGAAGACUCUUGAAUCCCUAUUUAAUUCAGUACUAAAAUUUUGAAAAAACAAAAAAUAAUUUAAAAUAAUAAUAAAUAAUGGUGGGUGGGGUGUGAUAUCUUUGGUGGAAAGAGGUUGGGAAAGAUUUGGGUUAGAAUCGAUGGAAAGGUUGGAGGAAGGAAUGAGAGUGUGCUAGACGAAGGCGAGAAACUUCAAUAGAGAAAAAAGAGAAUUGGGUGUAAGAUCUGCGGUUUUGACAAAAAGGGAGGAAGAAGAGUGGUCCCAAGACGGGGGUCUCUGCAGGACGGCGAUAGGUGUGAAGGAGAUGAUGAACGUCUAGGUCUUAUGUCUUGCAUUUUCUUUCAUUUUUUCUAUUUUUAUAUAUUUAUUUAUAAUAUUAUUUAAAGAUAUAUUAGAGUUAUUUAAAAAAAUAUAUAAUAUGGUUAUUUUGGGAAUAAUGAUGGGUGGGGAAAUAACAUUUUAUUUUUUUUAUUUUUUUAUGGUGGGUGGAAUUAUCAUGUGGGUGGAAAAAUAGGACAUUGGGAUGGGUCUAGUAACACUCAUUUUCAUUUCUAUUGAGAAAUGUAUCUUAAUAUUACCAUUCAAUAAUAUUCUUCUUAUUUUGUAAAAUGAAAGUUUUAGGUUCAAUUCCAUCCCAAACCACCCAUAUAAAUUCUGCACCUACUCCCUCCCCUUCCCCAUCACCCAAUCACCAUAAAUAGUUACGAGCACUUGGGAGUCAAAAAACAGUAUCAUGGUUCCUUUCGAGUUGGUCGUCGCACUGUGUAUAAAUGAAUGGGAACAGUGUGUGUUUAUUAUUAUUUUUAACUGCGCCUCGACUGAUUUUACAAACCACCAAUCUGCAUCAGAUGUUUGAAUUAAGUCAAUGUGAACCUGGAAGAACUUCUCAUUCUUCUAGUGUUUCUAUAGUUUUGAUUGCACUGUGUAUAUGAAUGGAUAGGUGACAGGAACAUAUAUUAAUCUUACUCAUUCAGGUGAUAAUUACUAUAUUUUUAACUUAACUUGUACCUCUGACUCUUAUAUUGCCAGAUUAUGAAUCUAGACCAUUGAUCUGGUUGAUUUUAAUGAUCUAGCAACGUUUGUCUGGUAUUACAAGUCCGGCAAGAGCGUUACUCUUUAUAUAUAUUCAGCAGAAAAUAAAGAAGCAAUCAAAUGAUCUCCCUAUUUCUGGCAAUGUCUUCGACUUUCUUUUAUGUCCAUUUUCCUUACGUUGGUUCAGUUUAUUUCCAAAUACACCGAUUUGAGCCGAAUGCAGGGAACAUAUAGUCUAUGAGGGAGACGCAGCACCUUCCUUUGGAGCAAUUCAACUAAUUAAGAGAAAUGAGUAUGCUUGUAGUGUUGGCUUCCGCUAUAUAUCUACGCCGAGAAAGUGCCCCUUUUGGAUUCUGCGACUAGGAAGCUCACUGACUUCACAACUCACUACUCAUUCAUAUUUGUUUACACAAGGUAACCUUAGAGUUUCUGUGAUCAAUUAUCGUAUUGGAUAAUAUAUCUAGAUUUUGAGUCUUUUGAGUACUAUGAGUGCAAGCAAGUUUUCGAGCGUUGUUGUAUCUAUGGGGACUACCGUCAUUUACAAUAUAUAGGUGCACACUUGGAACUGAAAACUGAAAUCAAAACACGGAUCAAAUUGAGUCGCACACCAGACAGUUCGAUUUUUACAAUUUUGCAACAGUUUUGGUUUGAAACCUAACUGCAAGCUACAAAAACAGUUUGGUUGAAACCUAAAUGCCUUAUUGUUUGGACUCAAAUUUACACUAUCGGCCCGUGUAGUCGAGGCCGUUAAAUGAAUAUCAUUUUUAAACCGUGGGAUGAUGAAGUGGUUGAGAUAAUUUUCAAUUAUUAUUAUUAAAAAAUAAUAUUAUGAUUUUAAUCAUGAUAUUAUCUCUUAGUAAUAUAUUGAAUUAUUUAAACCUGAUAUUUGUCUAAAUCCCAAUUGAUUUGAAUAAUGAUGGAAUACGGGGAUAUGCAUAAAGCACGGCAGCAGAUAAAUAUGUAUGCAGGAUGAGAUGAUUAUCAUGAAAAGCACAAAUUGUAUAUACCUUUUGGUUUUGGCCACGUAAAUGUGUUUUUUGGGAUUAUAUUCCAUCUUAUUUUGGGUGCAUGGAUACACCUGGAUCAAUGUGGUGGAAAUAGAGUUCUAGUUAGACUAGGUGACAGUCUGGCGGCAUGGGUUUUUUGGAAGGAAAACAUGGGCUUUUUAGAGCAUGGUGAUGGUAUUGUCAGAUUACAAGCAAAGUCAUAAGAAUUGAUGAUAUGCUUGCCGUGUGAAAGGGUUUCAAAGGGACACAUGUUGCUCAUCUGAUAAGAGUCUACGGGCAUAAAGAGACUAAGAAGAUUUAUGCCGAAAUAUAUUAGAAGAUAAUAUCAGUUGUUUUGGUAUUGUUUUGGAGUAUAUUCGGAAAAUGACUCUUUUUGAUUGGCGGUCAAGGAAACUUGGCUAUAAAUACAAACACAAUGGUAAGGGAAAAAGGGUCUCCAAUUUCAACACACAACUGUCAUGCGCAAACUCUCUCAACAACUUUGAGAUUUUUAUUUUCUCUUUUCGCUGACACAUCUUCCGUUGGCAUCAACAGCACUGUGAAAGCAACCGAUGAUAUCUUAAAUCGGCAUAGAUAGCUCUGUCGCCGUAGAAUCAGUCGAUCUCGCAGCAUCUUCCGUUUGCAUCAACAACAGUGCGGCGAGGAUGGUUGGUUACCUAUCCAAGUUUCGGUCAAGAAGGAUUUCCGAAUACUUAUUGAUUGAGGUCAUCUCAUUAGCCUUCUCGGCGAACUGAGGUGUUACAGUUUACUGAGCUCGGCGCAUUGCACACCGAGUUAUUUUAUGAUUGGAUACUCUCUAGUGGGAUUUAGAGUUCGGCAUUCAAACGGUCGAACCACGUUCACUAUUAAGACUUAUAUUCGCUUUGAGUAUUUAUGCCCUUACACUUUGGUGUCGAUUCGAAGUGAGUUUACUCUAACGAAUAACAUCACUGUGACCGAAUCCGACGACGGCGAUUUGUGAACUUCGUAAGAAUAGUAGCCUUGUCUUCAGGUUCGAUAACCCAAGAGGCCGAGACGUGUUCCUUCCUCGGUUGCAAUCGCAAGAUACAGAAGUCAGCCGCGCACCUAACGCAACAUCAACAAAUUUACUCCUCGACCGAGCUCAGCUGACGGGUUGGCACGCCCCGCAUUCACCGAAAGACGUAGUUAGCUUAUAGAUUACUCGGCCUGCGCGCCACGUAGGCUUGGUAGUUUUUAGGGUCAACACUUUGGCACGCCUAGUGGGACCCAGUGCUAAAACUACGAAGUUCACAUGAUCUAUCUCGAUUAGGCUUCAUGGGAUGAGUGUCAUCAUCUAUUAAAGAAGCAAAAACAACUCUUAGAAAGAUUAGGAAGAAUUUCUGAAAGGCAAGAGGUUGGGGGGGGAAUUUUCUCUCCGAUCACAACCAAUAUUCGGCCUAAGAAAAUUGUUAAUUUGGCCGAAGAACAAAGGCCACCUAUUUUUUCGGUCGAGAUUGAAAGUGUGGUAGGCCUAGAAGAAAAUGUUCAAGUUUUUGAGCCACAAAUUGACUCAAAAAAUGAUUCAUCAGAGGAGUGCUCCAAUGACGAACAUGGCCGAGAGCAAGGUUUAGCUGGAAAAAUCACGCCAAUCGACAUGAUUAUUGGCGAUAAAGCCGAUAUGGAGAAAUCUCAUUCAGCUUAGUUGCUAGAGUUAAAAGUUGAAAUUGGUGAAAUAAUUAUGCCCGGGGGGCAUAAUAAUUGUUCAAUACAUUCGGUGGCCAAAAAAUGAAAAAUAUUUCGUCAAGUUAAAAAUGUUUGAAGAAAAUUUUGUAUUCGGCUUGGAAUAAAACAUCGUUGGCCUCCUCCUUCUCAUGGAUCAGCCACUUCUAUUCCUGUAUGUUAGAUUUUCGUUUUCUUUUUAUAUAUUCUUAUCCAUCUGGCUGUUUGAGCCGAUGAUGCAUAAGAAAAUAAGGGGGCCAACAAGUCUAUUUCGGCAAUGGGAACAGAUGUGCAUGGCAGCCUUAUGCAAUCACAUUGGAAUCUCGGUAUAAUUGCGAAUUAGAAUCUCAGUCAGAUCGUCGACCUCGACCCAAUUUCAAUUCGUCGACCUCGGCCCAAUUUCAAUUCAUUGACCUCGGCCCAAUUUCAAUUUUUCUCGAUAUUGGUGGCAGGCCGAGCUCUAGGAACAAUUUCAAUUUCAUAUAUAUAGGCAGGACUAGCCCUCGCCAAGAAGGUCAUCUACACCUCUGCGGUCUUCUUCAUCUUUGUCAGCACCAUCGAAGAAAUCUUCUCGAGCGAGAAAGUCUUCUCGCAGCUAUAAGUUGUGUGGAGGUGGCGUUCUAUUCAUGGCGUGGUGAGCUUGCUAGGGUAUCAUUGAGGAUACCCACCAAGCUCGGCAUGUACCUUGAGGGAUUUGCGUUAAAUAUUUUUGGCAAGGCAGAUAAGCGGGAUCAUGCUGGUUGAGCAGAUUUGACUACUGUGAAAACAUUCUAUGCUGCAAGCAUUUUGGCGUGCAGUGUGCAGUCGGCCUCAGGCCAAUGCAUGUGAUUAUGCAUAAGAAUUCGGUCGAGGACCAUUAGGCCGAAGUCGAAGGUAGAAAAAUCAAGGAAAAUGGGUUGAAAAUUAAGAUCAAUAAAUACUUUUAACCCUUAAGUCAUGAUUCGGUCGCCAUUUGGUUUACCUUUACUCGAUCUUUCGAUGUAAAAGUGGGUGACUUUUCUCAUCUGGGCGAGAAAAGUGGAUUGAAACCACUUUCCCUGACAUGAUUCCACCCUUCAUUUAUUUUAUAAUAGUUGAAUGGUGGGCAGUGGUUUGGUGAAGCAGAAAAAUUUGAUGUGACUCAAAUAUGGUGCAGUCGUGACCCAUAUAUAUAUGUAUAAAGGCAGGCCGACUGUCAUAGACUUUCCUCGGCCACUUUACAAAACUGCAUAUAUAAGCCUUGGCCAAAACUAUAUAUAUAUAAAGCUUGGAUGUGAAGUUUUUGAGUUUUUCGAGGAACUAAGCGGUCGAGGGAUUAUAUGGUAAAAUGUGGAUGCGACUACGAAAAAGUGCCAGUCAACAGAGUAUUAUCUCAGCGCCAUGAUGUUCACUGUUGCUGCAUUCUUUCUGCUUGCCUUCGUUCCGAGCUUCUUGACCUCGACUUAGUGUGUGUGUGUGUGUGUGUAUAUAUCUAGGCAGGACGAGCUGCCAAGAAAAAUUCUUCUCGACCUUCUGGCAAAAUUGCCGAGCCUAGUAUGGAGUUGUGGCAGUCAAGGGAGGCCGCAAUGUUGGUAGAACAUACAUGUUAUUGCCGAGGAACAAAGUUUUUUUUUCGGCAAUACGACGGGAUUUUGUUGGUUACGAACAAUUAAUUUCCUUAACCUUUUGGCUUACGAGCCGAAGUUCAAGGAAAUUGGGGGGCAAUGUUUGGACUCAAAUUUACACUAUCAGCUCGUGUAGUCGAGGCCGUUAGAUGAGUACCAUUUUUAAACCGUGGGAUGAUGAAGUGGUUGAGAUAAUUUUCAAUUAUUAUUAUUAAGAAAUAAUAUUGUGAUUUUAAUCAUGAUAUUAUCUCUUAGUAUUAUAUUGAAUUAUUUAAACCUGAUAUUUGUCUAAAUCCCAAUUGAUUUGAAUAAUGAUGGAAUACGGGGAUAUGCAUAAAGCACGGCAGCAGAUAAAUAUGUAUGCAGGAUGAGAUGAUUAUCAUGAAAAGCACAAAUGGUAUAUACCUUUUGGUUUUGGCCACGUAAAUAUGUUUUUUGGGAUUAUAUUCCAUCUUAUUUUGGGUGCAUGGAUACACCUGGAUCAAUGUGGUGGAAAUAGAGUUCUAGUUAGACUAGGUGACAGUCUAGCGGCAUGGGUUUUUUGGAAGGAAAACAUGGGCUUUUUAGAGCAUGGUGAUGGUAUUGUCAGAUUAAAAGCAAAGUCAUAAGAAUUGAUGAUAUGCUUGUCGUGUGAAAGGGUUUCAAAGGGACACAUGUUGCUCAUCUGAUAAGAGUCUACGGGCAUAAAGAGACUAAGAAGAUUUCUGCCGAAAUAUAUUAGAAGAUAAUAUCAGUUGUUUUGGUAUUGUUUUGGAGUAUUCGAAAAAUGACUCUUUUGGAUUGGUGGUCAACGAAACUUGGCUAUAAAUACAGACGCAAUGGUAAGGGAAAAGGGGUCUCCAAUUUCAACACACAAUUGUCCUGCGCAAACUCUCUCAACAACUUUGAGAUUUUUAUUUUCUCUUUUCGCUGACACAUUUUCCGUUGGCAUUAACAGCACUGUGAAAGCAACCGGUGAUAUCUUAAGUCGGCAUAGAUAGCUCUGUCGUCGUAGAAUCAGCCGAUCUCGCAGCAUCUUCCGUUGGCAUCAACAACGCUGCGGUGAGGACGGUUGGUUACCUAUCUAAGUUUCGGUCGAGAAGGAUUUCCGAAUCCUUAUUGAUUGAGAUCAUCUCAUUAGCCUUCUCGUCGAAGUGAGGUGUUACAGUUUACUGAGCUCGGCGCAUUGCACGUUGAGUUAUUUUAUGAUUGGAUACUCUCAAGUGGGAUUUAGACUUCGGCAUUCAAACGGCCGAACCACGUUCACUAUUAAGACUUAUAUUCGCUUUGAGUAUUUGUGCCCUUACAUUUUGGUGUUGAUUCGGCGUGAGUUUACUCUGACAAAUAACAUCACUGUGACCGAAUCUGACGACGACGAUUCGUGAACUUCGUAAGAAUAGUAGCCUUGUCUUCAGGUUCGAGAACCCAAGAGGCCGAAACGUGUUCCUUCCUCGGUCGCAAUCUCAAGACGCAGAAGUCAGCCACGCACCCAACGUAACAUCAACAAAUUUACUCCUCGGCCGAGCUCGGCCGACGAGUUGGCACGCCCCGCAUUCACCGAAAGACGUAGUUAGCUUAUAGAUUACUCGACCUGCGUGCCAUGUAGGCUUGGUAGUUUUUAGGGUCAACACUUAUCCAGCCUGAUCACAAUCUCAAAACCUUCUAAAUCUUCAAAGAGUAAGUGUCCAAGAGGAAAGGGGUCAGAAAAUGGUUGAACGAUUCAAAGUGUCAAUGUAGUGUCUUGAAACACCAAUUUUUUUUUGUUGAAUUGCAUAAAACCAUAACCAAAGUAGUGCUCAGUCGUUAAAUAACUGGUUAGUUUGGGUUUACCCGUUACCACCUGUUAAUUGAGUGUAUUUCUAUGAUUUCAAUAAAGACAAAACCUAAUGUGUCACUCCUCACUGAGUUCCCCUUCGACUGAGACAAAGUCACAAGGUCAUCCCUCGACUGCCUCGUCUACACCCAUUUUUCUUGUUUACGGGACUUUGAUUUCAUGGUAAGUCCUCUCUCUCCGUAGUAUUGUUUGGGAUUAUCUCUUUAUGUAUCUCUCUUCCCUCAAUCUUUAUGGUCAUAUGUUGUUUUAAAAAAUUGGGAAGUUUGAAUUUCUUUCUGGGGUUAUAUGGUUUUGCUUCCGAUUGAAUAUGCUUUUGUUAAUCAUCCUCGAAAACAAGACAUGGGUUGUUCGUAUGUUUUUUCUCCUCCCUUUGGUAGGUCGGUGCUUUAUUUUUCAUAUUCUUAAGUUCAAUUUUUAAAUUCUGUAGUAAUCGAUUUUGUUUCUCUUUUUUGAAGUGUUAACUUGAAGUUAAUUUCAAAGAUUAAGACAGCGUAUAGCUUGAAGAUGAUGAUGCUUCUACUUAUUUAGAUUAUUGGGUUUUGUCCAUUUUUGCAUAGCUUGCGGUGGUAUAAAAAUUAAUGUGAUGGUAAAAUCGUUUAUUGGAAUAUGAUUUUUGCUGGUUAUGCGCAAAAUUCAUUUUCAACAGAAUCAUUGAUUAUACAAACUUGUAAUCUUGUACAAAGUUUCUUACCUUUAUUUAAAGGGAGUUUUAACGAAAAGCCCACGGUACUGUUCACUUUAACGAAAAACCACAUUUUUACACUAAAAAGUCAAACCUGGUACCAUUCACUUUACCCUUUAUUUUGUCUUUAUCAUUAAUACUCAAAGUUUUCAAACAUUUUCAUUAGUUUUCCUUUAUUUAAACUCUCUCUUUUAGUGAUACUUAUAUAUUUUUAGAGGCGGCUCUGAAUAAAGAAACCCUAGCCGCUCUCUCCCUUUUCUCUUUCGCAUAGAGUAAGUCACAAACUAGUUCUUGUUGGAAAAUUAGUUAUUAUUUUAUUAUUGUUUAUGGUUUUCUUGUGGGCUAAGGAUAUUAGAGUUUUUUGCUCGUCAAGGAUUAAGGUUUUGCUUUAGUUUUCACUAUAUAUAGUAGUGAUUGUAUUAGUUUAUAUUAGUUUAUUUCAAUUAAGUUAGUCACAAUGUAAUCUUUAGGAUUUUGUAGUCGUUUCGGCAUUCUUGUCUAUUAAUAAUAUUCAUAUUAUUUUAUAGUCUUGUUUGUUUCGCACUCUGCUAUUCAACUUGGUAUCAGAGCAGAUUCGAUCAUUCAGGGUUGAUAUGUUCUUGGUUGUAUCAAUUUGUUUUUCAGUCGUCGGAUAUUAGUUCGGUUGUAGUUUGUUUUGUCUUUGUACCUAGAUUAGGGUUUUGUCGUUGAAAAAAAAAACACAAAAAUUGAACUUGUUGUUGCUUGUUGGAAUUGGUUGUUCGCUUGAAUUGCUCGCUUGAAUCACUUGCCUUGUCUUGUCCGCCUAACGGAGUUUACCUUGUCGUGUCUGUGCCUAACGGAGCUUACAUUUACAUCUGCAUCUGCUUGUUGGCAACUCAUGUCGUGUACCUCCAUGAGUUUGAUGAGGGUGUUGGAAAAUUAGUUAUUAUUUUAUUAUUGUUUAUGGUUUUCUUGUGGGCUAAGGAUAUUAAAGUUUCUUGCCCGUCAAAGGAUUAGGGUUUUGCUUUAGUUUUCAUUAUAUAUAGUAGUGAUUGUAUUAGUUUAUUUCAAUUAAGUUAGUCACACAAUGUAGCCUUUAGGGUUUUGUAGUUGUUCCAUCAUUCUUAUCUAUUAAUAAUAUUCUUAUUAUUUUAUAAUCUUGUUUGUUCCACACUCUGAUAUUCAACUUGGUAUCAGAACAAAUUCGAUCCUUCAGGGUUGAUAUGUUCUUGGUGGUAUCAAUUUGUUUUUCAUUCACCGGAUAUCAGUUCAGUUGUAGUUUGUUUUGUCUUUGUACCUAGAUUCGGGUUUUGUCAUUGAAAAAAAAAACACAAACAUUGAACUCGUUGUUGCUUGUUGGAAUUGAUUGUUCGCUUGAAUUGCUCGCUUGAUUGAUCGCUUGAAUCGCUCCCUUGAAUCGCUUGCCUUAUCUUGUCCGCCUAACGGAGCUUGCUUUAUCGUAUCUGCCUAACGGAGCUUGCAUAUGCAUCUGCCUGUUGGCAAACUCAUGUCGUGCAUCGCCAUGAGUUUGAUGGGGGUGUUGGAAAAUUAGUUAUUUCUAUUAAGGAUAUUUGAGUUUCAUGCCCGUCAAGGAUUUAGGGUUUUGCUUUAGUUUUAACUAUAUAUAGUAGUGAUUGUAUUAGUUUACUUCAAUUAAAUUAGUCACAAUGUAGCCUUUAGGGUUUUGUAAUCAUUCCGGCAUUCUUGUCUAUUAAUAAUAUUCUUAUUAUUUUAUAGUCUUAUUUAUUCUGCACUCUGAUAUUUAACUGUUCUCAACACUGCCAACUCCUUCCUUGGGUUGGGGUCGGCCGACAACCCCUUUCCCAUUUCCCUUAUUCUUCUUUUCUUUUCUUUUAUUUGUGCGUGUGUACUUUGUAGUUUUCCUGGCAUUCUUUCCCGUUUUCUAGAGUUCUUUGUUGUAUUUCGGUGUUUAUUACUGUCUUUUAUGUCUUGACAAGCCCAACCCCCAGCCCACAACCCUUGCCCUGCAAUCGAAAACAUUCAUCAUCUUCCAUCUUGUUCAUUUCCUCCUUCUUCCCACUUGCCAUCCCUCUCACAACCUCUUCCGCAUAUCUCAGCCUUUACUUCACGUCUUUGUACCUGACUGGCAUGCCGGAAAUCCAGGGCCAAGCGUGCUGCAGCUUUGCCCAAAGCGCGAAUGUUUUACAUGCCGCCUUAGGGGUGGUUUGAGAGUGAGGUGCUUAAAAAAAAAGCACCCAUGAAAAAAAGCUGUGAGGGUUUUAGGUGUUUGGUAAACUGAAAAAAAAAGGCUUAUUUUGGAAGCUGCUGUAAUAAUAAGCUGAAAUCAAAGGAAAAAGCUGAAGCUGCUAUUUGCAGCUUUAGAAAACUAACUUUUUUUUCAAAGCACACGGAGCUACAUUGCUCAUUUAAUGAAAAGACCCACUAUCAGACUGCUUUUUUUUUCCAAAAGCACUUUUACAAAAAAGUUUACCAAAUACUCUGUUGAUUUAUUUCACAGUCGCUUAUUCUCACAGUACAACUGCUUAUUCUUACAACAACUUUUUUUCAAAGCACAACAAUACCAAACUAGCCCUUAGCCCCAUCCCCAUCCCUUUUGUUUGGGUGUUGGUUCUACUUGCAGGGGCUUGUUAUGGUGGUUUAGAUAUGUUGGCUCUUUUCCAGUAUAUGGUAGUUUUUGUGGCGAAUUUGGGUUGGGGGUUUUUCCUUGUUGUUGGUUGUUUUGUGGUGCGACUACUUCGUCGAAUUCAACGCGAAGUUUGUUUUCUUUAUACGAUUACCUUUGUGGUCGCUGGCGAGGCAAUGGCAUCGGCGGCGGUCGGCCUUUGCUGGUUGCGGCUCUUGGUUUUUAUUAUGUCUAUUUUUUUGUUGAAUGUGCUUUGGCUAUCCCCACUUUAUUGGGCUAGUUUGUUUUAUUGUAUAGCCUUUCUCAUUUAAUGAAUUUACUUGUCUGUUGUCCAAAAAGAUAUUUUCGCGUCACACUUUCGAUCAAUUUACCAUAAAAAAUCCUGGCGCAAGCUUGGUAAGAUUUCUUCCUAGUUGAUAAGCUUAAUUCACCAUUCGUACUUCGUACUCCAUAUGGCAGCAAUACUUCCAAAUUCUUAACAUAAAUAAACAACACUUACGAAAAUGAGAGGAAGAAAAUCUGCAAAUACAGCCUUGUCUAAAAAAAAAACAUGAAAUGCUGGCAUUUCAGAAGCUUAUCCAGGGAAGUUUAUGGAUUCAAUAUAGGGUUAGGAUCAGCCACCGAUUUUCACCUUAUAAAUUAUUUUUAAUGAUGCAAACAGUUUAAAAUGAGAAUAAAACUGAUCACACAAUAUACGAUGAACGGACAUGAUUUGAGGAUUCCUGGGAUCCUCACAAAUAGGAUCCGGAACGGAUCCUCAUUCUAUAUUUUAGUAUAUAGCAGCCUCUUCAAUGCACAGAUAUCCACAAGAGUCGACAAGGCUUUGUGUUAUGUAAAUGAUCAUUUCCGGAUUCCUUCCUCCAAAUUCACAUAAUCAAUUCGGGAUGUGAUAUCCACACACCUCUUUUUACUUCUCUCACACCUUUUUGGUUUUCGACUGUCAGAUCGGAUGAAUUGAAGAAGAUCAAUAGAUAUAAAUUAACAAAGGGUGUGUGAGAAGUAAAAAGAGGUGUGUGGAUAGCACACCCCAUCAAUUAAUCCGGACAUUUGAAAUUUAAUCCAACGGCUAAAGUUAGUAGUCAUUUGAUCAAAUUUCAAAGAUCUGGAUUAGUUGAUUUUGUGGAUUUAGAAAAAGGGAUCCGGAAAAGAUCAAUUUCAUACUCAAAAGCCAGCCGUCUCCUACAGACAAGGUACACGUAAUUCCCUUCCCAUGCAGUUAACGCUACGUGUCAAUAUUGGUCAAUCCUCUAUACAAAUACACAGAUUUCUCUCCUCCAAUUCAGAAAAUAGAUAACACCGCUAAACCUAAACCCCAAACACCGGCCGGUAGCAAUAAAGCAAAAAACAAAACAAAAAAGAAAAAAGAAAAGAAGGAAAUAUUAAGAGAAAAUGUCACAGAUGGAGAGGAAGCUGGAAAAACCCAUUGAGAUAAAGAAUGAUCAGGAAAGCAAAACCGAGCAUGAGGAACAACAGAAACACAGCAAGGAAAAAGAUGAGCAGAAGGAGGAAGACGAUUCACUUCCUCUAAUGGCGUUGAACCACGUAUCGAGGUUGUGCAGAAAUGUGGAGGAGUCGGUGGAUUUCUAUACCAAAGUGUUAGGGUUUGUUAAGAUUGAGAGGCCACCAGCUUUUGAUUUUGAUGGGGCUUGGUUGUUUAAUUAUGGAGUUGGGGUUCACUUGGUGCAGUCUGAGGAUGAGGAGAGGCUUCCACCUAAUCAGGAUCACUUGGAUCCCAUGGACAACCAUAUCUCUUUCCAGGUUCCAAAAUAAUUUAAUUCAAGUUAUUCAGUUUUUCUUAUUGGAAAUUAAUUAAUUUCUACAUGUACAGGUCGAUUUUUUAAUUUUUUAAACACAAUCUCUUGGAUGAGGGAAAUAAAUUUGAAAUUUUAGUAAAAGUCAGAAUUUAUAAAUUGAUAUGCAUCAAUUCUAUUGUUUGGAUUUACAAACAUAGAAAUUUAGAAUUUCCGUGUAGAAAAAAAAACUUGGAAUUUGGAACCUCCAAUUCCCAAGUUCAAAUUUCAUGUAAAUAUGGGUCAUUUUCCAAUUUCUAUGAUUGAGAGUUUAAAAAUAACAAAUUUCGUAUUUAAUUCCAUUGUUCUUUUAGGUUAACCAAACAAGAAAAUUUACAAAUUCUAGAAAAUAAAAUCUUGUCAUUUCAAUUUCUGUUAUUUUGAAAUUCCUUAAUAAUCUUAAAUUUCAUCAUCCAAAUAUAGUGUAAUUUACUCUAAGCCUUGGGAGUGUGGUCAAACUAUACAAUCGGCCAGUCAUAGUAAUUUGGUUUGAACUUUUCAUUUACAUAAGUUGAAUCUAAGAGAUUCCAUUUGUGAGUGAAAAUACCACCAUAUCCUUGUACUAAUUGAUAUACUUGACGAUUUGUUGAGCUUUUAAUUUGAGAAGACAAAUUUAGAUGAAUUUAGUUUGGACUUUAGUCAAUUAGUUUGAAUUACUUGCAGUGUGAAGACAUGGAAGCAAUGGAGCGGAAGUUGAAGAAGCUGGAUAUAAAGUACAUAAAAAGAGCAGUCGAGGAUGACGAAAACGGAACCACAAUCGACCAACUCUUCUUCAACGAUCCAGACGGAUUCAUGGUUGAGAUGUGCAACUGUGAGAAUCUCAAGCUUGUUCCUGCAGGUUCCUUGGGCAGAAUAAAGCUUCCAGUUGAUAGGCAUACUCCCCCUGUUGAACUCAACCAAAACGACAAUGGCAAAAGACAACAACAAUGAUACUAAAUAAUCAAGUUGUUGAGGCUUCUUUUAAAUUAUCAACAUAUGCAUGCUGAUGUUAAGGGUAGCUUGGUCAGUUGGCAAUUUUCAUAGAGAUCUUUUUUUUUCUUUUGGUAAUUAUGAGCUCGUUUGGAUGUGUUUUUAAAAGUAGUUCUCAACAAACCCUAUAUUUUUUUUAUAUGUGUAUUUUUAUUCAUUUGUUUUGACAAUUCUCUUUUUGGUUUUUUGUUUUUUUCAGUAGAACACAAUAGCUAUCUAAUGUAAUGUAUUAUACAAAUUUCGAAAAAUUCAACGGCAUAGACUAUGAAGGAUGAUAUAUUAUAAGAUAUGUUUCUUGUCAUCAAAUUUCAUUCAUGAGAUGAUGCUAAACCUAAAAGUGGUUUCGUCUUCUUAUCUUGUAAAAAGAGGUAUGGCAAUAUAAUGUAGAGUUAAAAAUACACCAUUGAAUUUGGAUUUGAUACUUUUUAAGCUGUGAAUCUAUUUGAUCAUGGUAAUUCUAACUGGUCUUUUUCGAACUCAAAAGAAGUGAAUAGUCAAGAUGCGUCACCAGUUAUCCUCCUUUUUGGAGAAAAAAAACACGAUUAAGCAAAAUAGUGUAUACAUACACUAUUUAAUUUUCGUGUACUCAUCAGUUGGUAAAAAGAGUAGCAAUGAUUUCUAAAUUUUCUACUGUCUAAGUAUAUUCUUUUUCACUUAUGAGACGUUUUAUGUUCGAGUUUGUGUAUAUAUCCUUGUAAGCUAGGGAUAUCCAACUACAAAUGACUUGAAAUUAUUGAGGUCAUUUCACUCAAACAAAAACAGCAUCGAUAGUUUUGGGCCGGCUAUUAUUCAUCACCCGCAAAAUAUAGGCCCAAAACUUUGUCCAAACAGGUUCUACUUAUGGCCCAAAAUCACCCUUGGUCCCCAAAAAGAGAACAAAAUCGGAGAAUGCCUAGCAUUACACUUGUCAUCAUCUAAGUGGAAGUGCUUACAAAAAACAGUGUAAUUCCUCCAAAAUCAUCCUCUACAUCCACACAUUCCCCUCACCUCCUAAAUCAUUCCCCUACAAAACGCAUCAGAUCACGCCGUACAACCAUCCACAGCGCAAACACCGAAACACCCACAGUGCACCCGACCGCAGAGGAUCAAGUAUCCCAAACCCGCUACAACAGCUCUCGCACACCAUCUCGUAACUCCAACGAUUGCCAAAUAUCAAAGACGGAGAGAGGAGAGAGAGGGAGGCCUCGGAAGCCAAAGUGCACACACAGAGAUCACAUUCAAAACCAAACCCUAAAAAUUCGAGAAAUUCGCAGACGGAGAUACAAAAUUGCCCCAAUUCUUCUCUCAGAUCCGUUCCCCCAAUUCUUCCGAUUCCAAUAAAGAUUGAGUUGGGGUUGGGGUUCGCUCAGUUUUCGAGCCAUGGCGUGCGUAAAGGGGGUGAAUCGAUCGGCCUGCGUGGCGUUUGCUCCGGACGCGCCGUACAUGGCGGCAGGGACGAUGGCCGGAGCAGUGGAUCUGUCCUUCAGCUCCUCCGCCAACAUUGAGAUCUUCAAGCUUGAUUUACAGUCAGAAGAUCGUGAUCUCCCGGUAGUGGGCGAGUCGACGAGCUCUGAGAGAUUCAACAGGUUGUCGUGGGCCAAACCCACUGGAUCGGGGUCUCAAGAAUUCGGGCUUGGGCUCAUUGCUGGUGGACUCGUUGAUGGCACUAUUGAUAUCUGGAACCCACAGACUCUGAUCCGGUAAUUGGAUUUGAAUUUGCCAUUUGCUUUUCGUUUCGAUUGGGAUUGAAUUGAAUCGAAAUGAAUUGAGUUUUGCUUGUAAAGUUCGGAUUAUCUGUGUGGAUUUGGAAUGUGGGUUUUCGUUUGGGUGUUGGAACAAUGUGGGAAAGUGGAAAGUUUUGCUAAUUCUGUAGUUUCUUGGUGCUUGACUUUGAUCUGAGUGAGUGGUCUUUUUGGGGUGAAGGGAAAUGGGGUUAAAGUUAGCUGAUAUUGCGGUUAUUGUUGUAGUGUGAGUGAUUAGAUCUUAUCUUAAGCUGUGAUUAUAUGCCCAGUUCCCUUUUUAUUUUAUUUUCAUUUUUUGGGAGUGAAAUGAUAUGUUGGAAUUUUCUUGGUUGCUGGAAGUCUGAAUAUGUAGAUAAUGUGAAAUGGGAUUUUCAUGAAUUCUAUCGUGAAGAUGAAAUCUUGGGCGUAUUCUCUGACAGAACGCCUUUGAACAUUUUCAGUUCAUUAUGUUAUUUUGUGGUUUAGGUUCUUUGGUAAUGUGUAUGUUUACUUGAAAAUUUUGCAUUUGGCUUAUAUUUUCAGUGUAUUUGUUAGUAGUGCAAUAAUCUGAGCCUCCUGCUAAUUUUAGUUAGAUUUGAUCUUUCCCUUACAAAAUUAUGCGUGGAACUACAUGCCUUCUGGUUUUGUGGAAUUAUUUUUGUAUUUCAGAAAGCAUUUUUUGGUGUGCUUGGGAAAGGCCUUAUUUUUUAUUCUUUCAUAUCCUUAGUCCCGAGGCAGGUGUAAGUGCUUCAGUUGGACAUCUCACAAGACAUAAAGGCCCUGUAAGUAUUCUUCAUUUUCAGAUGCAUGUCUUUUUGGUGAUUCUUACAAUGCUAGGACAUAUGAUCACUACGUAGGGUCUUUUUUUUUUUCAAACUCUAAACCUUGAUUCUUGUUAUUUUAUUCCAGGUUCGUGGUCUUGAAUUUAAUGCAAUUGCACCCAAUUUGCUUGCAUCUGGGGCUGAUGAUGGUGAAAUUUGCAUAUGGGACAUGACCAAUCCUGCAGAACCAUCUCACUUUCCACCUCUCAAGGUUUGUGCUAAUUAGUUGUCAGUUUAUCUGAAGUAUUGCAAACUCUUUCUCUGUAGUUGGUAUUAUAUUCCUUAUCCUCAAUUUUUGGUGUGGUUCUAUUUGGCCACACAGAUUUUUAGUUAUUCUGGCCUUAGAGCCUUUGAUUUGGUUGUCAUACUUCACCUUACAGUCUACCUGAAAUGCACUUGUAGAGUACAAUAGUUAGACAUCAUUAAAGAUGUUUAUAGUUUUGUUACCCAAAGGUAGCAAAAGAAAUAAGACUACUAGUUUUUACAGUAAUCAAUUGUAGAUGUAGUAAUCAAUAUACAAUCAAUAUACAAUCAUAAUAAACAUAAAGAGGUGGACAAUUGGAAAGGAUGAGAGGUCCCUUUCUUCAAAUUAUUCUCAUCACCUGUGGACGCCAAUGUUGAUUUUGACCGUAUUCCUUAUUUUAUGAGAGAAAGUCUAUAAUUAGAUCGCUUUCUGUCUCCGUCUUUGCAUGAAAUGAUUUUUCUCUCUUGAUUUUGUUAUAGUUAUGAAUAUAUUAAAAGCAAUCUGGACAUCAUCUGAUCCAAAGUGUGAUAUCUUUAUGCAGGGUAGUGGUUCUGCCGCCCAGGGUGAGGUUUCAUUUUUAUCUUGGAAUAGCAAGGUCCAACAUAUAUUAGCAUCCACUUCAUUAAAUGGGACAACUGGUGAGAAAUAUACUUUUCUCUUUAGGUACUUCUUGUCUAGUAGUUUUAUUUAGCGUGAGAAUUUAAUAUUUUGAAUUUUUCAGUGAUAUGGGACCUGAAAAAGCAAAAGCCAGUGAUAAGGUGAUUUGAUUAUAUUCUACUGUGAAUCUAUUAUAUUAAAAUCUCAACGAUUAUUGGGAUUGGUCAUUUCCAUUACCUAACUUGACAUUGGUUGACCGGCAGUUUUACAGAUUCAGUUAGAAGACGGUGCUCCGUUUUGCAGUGGAAUCCUGAUAUUGCCACUCAGCUAGUUGUUGCUUCAGAUGAAGAUGGUUCACCGUCUCUGAGGGUAAUGGUAUUGAAGUAAUAUUCUAUUUGUUUAGUGGUCAAACAUUUUAACAUUUAUGUUCAUGCAGCUGUGGGAUAUGCGUAAUAUAAUGUCACCAGUUAAAGAGUUUGUCGGGCACACAAAAGGUAACAACAACAACAACAACAAAGCCUUUUCCCACUAAGUGGGAUCGGCUGUAUGAAUCCUAGAAUGCCUGUUAACGAGUCUUUGUUUCCUUUCUUUUUGUUUGGGAGCAGUUUUUGCUUUGGGUUUCAUAAAUCUAUUUUUACUCUAGUGCUAAUUUCCAUUAUAAUGGAGUGGGGUAGCAGAACUAUGGGGUAGAGUAAGAUACUAGGCAUCCCUCUGGGCAUCAGUUUCGAAUGAGUUCAGGGAUUAUUCUCUUUCUCAUAUAGUGUGGGAUGUGUUAGCAGCUGUGAAAUGAUUUUGGUUGAGGUUCUGUUACUUGUAAAUAGAUCUACUUGAGAGCUCUUAGCUAGUUUUGCUAGAUGGUGGAUUUCUUAUCCACUAUUUUGUAAUUCGUGUUAUUGUUUUAAUAAAUUGUUAUCGUUUCUUCUCCAAAAAAAAAAAAAAAAUUACUGGGUAUAGGAACAGGUCAGAGAAGAGCUGUUCAAAUAUCCUUCUCUACAACAUGAUAUGCUAUGAGAUUUUUGUAUAGUCCUUCCCAAUGUGGUUUGAAAUCAAAUUGCAUUCAAAUAUGAAGUGGAUAAUAAGUCUUAUGAACCUGGAAGGAUAUAUGAAAUUAAGGGCUUGCCACGUAUUGUUCAUUUAAUUAGAGCCUCAAACUGCUAGUCUACUUGGGUUGUCUUUUACUUUAGUAAACAAGAUCCAUUCACGGUCACUAAUUGUGAAAGUGGGGGUGCGAGAGAGCGCCAAGAUUUUCAAUGGCCACUCGGAUAUCAUGCUUUAUGUGCGUGAUUGUACUUGAUUAGUGGCUUUUUUAGGUUAAGGCUUUGAGGCUUUCUUAAAUAGUACACAAGUUUCCCCAUUAUGUUUCUAUUUCUGCUUUUAGGAAUUGUUGUGUCAACUCGUGAUCCAUGUGUUUGAACUUGCAUUCAAUUAUUUUUGGAACUUGAAAGUGCUAUUACUGAUAUUAUUUUGAUCAGAAGUUAUUUGGAUAUGCUUACGAUUCUGUUACACACACAUCUUAUCCCAGGUGUAAUUGCAAUGUCUUGGUGUCCGAAUGACAGCUCUUAUCUGCUUACAUGUGCCAAGGAUAAUAGAACUAUUUGCUGGGACACAGUUUCUGCAGAGGUAUGGUUUUUACCUGCUCUUCAAGGAGGCCAAUAUUUUUGUUCUGCACCUUUCCUACACUUUAAAUCUCUUCCGUACUUUUGGUUUCCGUGAGGUGCACUAUCCUCUUCUGUAUUUUUGGUUUCAGUUGAAGUGCACUAUCGUUUGUCUGACUGUAGGGUUGUUUUUUCUUAUAUAUUGGUUCAGAUUGUAUGUGAAUUGCCGGCAGGCACCAAUUGGAAUUUUGAUGUGCAUUGGUAUCCAAAAGUACCUGGAGUGAUUGCGGCAUCUUCAUUUGAUGGAAAAAUUGGAAUUUAUAAUAUUGAGGUAUAGUGAGGUUCUUAUCAUAUUGGAAUUUACUGUUAUUUUAUGAACUGCAUAAAUAUAUGUGCGCGCGCUUGUGUCUAUGUUACUUCAUGAACUUACCAUGUUUUAAAUCUCUUCUAUUCUUUUAUUUUUAUUUUUCUCACAGGGUUGCAGCAGAUAUGGAGUUGGGGAAAGUGCUUUUGGUGCAGGUAAUGCACAAUUAAUUAGCCAUUGCAUGGUAACUUAUUUAAAAAAAAAUUAAGGGCCCUUUUGGUGUCUUAUUUAAAAAACUUGAAAAACUAUGAUCCUUCUUUAAAAACCCAAGUUUUCAAAUACUAGAUUUUGUUAAUUAAAAUGGUCGUUUGGUAUGGAACUUGAAACCUUUUGUUUGUAAAUCUUUAGCUUAAAAAACCUAUUUUAAAUGUUAAAUAUUGAGGAAAAAUGCCAAAAUAGAGCUAAUUCCUUGAUAUAUUAGAUGAUUAUUUCUCAUUACAAGAUGAACAUAUAUAUAGGGAAAGAAAGAAGACAUAAGACCUAACUUGCCUAACUUGCCUAACUUACCUAACUUGCCUAAUUUACAUAAAGAAAGUUGACUAGCCUAAUUCCACUAGCCAUUCAAUACUCAUAGUUGCUUUUAGUUGAUACUCCCCCUCAAGUUGGUGCGUAAAUAUCUCGAAUGCCCAACUUGCUGGGUGAAAGAUGGAAAAUCCUACUUGACACUGCCUUUGUUAAAAUAUCUGCUAGCUGGUCAUCACUCUUCACAUAAGGCAAGUUAAUGGUACCAUCAACCAACCUUUAUUAAGUGCCUAUCCACUUCAACAUGUUUAGUACGAUCAUGUUGAACUGGAUUAUGAGCAAUGCUAAUGGCAGCUUUGUUAUCACAAUAAAGUUUUGAUGGCUUUGCAGAAUUAAAACCUAAUUCUCUCAACAAAGUCCUGAGCCAUAACAAUUCUUGCACACCAUGUGCCAUACCUCUAAAUUCAGCUUCGGCACUGGAUCUAGCCACUACAUGUUGCUUCUUACUGCGCCAAGUAACUAGAUUUCCUCCAACAAAUGUAAAGUAUCCAGAAGUCGAUCUGCGAUCAGUUACUGACCCAGCCCAAUCUGCAUCAGUGUACCCUUCAACUUCUUGAUGUCCAUGAUUGGAAAACAUCAAGCCUUUUCCAGGGGCAGACUUCAAAUACCUGAGAAUGCGUUGUACAUCAUCCAUGUGGGCUUCACUUGGCCUGUGCAUAAAUUGACUCACUACACUUACAGCAUAGGCUAUGUCAGGUCGUGUAUGAGACAAAUAAAUCAACCUCCCAACUAAUCUUUGGUACCUUUCCUUGUUAGCCGGAACUUGAUCAUGAUAGUCUCCCAAUCUAUGGUUUUGCUCAAUUGGUGUGUCUGCAGGUUUACAAGCUAACAUCCCAGUCUCAGUUAAUAAGUCUAUAACAUAUUUCUUUUGAGAAAGAAAAAUGCCAUGCUUUGAUCUUGCAACUUCAAUACCCAAGAAAUAUUUCAGAGUACCCAAGUCCUUCAUUUCAAAUUCCUUGGCUAGAUACUUUUGAAGUUUUUGAAUUUCCUCGACAUCAUUACCUGUAACCACCAUAUCAUCCACAUAAACAAUUAAGGCAGUAAGUUUACCUCUAUCAUGCUUAAGAAAUAGGGUAUGGUCAGCUUGAGUUUGCUUGAACCCAUAACUUCUUAUUGAUUGAGCGAACCUGCCAAACCAUGCCCUUGGUGAUUGUUUCAAUCCAUACAAGGACUUUCUUAACCUGCAUACUUUGCCAAUAUCGCAAGUGGUAGUGAAUCCUGGAGGAAGAUCCAUGUAUACCUCUUCAUCCAAGUCUCCAUGUAAAAAUGCAUUUUUACAUCAAACUGUCGUAGAGGCCACCCUAGAUUUGCUGCCAAUGACAUAAGAACCCUGAUAGUGUUGAUCUUUGCUACCGGAGCAAAUGUCUCCUGAUAAUCAAUGUCAUAGGUUUGAGGAUAACCUUUGGCUACCAGUCUAGCCUUGUAUCUUUCCACUGAACCAUCAGCUUUAUGCUUUACUGUGAACACCCAUCUACACCCAACAGGUUUCUUGCCUUCAGGAAGUGCAACCAGUUCCCAAGUGGAGUUUUUUCGAAGUGCUUCCAUCUCUUCAAUCAUAGCCUUUUUCCAUUUUGGAUCUUUAAGAGCAUCCUGUAACUUAUUAGGAACUGAGACUGAUGACAAUUGGUUUGCAAAAGAUAUAUAAGAGUCUGACAAGCGAUGAGAUGAAACAAAAUUAGAUAUAGGAUAUUGAAUACCCUUUGUAGAAAAAUGACCAUAACGAACAGGGGGUAAAAGGUCGUACCCAGUGCACAAGGCUCCCGCUUUACGCAGGGUCUGGGAGAGGUGAAUGUCGGUUAGCCUUACCCCCAUUUUAUGGAGAGGCUGCUCCCAAGUCUCGAACCCGAGACCUACCGUUCAUGGGCGAAGGCACUUGCCAUCACACCAAGUGCGACCUCUUAUAACGAACAGGGGGUAUCCCUCGAUUUUCUCGAAUAGGAUAAGGAGAAUCCCGAGACUCAUGAUGUGGUUCAUUUGAAUCAUUUGGAUCAUCACUUAAUGAAAUCUCAUGAUUGGACUCAUCAAAUAUAGUAGGCUGAAGAGAAGGAGAAUGAGUGGUUACCUCAGGAUAAUUCGUACUAUUAGCAGCUGAUUGGUCAGAGAGUUGGUCAAUGUGGGGAUCCGUCUGUGGGUGGUCUAUUUCAUCAUCCCUUUUUUCUUUAUCUCCCUUUUUUCUUGUCCUCUCAUACACCUUCAAUAUUUUUUCACCUUGUGCCUCAUCAUUAGGCAAAUUUGCACCAUCACCGACAUCUGACAAGUGUUCAUCUGAAAAAUGCAUACCACCAAUGUCAAGCGGCAACUUCUUUUCCUCCUUACUCCAUAUCUCCCCCUGAAGAGAAGUGACCAAAUCUUCUUUUGAAAAAAAUGCCUCGUUUUCCCUAAAGGUAACAUCCAUAGAGACAAAAAAUUUCCCAGUGGGAGGAUAGUAACAUCGAUACCCUUUCUGAGUAGCAGAAUAGCCAAUAAACACACAUUUGAUGGCUCUAGGAUCCAACUUAUCACGAUUUUGCAUGGGUACGUGAACGUAGUAGACACAACCAAACACUUUUGGAGGAAUAUGAAGGAGUGAAGGAAGAGAAUGAUAUUGGGAAAGGGUCUGGAUAGGUGUUUGAAAUUGGAGAACACGUGAUGGCAUGCGAUUGAUAAGAAAAACAGCUGUGUGAAUGGCAUCACCCCAAAAACGUUUAAGAACGUGCAUAGCAAAACAUAAAGAGCGAGCCACAUCCAAGAGAUGACGAUUUUUACGUUCUGCUAUACCGUUCCGUUGAGGAGUAUGUGGACAAGAUGUUUGAUGAAUGAUACCGUGUUGUUGAAAAAAUGUUCCAAGUCCAUAAUUCAAAUAUUCUUUCCCAUUAUCAGAUCAAACAACUUAAAUUUUAGCAUGAAAUUGGGUUUGAAUCAUUUGAUGAAAGAUUGGAAAAAUAGACAUAACCUCACUAUUAUUUUUUAGUAAGUAUACCCAAGAAACUCGAGUGCAGUCAUCAAUGAGAGACAAAGUAUUUAGCACCAGUAUAAGUAGGAAUAUGAAAUGGUCCCCAAACAUCAGAAUGAAUAAGAGAGAAAGGAGCAUUACUUUUAUGGGAACUUAAAGGAAAUGAGACACGAUGAUUUUUAGAAAGAAUGCAAGUUUCACAAUGGAAAUCAGAAACCUUGACUUUAGAAAAUAAAGAAGGGAAUAGAUAUUGCAGGUACUGAAAGGAAGGGUGUCCCAAUCUUUUGUGCCAUAACCAAAUUUUUUCAGAAGCUUCAAAUUGUUUGGCCUCCGCUUGACAACUGUAACUUGUCUUCUCAAAAUCUGGUGGUAAGUCCAAGUAGUAUAGACCUCCCCUCUCUCUACCAUGACCAAUCAAUGCUUUCGUUCGAAUAUUCUGAAACCAACAAUGGGUAGGAGAAAAGAUGGCAAGACAGUUUAGUUGAUUUGUAAGUUUACCAAUGGAAAGCAAAUUGUGAGAAAGAUUAGGAACAUGUAAAACAUAUGAGAGAGAUAAGCCUGGUGUUAAUGAGAUGGAGCCUGCUCCAAGCACUGGAGUAGAAAUACCAUUAGCAACUUUAACGGUAUUUAAAGGUGGAGUAGUGUGAGAAACAAACCAUGUAGAGUUAUUGGUCAUGUGGUCAGAAGCCCCUGAAUCAAUGAUCCAAGGUUUAUUGGGAGGAACAAUUGUAGUGUUCAAGGCAAAACCAAAGUUACCUGCAUCGACUAAGGAAGUAGAAGCAGUAGUAGGAGAAACUAAGUGAGCAGAUUGAUCCACCCGAGGUAUGGAAGGCGUUGGUGUCAGGUGUGCUUGUGAUCCACCAAUGCCUUUCUUUUGAUUUUCCUUCUUUUGAACCCACCAAUCAGGAUAUCCAUGCAGCUUGAAGCAAGUGUCUCUAGUAUGCUUAUCCUUGUCACAAUAAGUACACUUCCUUGUAUCAGUAGUUUUGGGUCCACCUAAUCGAGAAUUGGAGACUCCACGGGGAAAUCGAGACGGAGCAACUACCAUGGCGGAUCCUUCCACUUGUGGGCCAACCAACAUAAUGGUUUGCCUACUUGCUUCAGCAUUCACAAGAGCAUAAGCAGCACGAACAGAAUGUAGAGUUGUUUGAGUCAAAACUUGACUGCGAACAUGAUCUAAAUCAGGAUCAAGACCAGCUAGAAAAUCAUACAAUCUUUCUUCCGAAAUUUCUGUCUCUCGGGUAGCAAUAUCAUCAGCGCACUUCAAUUUUCCAGGACUCAAGAAAUCAAUUUCUUGCCAUGUUUGCUGAAGUUUACCAUAAUAUGCAGAUAAAGGUUCUCCAUUUUGGCGAGUUGCCAGUGCUUGACGGCGAAGUUCGUAUAACUUUGAUGCAUCUUUUUCAAUUGAGUAAGUUUGGGUAACAGCAUCCCAAACAUCUUUUGCAGUAGAGAGUCGGAGAAAAAUGGCCCGUACAUCUCUGGUCAUGGAGUUGAGUAACCAAGAUUGAACCAUGGCAUUCUCUUCCUCCCAUAUAGCAUACAAGCAUCAGCUUCUACUGGUGCCACUUUUGUUCCACUGACAGAAGACCAUUUACCUCUGCCAGUGAUGUAGAUGCGAACACUUUGGGACCAUGAGGAAUGGUUGGACCCAUCCAACUUGUCUGGGGUGAUAUGUAGAGACAUAUCACUUUGAGUAACAGUAGCUGAAAAGUAGCUGAAACAGUGGUCUUGGAGUCACCCAUUAUUACUGCCUCAGAGGUUAUGGGUAAAUUUGUUGGGUGAUUCCAACGGGUAUGGCUUAUGGGGUAUUGGGUAGUAUAUUUUUUUUUUGUGUGGAAAGAUUUCUGGGUUUUGCAGAGAUACUGCAAAUGGGAAGAAUAUGGGAAAAGAUGCAGCGGAAUAUGUAUGGCUAACAAGCUGGAUAUGGGUAAUAAUGUUGGUAGAUAUGGCCAAAUGAAAAAAGAGUAAGAUUGGAUUGGUAUGAAAGUAGAAGACCUGCAGAAUAGCAGGUCUUAUUGGGUAGAUGGCAGUAGUGCCAGUAAGUGAAUCAGAAUAGAAACUCUUUUUGGAUCAGAAUUGCUCUGAUACCAUGCCAAAAUAGAGCUAAUUCCUUGAUAUAUUAGAUGAUUAUUUCUCAUUACAAGAUGAACAUAUAUAUAGGGAAAGAAAGAAAACAUAAGACCUAACUUUGCCUAACUUGCCUAACUUACCUAACUUGCCUAAUUUACAUAAAGAAAGUUGACUAGCCUAACUCCACUAGCCAUCCAAUACUCAUGGCUGCUUUUAGUUGACAAAAAAAAAAAAAAAAGCAACCGGGUCUGACGGGCAAAGAGAGUGAAACAAAUAGUAUCUCUCUCCAAAAAAGCAUAUUUUUUUUUUACCGCCGCACAAAGAAAAUGUUUUGCUGCGAUUGAGGAAUUGUCCAUACGUAAAAUCAUAAUUAUUGAUACGAGCCUUUUCCACAUAAAAAGGGAAUCCUUUGUUACAAUAGAAGCAGAAGUGAUUUGGAUUAUUCAAGAAUCGAAGUCGAUUUGCUUUAUAAAAAGAAGAUAUCAGAUCAAAGACGUUUACCUUUUCGAAGGGCAAUGGGAGUCCCCUAUUUCAGGGACAUCUCCUUGUUAGGUAGGGCCAGGGAUCACUAAUUAGUCGAAUGAGCCCAUCCCUCUGGCCUAUCAUUUAUCGGUCGAUCCGGCUGGCAGCUCCUGCAUCCCCGCUGACCACAGUUCACAGAAAAGAAGGAAAAAAGGAGAAAGAAGGGAAAAAUAAUAAAAAGAUUAUUUCAAAGAAAGAAGUGGAACAAGAAAAUGGAAAAAGCAACUAGAAACCCCAUCCGCAAGAGUAUGAAACUUUGUUUGCAGAUCCAAUGAUAAUCAAAGAGCAGAAAGAGAAGGAGAAGGGACUGAGAGGAGAGAGGAUUCGAGAGGGAGAGUGGCUGGAUUGAAAACUUAGAGCCUAACUUUUAGAGUUUUAAAAAAGUGGGCAUUUUUUAGUUAGUUUGUAGUUAAGACUUAACAGUUUUUGAAAAUGGGUAACAAGAUUUAUGAGCUUGGGACUCAAAAAGUGUUUUUGAGUGUAAAAGUUUGGAUACCAAACUUUCUUAAUCAUUGCAUUGACAAUUUUAAAUUUUCUUUUUGGGUUGGCUGAACUCUGUUAACAACAGCACUUCAUUGGCUAUUUCUUCUUCUUGUUUCUUUUUCUACAAAGAUGAUCUCUUACAGCAAGCAAUAAAGUUUGGCAGGUUUUAGGUUGGAAUAGGUUUAAUUUGUACAGAACAGUAGAUCUGGGGUGUUUCAAAUUUUCAUUUGUUAUUCUUUCUUUUCAGGACCUCUGAGAGCUCCAAAAUGGUAUAAGCGCCCAGUUGGAGCAUCUUUUGGCUUUGGAGGCAAGAUUGUGUCCUUUCAGCAUGGUUCUGCUGGUUCGGAGGUACGCUUUAUUGGCAUGCUCCCUGUGUCUUCUGCUCUGAUGCAUUUUAGAGUUCAUUUUCCUCCCUUGUGUCCAGGUUUAUAUACACAGCUUGGUGACUGAACACAGUUUGGUGAAUCGCUCAUCCGAAUUUGAAGCUGCUAUACAAAAUGGGGAAAGGCCUUUACUUCGAGCCUUAUGUGAGAAGAAAUCACAGGAGGCUGAGUAUGUCACUUACUAGAAAUAACUUUUUUUUAUGAGCUUUGAGAGAGUUAAUAUCUCUUGAAAAUUAAUUCUCUUCUGCUUCUGUUUGCAUGAUUCUGUUCGGCAGAUCUGAGGAUGACCAGGAAACAUGGGGCUUAUUAAGGGUUAUGUUUGAAGAUGAUGGGACUGCAAGGACGAAGCUGAUCACUCAUCUUGGUUUCAGUAUGCCCGAGGAAGCAAAAGAAGAUGUUCCAGAAGAUCUAUCACAGGAAGUCAAUGCACUAGGGCUUGAGGAUACAAUAACUGAUAAAGUGGGUCGUGGGAAUGAUAAGGAAGCCACCAUCUUUCCAUCUGAUAAUGGAGAAGAUUUCUUUAAUAAUCUUCCUAGUCCUAAAGCUGAUACUCCUGUGUCAACCUCUGGUGGAAAAUUUUCUGAGGGGGAUGCAGUUCCUGUUAUGGAACAAAUGGAACAAGAGCCUGAUGGACAGGAGGAGAGUGCUGAUCCAUCGUUUGAUGAAUCUGUUCAACAUGCUUUAGUUGUAGGAGAUUAUAAGGGUGCUGUUGCAAAAUGCAUUUCAGUAAAUAAAAUGGCUGAUGCUUUAGUUAUUGCUCAUGCUGGUGGUGCUUCGUUGUGGGAGAGCACGCGGGAUCAGUAUCUUAAGAUGAGCCAUUCGCCUUACCUUAAGGUAUUUACAAUCCACUUUCUUAAAAGGCUUCGAAACACUUUCUGUUUCGUAUUUUGAUAAUAUAUGAAUGUAGAUGUAAAGAUGUGAAAGAUUGAUUAUACUGUGUCUUUAAGUUGUGUCAUAAUUGUGUUUAACAUGGCUAAUUCCUACAAUCAGAUUGUUUCUGCAAUGGUGAGCAACGAUCUCUUGAGUCUUGUCAACACCAGGCCCCUAAAAUUCUGGAAAGAAACACUUGCUCUUCUGUGUAGUGUAAGUUUCCCAGCUCCUCAAAAUGUUAAUGCCAUGAUACAUUGUGUCAUUGUUUACAUUUUUUGAUAAGUAAUGCGUUGUAAAUGAAGUGUUUUUGGUUACUUGACUCAUUAGUGUUUCUGACUUACCCUAAACUGCGCUCUUAAUAGCUGUAUCAUAAGAGCAAAUCAUGAGCAAGUCAACUUUAAAAUCUGUAUAAUUACUAAUUGAUUUAUGUUUUUCAAUGUGUCAUGAAUGGACAGUUUGCGUCCAGAGAUGAGUGGACCAUGCUUUGUGAUACACUUGCUUCCAAACUUGUAGCUGCUGGUAAUACUCUGGCGGCAACUAUUUGUUAUAUAUGUGCGGGAAAUAUUGAUAAAACUGUAGAGAUUUGGUCAAGAAGUCUGACAACUGAGCAUGAAGGGAGAUCCUAUGUUGACCUUCUCCAGGUAAAUUUUCAUUUAGACCAGGCCAGUCAUGUUCUUUUUGGCCAUGAGGUUAAAUAUGCUUUUUUUUUUCAGAGAGAACGAGGUUAAAUAUGUUAUGUUAUUUGGUUUAGGAAUUAAUGGAAAAGACAAUUGUCCUUGCCUUGGCAUCUGGGCAGAAGCGGUUUAGUGCAUCCUUGUGCAAACUUGUUGAGAAAUACGCUGAAAUUUUAGCUAGUCAAGGCCUUCUAACAACAGCAUUGGAGUACCUAAAACUAUUAGGUUCUGAUGAGUUGUCACCUGAGCUUGUUAUCUUAAGAGAUCGUAUUUCUCUUUCAACCGAACCUGGUAUGUGCUUCUUUAAAAGUUACUGAAGUAACGUUUUAAUAUAUGCAUUUUUGUAUGCUGGAAAUUUCGAUCAAUGGCAAUUAAUCUGAUCAAAGUGAUUACUGAGUGGUCAAUAUUUUAAUUAGUUCAAUACACAAAAUUCGAUGGUUACAGCUCUUAAAAUUACAAAAGCUUCUUUCUUGUUACCUACAUUAUUUAUUUUCUUCCCAUGUUAUUUGUUGUGUUAUUGCACCAGAGAAAGUUACCAAGACUGAAACAUUUGGAAACCAACCUGCAACAAGUGGGCCUGAAUACACGGCUGACCAAUCUAGUUUUGUCGGGUCCUCUCCUCCAUAUUAUCAGGUGUUCAUGAAGUUUUUCGUUGCCGUUUUAUUUUUAUUUUUUUCUGUCGUUUGUUUCCAAAUCUGUUCUCUCGAUGUGGAUUGACUUUUAUUUUCUCUCUUUAAAUGGUUAGGAAACAGUGCCAUCACAUUUGCAAUCAGGUGUUCCUGUAAGUCCUUAUGGUGAGAGCUACCAAGAACCUGUGAAUCCUUCAUAUGGAAGAGGAGGAUACGGCCCUCCUGCCUCGUAUCAACCUGCAUCCCAGCCCCAUAUGUUUCUUCCUAACCAACCACCGCAGGUUCCACAGGUAAUUUGUUGUUUAUUAGCCUCUUUAGUAAAGAGUUAUUAGUUUGUUUACUUUCUGAAUAUGCUAUAACAUACUAAUACCACGGAAAAAUAUUCUUGGAAUCAGUGCACUGAAAUUCCUUUCUUUGAAGUAGAUCCAGUGUGUAUUCUUGCUGGUUAAGGGUUACAACAACAACAACAACAACAAAGCCUUUUCCCACCAAGUGGGGUCGGCUAUGGUUAAGGGUUAUUAGGAUUUAUUUUUUUGGGUAAAUUGCAGGAUGCUACAAAAUUAUAAAAUUAUUCGUUAGUCUUCAAAAAUGUGCGUGUUAUUUAAUGAUUAUCUGAAAUUUAGCUGUUAAUGGCACUUGGCUGUGAAAUCCUAGUUGGAAUGAACUUUUUGUUAUUAAGAAGUUACUGGUCACUUCUCACAUUUUUCAAUGUUCAAGGGUCUGCUUCAUUGGACUUUUCAUGGUGUACUUGUAGGAGAAAUUUUCUGCACCUCCUGUUUCCUCUCAGCCUGCAGUAAGGUCUUUCAUUCCUUCAACUCCUCCUGUGCUGAAAAAUGUGGAUCAAUAUCAGCAGCCAACAUUGGGUUCUCAGUUGUAUCCUGUCCGUAUAUCUUCGUUUGAUGUCAAAUUAAAUAUCAGAAACCAUGACCAUGAUUGUUUUUCUAACGUUUUUUUUUUUGGUUGGUGUUUCAGACUUUCCAACCUAUGCAACCAGGGCCUGGUUCAACUGCUCCUCUUCAAUCACAUGUCCCUCCUGUUCCUGUAAAUCAACCACAUGUUGUAGCUGCUUCUGUUCCUCCAAGAGGAUUUAUGCCCGUUACUAAUCCAGGAGUUGUUCAGGGGCCUCAUGUGGGUUCACUGCAGCCACCUAGUCCUACUCACCAAGCUCCAGCUCGAACCCCCGUGGCAGCGGCAGCUCCACCGCCCACCAUACAGACAGUUGAUACAGCCAAUGUUCCUGGUAAUUUGAGAUUUCCUUUUAUCUUGUGGAAAUUUGCCAACUUCUCUCCUGAACUGCUUUGCUCUUUAUAUCUGUUUAACUUUUCCGAUUUUGAAAUAUGAAGCUAGCUUCAUGUCGUAAUUUUCUCCUUGUCGUAGCUCCCUCAAUUUCAAACUUGAAGUCAGAGGAAUUUAGGUAGAAUUGGUGGACUAUUAAAGAUAUACAUGCAAUUAAACAGUAAUACGCUGGUAGGAUUGUCAAUAUUUUGAUUUGCAGUAUUUGUUAAAUAAUAAGAUGCAGAUCCGAACUUUAAGUUAUUGAGGUCUCGAUGAUAUCAUCAGUUCUCAUGAUUGGAAAUUUGAAACACGGAAAAAAUGGACAUGAGAAUGUUGGACCACUGUGAUCACUGCAAGCAAGAGUGGUUAUGGACAAAUUGCAUUGAUAUUCAUUUGGACGAUGAAGACAACAAGUAUUAUGAGUGGAGGUAAUUAGGAGAUACUUGACAAAAGUAUGACUAGGAACGAAAAUAUCGUCCAAUUUCAGAUUGGUAAAGGAAGAGGUUUUGUACGGUUGACUCCAAUUAUAGAUGAGAGAAGUCUCCGUUUUUGUUUUAGUUCCUGAACACCAUGUAAUAGAGGGUCCAAAAUUGAGUUCUACCUAGGUUCUAUGUUUGUUAGGUAUUAUAUAGUGUAGGCUGUUUCCCUACUUUAACAUUAAAAUCGACCUGACCUCAAUGAUGGACUCUCCAUAUUAUUUGAGCUGUCCUCUUGUCUGGCAUGCAAUUGUUGGCCCAAAGAAGUAGAGGGAAUGAAAUAUUUGUAGAGACCGCAGUUAGUUGAGUGUAUGUAUUGCAGUUAGUAUCAUGGAAUGUCCGACACUUGAACUGGGAUAUAUGGUCUAUGAGACAUUUUGACAUCUAGACGUUAGUGUUAAUUGUGUAUUUAAACAAGUACAACAGUUGGGAGACUGCUAAUUCUAUUUCCUUGAGUGUGUGUAGUCUGUAAGAUAUUCUCCUUCAUUUGUGGUUCCCUAUUUAUCACAUAGAAUUUCCAACCUGUGGUUGUGUGACAAUCUUUGCCUUUUUUGUGGAUAAUGUGGUACAGCCCAUCAAAAAUCGGUAAUCGCAACAUUAACAAGACUUUUCAAUGAGACAUCGGAGGCGUUGGGAGGUGCACGUGCAAAUCCCGGUAAGAAGCGUGAAAUAGAAGACAAUUCAAGGAAGAUAGGUGCAUUGUUUGCCAAACUCAACAGUGGGGACAUAUCUAGAAAUGCUGCUGAUAAGCUUGUUCAGCUUUGCCAGGCAUUGGAUAAUGGUGAUUUCGGUACUGCCCUGCAAAUCCAGGUACGUUUUUUAAAACUUCAAACUUUUUUUUUCUUUUUUUUUGAUUUUUGCAUUGCAUAAAUAAUGAGCUUUAAUGGGGGCUCCUUUGGUUUCUGCUUGAUAUCAGGUGCUUCUUACCACUAGUGAAUGGGAUGAGUGCAACUUUUGGCUCGCAACUCUAAAGAGGAUGAUCAAGACAAGGCAAAAUGUGAGACUAUAAGCCUGUUAUUACGCAAGUUUCGGAUUGUUUGGUUCCCAGAAAUCUUUCAUGGCCUGAUCUGCAAGAGUGCGGGACGGUUUGUUUUCAUGCAUUCAAGAAGUGCAUAUCUAGAUUUUGGCUUCGGGAUUUGACUAGCUUUCGAUUAAUUCUACCUUGGAAGGCAAAUAGUGGGUUUCAACGCAAAUAGUGAAGAUAGUCUCUCCGCACAUUAAAAGGACUUCAUGGUGGCUCUUUCGGUUUUACUUUUGUAGUGCUUAGAAAUAGCAUUGAUUUUUUUUUUUUUUUUUUAUCACUUUCGACAUUUUACAUAAAUUCAUAGAACGUUUACUCAGCUGCUUUGAGCUUUUCCUAGUGAUCUGGGUACCAUUUUGUCAUAGGCAUGAAAUUGUACCACCUUUGUGUCUUUGUUAUAUGAACACAAUUAGAAUUCCGACUUCAAUUUUGUUGAAAAUGACUGGCUGUGUAUCAUUUAUGUGUUACUGUUUUUGCAAUCUGAGAUUUCGGUAUGGUUUGGGCACAUGAAUUUGAAGGGGCCUCUUAUUAUUCAUGUCAGCGUAAGUGCACUUGGUCUCUUUAGAGAUUUCCGCUGUCUAACGGUCAUAUAUGAUAUUAUCUUUUUGGUUGCAUAUCGGAUUGUUAGAUGCUGAAUGUAUUAAGUAAAUGCUAUUUUCGAGUUUAUUACGAGGAGGAAGAUAAGUUGUAAAUGUGCAUUCUGCAAAUUUGUAUGGAUAGAUUGGCAUUAUAUCGAUAUAUAUGCUACAUUUGUAUUAGACAUUGUUCAUGUGAUGUUCACAUUUCCAUACCAAGGUGGCAUGACCAGAUGUGGUCGAGUUGAAGCACCCCAAGAACUAAAAACUAAGUUGGAGGACUAAAUUGUAAUUUGAAAGUGAUGGAUAAGUUUAGGAGCACCUACAAGUUAGCCCUCGAACUUAUCCACCACUUACAAUUUAGUCCCCAAAUCAUCCACCACUUCGAAUUAAUCAAGUUUUGUUUUCAUUUGUCCCCUUUUGGUAGUGAUUCUUGGUUGAAAUUGAGAAUAAAAUCUAUAUUUUCAACGUGAGAUUUACUUUUACUUUACUUUGGUGUUAAUAAACGCAUAUGAUAUGUCAAGAAUUAUAUUUACCUUUGCUGUCAUUCUAUUUCUUGGCAGAUUAUAUUUCUUGGUAUCUUGUGGACUCCACUUGUGUUUUCUUUUUCAAACAAUUAAACACAUUAGCAAUUUGUAAUCGAAACCCACCUCCUUACUUUUAUUUCGAAGAAAAACUAAUAAAAAUGGCUUGAAAGUUUUGAGUUUUAAUGAUAAGGACAAAAUAAAGGGUAAAAUGAAUAGUACUAGGUUUGACUUUUUAGUGUAAAAAUGUGAUUUUUCGUUAAAAUAAACAGUACCGCGGACUUUUCUUUAAAACUCCCUUUAUUUCGAAGGAAAACUCAUGGAUUAUUACACUAGUGACUACAACAUGAACCUAGUUCUUUAUAAAUAAGUGGCUUGCUAUUGAAACUCUUUUUUACUUUCUACGCACCUUUCUCAAUUUUCAGCCGUUGAAUCGAAAGAGUUGAAGAAUAUCAAAGAACAUUUAUCGACAAGAGAUGUGUAAGAAAUAAAAAUUGAUGUAUGAAUAACAUGGAAGAGGAUCCUCUCCUGAGCUCAUGAUGAGGAUCCUCCUGACCACGAAAUCAGGAACGUUCAAAUUUAAUCCAACGGCUCCAAACAGGGGGUCUCUCUAAAAGUUAUAAUAAUUGCAACCGUUAAAUUAAAUUUGAACGGUCCGGAUUUCUUGGUCAAGAGGAUUCCCAUCCUGAGCUCAGGAGAGGAUCCUCUUCCGAUUAACAUCACCAAACAAUGAAUUUGAGCCAAAAAAUAAAACCGCGCCACACGCUAGGCUACAGUGAUAUAAGGCCUAUCGAGUUUCAGAAUUUCAAAAAAGUAGAGGCCAAGAAGUAGCUGUAAAGCCUUGACAAAGGGAUACCUAAUAUGCUUGUUUCUGCUUGCUGCCAAACAGCUAAAAACACAAUUCAGUUUGAAACCAUGUUUGGAGAGCAGGCUAGCAGUGCUCUGGAAUCUUUUGAUAUCUUUCAAAAUUCAGUUUGUCUUGUACUUGAUUGUUUUAUCCAGUCCAAAGGGAAACAAACAGUAGAUAUAGCCACAGCUACAUGCCUACAACAUAAAGAGAAUGUUUGGCUGCUGCUACAAAUCCAUGCGAGUGCUCUUAAACUUGGUGUUUGUGCACUUUUCCACUCCUUUUCUUGGACCCGCAGAACACUCGUGUUCCCGGAAAAUGCGUCAUAAAACAAGCUUCUCACAACAAAAUGAAGAGUUUCUUUUGACCAUUCUCUUCUUUAUUACUAACGAUAUUUUUACUUUAUUUUAUGUUAGACAUAGGAAAAGAGUGUUCGAACUCAAAAUGUUGCGAGAUAAAGUAGAAUAAUAAUAGCCAUAGUAAUUAAGGUAACAAGCAUUCUUCGGUUGCUACAUAAUAUAGUAAGCUAAUGUGGCUCAUAUAUAGGGAUGGGCAAAUACCCAUUAGUUAUGGAUAACCGCGGUUACCCGCUUAUUUAAAUUUCACGGUUACGGUUAUGGGUAUAACCGUUUACUUGUGAAAUUUAAAUUGGCGGUUAUGAGUAUUAACCACGGUUAUAAACGGAUAACCAUUUACCCAUUUAUUUUAUAUAUGUAAAAUUAACAAAAACCAUGUUCCCUAUCGGACAAAACUUAGAUAAAUGCUAUUUACUAUAGUGCAUGAUUUCUAUAGCUAAUAUAAUAUAAUUUUUCUUAAACACUUUAAAUUUCAUGGUCCAUUAUAUAUAUUAUGUUAAUUUUUUACAUUCCGAGUCAAAUAACUCAAGAAUAAUGUCUUUUAAUAGUUUUCGUAACCCAAUAAUACUUGGCAAAUUUUAUAUUACCUUCAUUGCUAACAGUUAAAAAUAUUGUCUGUAAACUAUUAUUUCAAUUAUUGGAAUGAUAUACGGACUUAAAAAAUUAAAAUGCGGAAAUGUAUGAUGAAUGUACCUAUAACGGUGUUUAAUUGUUAGAAAAAAAAAUUAUGACAAAUUUUUCUUUUUUAAUUUUCAAGUUGUUAAAAACACGUAGAUGGGAGAAAAAGAAGUAAAUGGUAAAAAAAAAAAAGGAUAAACGGGUUUAAAAUGAUAAAUGGGUAAACGGGUACUAAACGGUUACGGUUAAAUGAGUACACGGUUAUGAGUAUGGUUAACCGUUUAUAAAUGGUUAUGGAUAUGAGUAUAACUGUUUAGACAAUUACCCAACAGGUAAACGGUUAUGCGGGUAUGAGAAUAAACGGUUAUGAAUAAAUAACCGCGAUUACCCGCCCGUCAUAACCGUGCCCAUCCCUACUCACAUAUGUAGUAUAUCUAGCAUUAUUCACAAAUCAUACAAUAUGCCUUUGAUUUAUAUACAUGAGACUUAUCUACGAAAAGUCAAUGAUCAUUUGAUUUAUCAGCACUUAUGACGUAUUUAUGACGUAUUUACCACACGAGAUUAGAGUGGGAAGAAACAAAAUCGCACUCUUCACUAUGCAUUCGAGCAUUUGCUAGCAUUUAGGGCAUCAGAAGAGUUCACCUAAUCUCAUAAUUGGAUUACUCAAAUAGAGAAGUCAGAUUCUUACUUCACCCAUAUUUCAACUCCUCCUUAAUUUAAUUUUUCUUAAUCCGAUUGCGUAUUAGUAAACCAGCUAUUUAGUAUAUGAGGUGGGUAUCUAUCAAUAAAGGGGUAGAAAUUAGGAAAUUGAACAGUAAAAGUAAAGGGACUGUUACAGAUUAAAAUUAACUGACAAGACUAGGCAUUUUCAUGAUGGGUAAAGCAACAGUGUGAUACUGUAAGAGAGUCAAACAAGAAUUCAAAGUGAAAUGAUCUAAGUUGAGCCCUUCGAUAUAUUCUUGGUUGAAAAUAAUUCUACCUUGUCGACCUAAUGUCAAACCCAUCUAGAAGCAACAAAUUGUCUACCAUGUUACAUGUACACGGUAUCAUCAUCGAGUGCUUGCGAUUUCUCAUUUAAUCCAAGUACGAGUCAAUAAAGCAUGAUUAAUCUAUACCUUCAAAGAGAAGAAUUAAGUCGUGCAUCUACCAGCUACAUCUGCGUUUUUUACGCAACGUGAAUUUGUAUUGUGGAAAAAUCCAACUUAAAUCGUGCUUUCAAAUGGGUAUUUACUUCGGGUCAAAGAUUUAGAAAAAAUGAGAGAUUGGAGAAACUCAGACAAAAAUAGUUAUUUAGGACUCGUUUGGAAAUGCUUUAAAAUGACUUGGGUUCCACAAACACUUCGGGUCAAAGAUUUAGAAAAAAUGAGAGAUUGGAGAAACUCAGACAAAAAUAGUUAUUUAGGACUCGUUUGGAAAUGCUUUAAAAUGACUUGGGUUCCACAAACACUUGAAGUGUUUCGAGCAAGAAGCAUCAAUUAUGUGUUUCUUCCAUGAAGCACUUCAAGUGUUUUUUUUUGUAGGGUUCAUUUGCAGUUUAUUAAAGAUUGAUUCAAAAAAUAUUUUCAUCAAACCACACCACUUUCAGCGAUUUUAAAAGCACUUUCAAAUGAGGAGUCCAAUUGAUGAUGAUUAGUGAUGAGUAAAAAUGUUUAUAAUUUAAUUAGUUUGAGAUUGCAAUGAUGCGGGGAAACAAUCAAUACAAUAAAGAUGAGCAAAAGGGCACGUUUCUGCCAAAAUAACAUAAAGCUUUUCAUCAUGAUGCACUAUACACUUUCAUGGCUUCUGUUGCAAGAAUACGUACUAAAAUAUGGAAAGAAAAAAAAAUUGAGAGUAAUUUUCGAAGCAUGGGAAAUUUUGGUCAAAAAUAAAAAUAAAAAUAAAACUUGUAGAUUGAUACCAUUCUACAAUUUCGUGUGGAUUAGAAGAGACGUUUUCUUCGUGACUUGUACAUCUUCAACUUUCAACUUGAACAAAAGUAUCCAUUGCUUCCUUUGACACGCACUGAAUCCAGUGAAUUAUCGAAUACGUGGACACCAAUCAAAGCCUAACAAAAAACAAAGUCGCAUAGACAUCUAUGAGGCUCACAACUAAACAUAAAUCUAGUGGUAUGCACACACACUUGAACCAAAAACAGAUUGCCUGUUCUUCUGUUCAUCUGAAUAUAAACAAGACAUUACAAAAUUUGAAGGCAUAUGCAGUGCAACGAGCCACAGUUCUUCAAAACAUUACUCUUGACUCGGCAAAUCCUAAGGAUCCCUGAAAUUUGAACAAUGCGGUAACAAAGAUGCAGAACUACAAAGAUCAAAAGCGGUAUCACUUGGCAUUUGACAUAUGUGAACUUUCAGACUACAAAAAUCUUCAUAUCAUUCGUCGACAUUAAACAACUUACAAGACAAAAAACAAAAAUGAUCAAACAACUUACAAUUGGGGAGAUCAAUUAACAACACAUUAACAAAUUAACGAAUCACAAGACGUGAGGAAGCAAAACCAAGAACAAAUAAGAGAGCAACAAAUCUGCAUCAAUGUAAAAUUUGCAAGCAAGAAAGCUUACAUGCCUUCGUUCUAUUCACAUAAAUCAAAUUUAUGCAGCAAGCUGUAUACCAGCAGCUGCACGAGAAUUGCCGCUCACAUGAGGCAUUGCAUCAUCUCUCCUUGAACAUGUAAAUGACUUUUUCCCAAAAGAAUGAUUUUGCAUCAAAUCAGGGACUCCUUUCCCAUUACCAGGAGUUGAUUGAUUACUCCUACCAAUAUAUCUUGCACUACCAAAUCUAGAAACCAGAUUCGCCGAUUUUGAACUGGAGUUAUCUCCAUCUGCGUUACCAUGGAACUCCGACUCCCCAUCAGUACCUGCCAUAAGCUCCAUCAGAUUGGUGCUAAACCCCAAAUCUGAAUAAACUCGCCGCGAAUUCCUCAACGCUUGCCUAGUCAAUUUCGCUUCUAGGGCUUCCAAAUUCUCUUCUCCAACACCCUCUAGCUUCGAAGUCAAAUGUGCAUUCCUUGAUUCAACCGGGCGCCCCAUGGUCUCUACCAUUGUACAUGGAUUGUUAAAACCAUUCCACGAAUGCAGGGGAACCAGUUUACUCAACCCAGUAAGCCAAACCACGACCUCCUUCAUCGAUGGCCUACGCUCCCUACAAGACCUCACACACUUGGCUGCAAUCACAGCUAAUUGCUUCCUCACAACAGGGUCUUUAGGAGGUACAAUUCGCGGAUCAUAAACCGUUAUCAGCUUCCCUCGCUUUAUAAGCGGGAUAGCCCAAUCAACGAUCGAAGGCGGAGAAUGCCCAACAUCAAUAGCCUUCCUACCACUUAUAAUCUCCAACAACAAAAUCCCAAAACUAAAAACAUCAGUUUUAGUACUCAAAUUGUCGGGGGUCACAUAGCAAGGGUCCAAGUACCCCAUCGUCCCCGCCGGCGGGGUGGACCGGAGCCUAUACUCGUCGAACUGGCAGUACCUCAGAGCCAAUCCAAAAUCCCCCAACCGGGCAUUGUAACUACGAUCAAUCAAAACAUUAGCAGACUUAAUAUCUCUAUGAAUUACAGGUGGGUUCGAUGAAUGUAAAAUGUCAAUUGCCUUAGAUGUUUGCAAAGCUAAUCUAAUCCUACGACCCCAAUUCGGAGGCCGAUUUGUACUCGAAUGCAAAACAUCGUACAGCGUACCGUUGCUCAUGAACUCCACCACCAAAAGCCUUUCUUUCGAAUCAUUCGAAAACCCCAAAAGAUUGACCAGCCUCGGACUCUGAAUCUUGGACAAGAUCUCGAGCUCAUUGUCGACCUCGUUCGCGGUCUCCGGCCCAGAAGACGAGGUGGGUCGGAGUCUCUGGCUGUGAGCUCUCGAGGGUCUUUUGACGGCAACAAGACGGCCACGGAGCACAGCUUUGUAAACGUAGCCAUGGCUGCCUUUGCCUAAAAGCUUCUGGUCGGAGAAGCCAUUGGUGGCGGCGACAAGAUCACUGUAGUCGAAGUGUUGGAUCUUGAUGGGGUUUUCCGGGGUGGCGGUGGCGGUGGUUUUGGACGAUGAGGUUUGGGAAUUGGCGACGGAGAUGGCUGAUUGAGCUCUGCAGGAAAGGUACCCCAUUAAAGUAAAAUCGAGAUUUCGACUCUGUGUUUUGGUUUUCUGGAUGGAUUGAAUGGGAGAGACGAGAGUUUGGUGUGAUGAAAUAUACGUGACUUCGAUUAUAUGAAAUUUCCAGGACCAAAGUUGGUUGAAAAUUGGGUUUUGUUGGUGUCGUGUUCUGCAACUGUUUGUGCGGUGUCGUUAUUGUAUAUAAGCAAUUAUAUUGACCCAAACAAAAGAUGGUUGAAAUUUGAGUUUUCUUGAUGCCCUAGGCAAAUUAGUAUUUAUUAAGGGAAUAAUUGUCUUUGUCUAAUUAAUGGAGUGAUUUUUCAGUAUGAUCGGAAUACGAGGUGAUACAUCACAUGUUAUUGUACAAAUAGUGAGAUAUGUGUGUUAAAAAUUUAAAAAGUUAAAAUAUUAAAAAAUUUCACUAUUUUAUAUAAAAACAGUUAGUGUACUACUCGUGUUCCGGUAACAAUGAAAAUUUUCUCCGAUUGAUGGGUCAAUUCUUGCCAAAAUAGGGUGGAGUUACUCGUGAGCAAGUCUUCUCUUACUCAAUUGCUACCAUCUCCACCCCAGUCCAAAAAGUCAGACAGUUCAUGGGCUCACAAUUGCCUGACAAGCCCAGGUGGCGAUUUUAGCCAAACUCUUAGCCCGAGUUUGAUUUGAUGCCAGCAUGAGUUCGGCCAUGUGCAAAAAAAAUUCUACGUCAGACGCGUGCAAUACAAUGCUCGUGGGUGGCCCGUCAUGAGACAAAAAAGUAUCGUGAGGCCUGCGUUGCAAGUUAUCUAAAACGUGAUAGAAUCUGGGCUGUUGGAUUUCCAACUGUCCUCAUUACUUCAGCCAUUUUUUUUGUUUAAACAAAAAAAAAAAAGAAAAAAAAAAGAAAGUGACCAUUUUGUCCACAUGGCACAAUUUGGCACAUUGUCUUGAAAAUUAAAUGAAUCUAACAGUCCAUAUUAACUUGGUUAAAAAAAUAAAAAUUGAGAAAAAGUACAAGACAAGAAUUUUAAUGUAAUUUGGGAUAAUAAUACGUGGCGUGACAAAAUUGAUAUAUUUUUUUUAAAAUAAUGUUAAUGUUUAAUUUGGUUCGAAAAUAAUUUAAAAAAAAACAGAAAAUGGAAAAAAAUAUUGAAAUAUUGCCUAUAAAUAUCCAAAAGGCUACAAACAAAAAAAAGAAGAGAGAGAGAUAGCAAAUGGAGGGAGAGAUGAUCAAUUUCUUGAAGGUAUGGUUCACAGUCUAUCUGUGUCUAUGUCACUGCUAAUCUGCUGUGCCACUGCUAUGGCACUGCCAAGUUAGUCUCCAAAGGGUGCAAAAGCGCGGUGAAAUGUUACGACCCAAUUCUAAGAGCAAUUUAAGAGCUCUUGAGCACCAUUUCUUUACUAGAGAAAUGCUCUCCUACGCACAUGAUUGUGCGCAUGAGUUGCACAUAACCUAUCCCCACUAUAUUGACAGUAUAAUGAUAGUACAAUUAAUGAUGAUAUAGUAUCCAUAUAAAGAUACGAUGUCAAUACACUAUCAAUACGGGUUGCAGCCCACACCCACAACCCGCGUGCACUGGAGAGAAUUUUUGUUCUUUACAAAUCAGUUUUAAGAAGCUAGUUUUACCCAGAUGCUCUAUAAAGGUGGGAAGCAUGAAAGGUCUUUGGAUGGAGUGAGUAGAUUGGAAGAGACAAGUAAAACAUAUGACAACUUUAUAUACGUGGAAUAUGUAUAUUAACAAAAGAAUAUAUUUGUCGGAUUUCUAUAUCUACAUUAUCUUCGUUGCAGGUUCAUGAAUCUGAUAUAAGAACUUAUCAUGUCCCAAAGUGAGAACCUGGAUGCGAAGAACCGCACGUUUACUGACUUUUCCGAUCCAUCUCUGAGAAAUUCCAAGUCCUUGGCAAGGUUGUUCGGCAUACCUUCAGGGGCAUCAAGCAAAGGUAAUGCAACUGAACCCUCAGUCUCUAGGUUUUUGAUCCACCCGCGUAACAAGUAAUUCACAACCUGCAGGACAAUGACAAUUAGUCUUCUAAGAACACAAAACAAGAAAGGAAAUCAUCAAACGGGAAAUCCAAAAAUCCAAUCGAAAGUGCUCCAACGAAAGGCGGAUAGUGAAUAUGGUUUAUGUACAUUUUUCUUCGUAGAAAAAUCCAACCAAUCGACUUUUGCUGAAUCUCUCAGAACUUCGAUGAAUGAAAUAUCUACUUAUCUAAAAAGAGUUACUCUUGAUGUAUAAGAAACUUAUUAACAAAAUCACAAAUAAUAUACAAGAUUUACUUUCCUAUUUUACUGAUCUAAACACACAAACUUUUAAUAUGUAUCCAAAUUAAAACAUAUAUAACAGCGAUAAUAUAUGCCAACUUUUCCUGCAAUAGCAAGUAUUCAAUGCACGAAAAAGGAUAUUUCGGUGCUAAUUAGUUAACUGCUUACCUCCGGAACUUCAUCAUGAGGGCAGUGACCAGCGGGACUGAUCUCGUAAUAUGGAGCUUCAGGCACCUGUUGCUUCACCUGAAGGCCCCAAAUAGGUUUCACCCAUGGAUCUUCUUUUCCAUACAUAAGACAGAUUGGUAUGUUGUUCAUUUGACAUCUAUGGAAAAAAAAAUGUACUGGUGCCUCUCAAUUAACUUGCACCAGAAAAACGAAAGCACAUACAAAAUUGUCUUUAUGCAUAUAAGUCAUAACCCUUGUAUUGUCUACCUGGCCAAAGCCUCCUUAAAGGAUAAUCUUCCUUGAGGAGCAAGCAUAAUCGAGGCCAAUGAUGCAGCAGCGGCUGGAUGCUCUGACGUCUCAAGUAUACGGGAAAAUACUUUGUCAAUGUUUGUUGAAUGAUCUGCAUAAACUUGUUUGAGUACCUCUGCAAUACUCUGAGGAUCACUUAUUUUUUGCCAACUGAAACCAAUGAAGCAAAUUAGAGCAGUUUAUGUACUAACUUACGACCUGAAUCAUAAAACAUAUCCCCAAGAAUUUUGCCAGCUUUAAAAACUUACAGUAUUUCUGUGAUCUUUCUCACACUGGCAGGUAAAGGAAAUGAUCCUGCAGACGGGAAUAUUUUUGCUAGUCUUGGAGAUCUUACGGGAUUAGGUAAAAAUCCCCAGAAAGGAGUUGCAUUCAGCAAGGUAACACCUUUCACCAAAUGAGGGUUACAUGCAGCAAAAUACAAAGCAACAAAUCCUCCUAGCGAGUUCCCCGCAAUAUAGACAGGUUCACCGAUUACCUGCAAAGAAGAAUGGUUGCAUUUAUAUUGCUCAUGAGUAACAACAGUCCGGGAAGUGAUGAAGAAAGCUACUUCUCAUAUAGAAGAGAAAAAAAAAACUAAAAUUAGAUGUUAUUUCGCCGCAAAAAAGUAGAAGUCAUACAAACUCAAGCAAAGGAGCCAUGUAAGAUGCUCAAAUUAGCACAAACAACGAUGGAAAGAGAAGAAAGGAAAUAGACCAAGUCAUCAAAAAUGCUUCCCAAACUUUAACAAACAGAGGUGCCAUGAGCUAUAGUGUACCUCUUCUAUGAAGUAACGAACUUGAUCCUGCCAUAAGUCAAUAGAGUAGACAAGCUCGCUUGCCCAUGGUUCGGGUUUUUCUCCAAAACCCCACGCUAAAUCUUGGCCGUCGGACAUACCUUCUUCGCUCUUACGAGGGGCAGGGUCCUCAAAAGGCAAUGACCUACCCUGCCCGAGGAAAUCAAUUGCCCACACUCUAAAAUCACGCCCCAAAUCUUUCAGUUGCUUCUCGUAGUGAAAAGAGCCAACCCCAAAACCAGGAAGAAACAGCACCGGAGGGGAUCCCAAGUUCUCACAUCCGGCUUUCUCGUAAUGCACAUUGAACUUGGGCUUCCAUUCCCAAAAACAACUACUCACUGGGGCACCAAAUUCGCCUUUGGAUUCAUCCGGUAGACCAGGAAUCAAAACCUUAGUAACGGAUUCCGCCGUUUCUGAAACAUUUGCAUCCUCAUCCGCGCCAAUUACAUAGCCAUUCGAGCUUCCACUUGAUAAAACCGGACCAACAUGCUUGAAGUUUUCACUGGUGUUCAAUGACCUAAAACCUCCCCGGUAUCUUAGUUGCUUCAAGAAAGACCGAUCUAAACUGUAACACCUCAAAAGCUCGCUUCUGGGAUCAAAUUGAACACCACUAACUCCUUUUUUACUAACAUCUGGGAGCCCGAAUCGACGUAAAUUUGAGCUUUUCUCUACUAAUUUUCCCCUUAAAUUUACAGCAUCACAGCACGGUGCAGAACUGUAUGAGAGUGUUUCCAUAUCCACUAAAUAUAUUCUGCAAACAUGAACCAAAUCUGAUAUGAACAGAAUUUCUAAUCAAUUUAUCAAUCAUUAACUUGCAAAUUAACACCUAAAAACAGUAUAAGAUAAAUAACUUAAUAGAAAUUCUUCUUCUUUUUCUCUGUUGGGUUACCUUUAAAUUCAGCAGAGAAGUGUCAUAACAGUUGCGAUGGCUUUCGUGGGAUGCUCAGUCAUUCUUCUCCAAGUAUUUAGGAGAUUCUGGCAGAAUCUAGAGAGAGAGAGAGAGAGGGAGUUGCUUAAACGCUUCUUCUUCCUUUCGAGACAAGGAAAAAGAAAGUGACUUACAAAAAUUGUGUUGAAUAAUUGUCCGUUAAACAACAAAACCCCACACCCCUCUGCCGACCUAAAAACACUAGAGAAGUUUAGUACCUUGUGAUGAAAUUACUUGUACAUUUGUUUUAUAACCUUCUCCUAAACACGAAGCGUUCAACUAGUUAGUAACUUAAUUUGAAGCGAAUCAUGUAUUUGUGCUUGUUCCAUAGCAUUUUUCCAUGUUUCAAAUCAAAAAGUGUUUUAAUAUCUGAUUGUGACAAAAUAAUUGACAAAUCAAAUGUUGUUGAAAACACAAUGAAAUGUUCACGAUAAUAAUCGAAUAGCUCAAUGAUUUCUAAUUAAGAUUAUUUUUUUAAAAGUGAUUUUGAAUGAGGAUCUAAAACAAAGGACGGUCAAAUUAUGAAAAGAAAUAUUAUAAAGUGCUCACAAAAGCAUAAUUAACUUUAUAUUAAAUUGCUAACUGAUUAACGUUGAAGCGCUUUUAUCUUCUUAGUAAACUGGUUAGCGGUCCAACAAAGAAAAACAAGAUUGGAUUUUACAAAAAGGUUUGGGUAGAAAAAGCAGAAAAAAAAAACAAAGGAAGGAAUAAGAAAGAGUAAAUUGUAGCAAUAGUCACUUAACUUUAACUUAAUUGGAGCAAUGAUUAUUUAAGGAAAAAUUCAUUACCAUUAGUCACUCAACUCAUCAAAACGUGCAACUAUGGUCCCUCAACUAAAAAUUCAUUACAAUUGGUCCCUCAACUAAAAAUUCAUUACAAUUGGUCCUUCAACUUUAAUCCAACUGGAGAAAUUGUCUCUCAACUUUAACCCAAUUUGGGCAAUAAUCCCUCAACUUUAACCCAAUUCGAGCAAUGAUCUCUCAACUUUAACUCAAUUGUAGCAAUAAUCCUUCCAACAUAACUCGUUUUGACAAAAUUCCGAAAUUGACGAAAAUUACCAUAGCUACACGUUUUGAUGAGUUGAGAGACCUCAAUUGUAGCAAUGGUCUUUCCAUUAUAACUCAUUUUGACAGAACUUUGACGAAAUUGAUGAAAGGGACCAUAACUAUACAUUUUGAUGAGUUGAGUGACCAAUGGUAAUAGAUUUUUAAUUGAGGGAUCAUUGCUCUAAUUUGAUUAAAGUUGAAGGAUAAUUGCUACAAUUUAUUCAAUAAAAAAACCGAGAAAAAGACAAGUGUAUAGAAGACAGUAACAUCAAUAUCAUUGGUUCAACCAGAUUCUUCAAAAGCUAUGUUCCUCUGCAACUGAAAUAGAUUCCAAUACCUACAAUCGGAUUCCAAGCGCCAAUCAAUCAUGUUUCAGUGGGUCCAAUCGCUUUGCAAAAUCGAAGGGCAUCAUACGCUGCCGGUUCGGGUACAGUGCUAACACGUAUUCUGGGUCGCAGCAGAGUGCGCCUAAGCGAGCUAUUUCUUUACGCAAAUGGAUAUAUUAUUUCCUCUUCUUUGUAUUGCUUGACACGUUUAAUGCACCUAAGUUUGAAAAAGACCUAUUUGUUGAUUUCUCACUCGAAUCGAACUUGUGAGGUGUGAUAAUUUCUUUCUGAAUUAAUUUUAGCCAAUUACCUCUAGACUUUCAUAAUUAGCCAAAAUCAUUCAUGCGUUAGAUUUUUUUCAUUUUUAUUUGAUAUUUUAUUCAUUUUGGUCAUGUGAUAUUCAUGUGAGAAAAUUAUAAACACAAAAACGUCAUUUUACACAAAAAUUAACCUAUAUCUUCCUUCACUCACUUUGACUAGCUCAGCUCAACUCGCCACAACAACCUCCUUUGACGCAACACAUGACAGAUGAUAUCUCCUGAUUUCUUGGAAUUGUUUCCUGUUUCAUCAAGAUUUCCUAUAUCAUUAAAACAUUCCUUUUAUGUAUUCAUUGACAAUUCACCUUCUGGAUUAUCGAGGGAUUGAGCCAGUUUAGCUUCUCUUACCUUUGCUAUAUUUCCUGCAUUUGCUGCUGUGCAUUAUCUUUUAACACAAGCUAACGAAGACACAAACGUAAACCCUAAAAGAAAAAUAUUCUCGAAUCCACCAGAAUUAGGAGAAAACCAAAAGGUUUAUUUGACUAAUUCUUGAAUCCCCAUUACAAUAAAAGCCAAAAGGCUCCAAUAGACUUAACUCAGCCCUGGAAAGUUCAUGGGUAUUUGGGGAAGUGAAAUGACAUAAAUCAAACAGAAAACCAGAAGUUUGAUUUUAUUACAAACAUUAAACGUUGUUUAGGAGGCUGAAAACCAUCAUUUUUUGCGUUAAACAUGAUGAGGUCAUGGUAACUAUGAGUCUUGUUCUUCUUGCAAUUCUCCUUAAAACAACGUAUUACACGUCCAAUUUUGAUUCCAGAAGAUUUCUUACUGCAUUUUCUAUAGUCAUCGAUUGAAUUCAAUAUUUCUCUGCUUUAUUUCUUCUAUUCUAGAAUUUGAAACAUUUUUUUCUCAUCUUUCUUCGAUGAAAUUGACCUAUCUCUUAUCUUACAUUAGACUUCUCCACUUGAAAGAAACUCAACUGCGAAUUCGUCUUUAAAUUGACUCUGACAUUAGGAAUCACAAAGCUAGAUAAUCACAUAUAAUCUUUAACAUGAGGAGCACAAACUUCUUCAAACAUGGAUGGUAUAACCAUGUAUUCGGUUCCAUAAAUAAAAUUUGAAUAAGUAGUUGACUCAUCUUGUCGUCCGGGUUCACAUGCUUGGUAGUUCCUCGUGUUUGAUAAUGGCUUAUCUUCAAUCGCGACAUCACUUUGUAUUGGGGACUCGAUUCAUGUGCUUGGUAGUUCAUCGUGUUUGAUAAUGGUUAGGUAUAUUCAUGUGCAAGGUUUUAUGUCUAGUUAGAUGACCAUUAUAAUAAAUAAACAUAAAAUCAUGUACAUGAAUCUUAACAUAUUUUGGCAUGAAAACCAUUCACAAUGCAGGUAUAAGGCCACAUGGCUGAAUCAGAGGUAUUGAGAACUCAGAGGUAUUCAUAAUUAAUGUCUAGUUAUUUAUAUGACAAUCAUUCAACUGUAACAGACUACUCAAGCAAAGUAUGAUCGUAAGUUAGCAAGUCAACACUAAACUACAAUAAUGUUUUCCUGUUUUUGACUGGAAGUCUAAUUAAACAAACACUCUAUAAGAAAAGAGAGAGAGCUUACUUAAGCUUGGAGAAUUGCUUACUUGAAUAUGUACACUUGCUCUUUAAUUAAUAUAAUAUGGAUUACAAAAAUAUGGAAGGUUACAGAGAUGAAAGUUUACAAAGUAUGGAAGAAAGCUUUGAAUACUUGCUCAGUGUGAGGGUUGAGGAGUUUACGUUUUUCUCGUGUGUUUUUUGUGAAUGAAGGAAAGCCUUAGUUUAUACAGAUACGAGAUUGCAAGAUUACAAAUAACUUUUCAAAUAGUUACAAGAGUACAAUUAUUUACAGAGAAUUUUUUUUUUCAAAGAAAAACUUAUGGAAAAUAUUUGGAAAUUUUAAAUUUUAACCAUAAUGACAAAAAUAUAUUAUAAAUAAAUAGUAAACCAGCAAUAUUUCGUUAAAACUUUAUUUUUUUUCAUGGUUGUCACUAUUUCUUCUUGAAGUAUUCAGACUGUUUCUAUUGGAAUAAGUCAAUAUUUAGAAGAAAAAAAAUGUAAAUAUCUUGUAAUUAUUAGAGUCAUGUUUUAGGAAGGAUAUUGUGUCAUUUACUUUGUUUCCUUUUGUAACAAGGAUUGUAUGUACUAUUUAUUCAGAAUAUGCAAUACAUGAAAAUUAAGUCGUAAAAUUCUAUUUGGCAUCAGAGCCAAGCUGCCGUAACCCUAGAAACUGUAAAACUUUUUCCAUCCGUUGUUGUGUUGGUCGAAUUGGUUCCUGCGCAGUUGUUGCAGAAAUCAAUUCAGGCCGUGUAUUCUUGUAUUGCAGGCUGUGAUCCUGCUGCUGCUUCAAAGUACAAACUGUGCCGUGCUUUCGUGCUACUGGUGUCGUGAGGAACGAAGGAGAACAACUGUUGUGCACUGCAAUUUUUUUGUUUCUUUUUUUUCCGCUGCAUACCUAUAGGAAGAGACAACUGUUGUGUCGUGUGUCGUGCACAAUUGCAAGUGUGCUUUUAUUGUUGCUUUCUAAGUUGCUGCAUGAAAAUAAAAAAAAGGGAUUGUCUUUCUUGUUUAUGACGUGUGUUGGUCCUAACGAAGGGAAAAUAAGGGAUUGAAAGUGUAAUUUUGUUUUUCAAGUGCUGCUCUCUGUGUCUCUUGCAACGUGUGGUUCCGUAAUUUGUUUGGUACUAUAAUUACCAUGUAUCGGUGUCUCGUGAGUUAUUACAAUGGUGAAUAUAGGUUGGAUUUUGGAUUCCGGUGUAACCGAUCAUAUGACUUUUGAUAAGAAUUUAUUUACUAGUAUGACAACCAGUUCACGGAAGUGUAUUGCAACUGCUAAUGGAACAACAACACUAGUUUUGGGGGCCGGCACUGUGAACCUCACGCCAGCCCUUCCCCCUCAUCACUGCCUACUUGUUCCCUCGUUGUCUCAUAAUUUGCUAUCUAUUCCUCAAAUUACUGAGCAAUUAGAUUGUGUUGUACUUAUGUAUCCAAUGUUUUGUUUGCUUCAGGAUAUUCAGACCAAUGAGAUAAUUGGGCGUGGCACUAAGAGAGAGGGGUUAUAUUAUGUGGAUGACGUCGUUCCUGGCAGAGCUAAUGCAGUUCGAGCAUCCCGUACCAAUAAUUUACAGGAAGUUUGGUUAUUGCAUCGUCGGUUAGGACAUGCUUCGUUUGGUUAUUUGAAGCGUAUGUUGCCUAAUUUAUUUCAUGAAAUAAAAGAAUCAGACUUACAUUGUGAGGUAUGUAUUCUCGCGAAGAGUCAUCGCGUUUCGUUUCCUCCUAGUAUGAAUAAAAGAUUAUUUCCUUUUGAACUUGUGCACUCUGAUGUUUGGGGUCCCUCUCCUGUUAGUACUUUGUCUGGAAUUAAAUGGUUUGUUACCUUCGUUGAUGACUGCACUCGUAUGACUUGGAUUUAUGUGAUGAAGAAUAAAAGUGAUGUGGGUAUGGUGUUUCGAUCAUUCGCUCAAAUGGUUGCAACACAAUAUUCCUCUGUUAUUAAGGUUCUCCGCUCUGAUAAUGGAGGUGAGUAUAUUGGUUCCGAGUUGUCCGGCUUUCUUCGGGAUCAAGGAAUUCUACAUGAGACUACUUGUCCUUAUACCCCACAACAAAAUGGGGUUGCUGAAAGAAAGAACCGUCAUAUCCUAGAAACUGCUCGUGCCUUGCUCAUUGGUGCAUCUGUACCUAAACGGUUCUGGCUUGAAGCUGUCACCUAUGCCGUGUAUGUGAUUAACCGUAUGCCAUCCCGGGUUGUGGAUUUUCGUACACCUCUCCAAGUAUUGACAGAGUUUGUUCCAGUAGUGUCAACUAAUACUCUUUCUUCUCAUGUAUUUGGGUGUGUAGCCUAUGUUCACAUUCACAAGAUUCAUCGUAGUAAGCUCGAUCCAUGUGCUCACCGGUGUGUUUUUCUGGGAUUUGCUCCUCAACAGAAAGGGUAUAAGUGAUACCACCCUGAAACUCGUCAUAUGUAUGUAACUAUGGAUGUUACCUUUUCCGAAUCCGAGUUCUUUUAUGCUUCGACUCCAUCACCUUCCGAUCACCCGGGGGAGAAUAUGAGUGGUGAUCUUGGGUGGUUGGAAAUAUGUAGCUCAUGGGGAGUAUUUAUUGACAAAACAAGUUGUGAAAGCUCGGCAAGACACUGCCGAGAAUGGAGACAGUGAAUCUCGGCAAGACACUGCCGAGAAUGUGAGUAUCAUUCAGCCAAGUAGCACUGAACCAGUUGAGUCUUCUCGGCAAUGUGCUGCUGAGUGUGAUGCAGAGUGUCAACAGGGAGUUGCCGAACCAGUUUCACCGCUCCAGCAACCAUUAGAUACCGAACCCGCAACCCCCCUCUCUCUCAAGCUCAAUAGUGCCACCCAAUAUGUCUUCUCUGAAUAUUCCUGAGGUAAGUACUACUGAUGCUCAUGUAACUAAUCCAGAUAAUGUUAUGAGUACAUAUAAGUUGCCGCCAAGGCAAAAUCGUGGUGUUCCUCCUGACAGGUUUUCUCCAGAAGGAAAAGUGAAGUAUCCAGUAGCUAAUUACGUGUCAUGCUCAAACCUUGCACCAGAACGUCAAGCCUGGGUAAACAAUGUGGAAGCAAUCCAAACACCAACCCGAGUUGAGGAGGCCUUGAAGGAUCCUAAAUGGGCUGCUGCGAUGGAUAAGGAAAUGAUGGCAUUACAUAAGAAUAAUACAUGGGAGGUAACUGAGCUACCUAAAGGGAAGAAACCAGUUGGGUGUAGAUGGGUCUUUACGAUCAAAUACAAGGCAGACGGAUCGGUAGACAGGUAUAAAGCAAAGUUAGUAGCAAAAGGCUAUACUUAAACUUAUGGUGUUGAUUAUCAGGAGACUUUUUCUCCAGUAGCGAAGAUGAAUACAGUACGAGUUCUGAUUUCUUUAGCUGCAAACUUGAAUUGGCCACUAAAACAGUUUGAUGUGAAAAAUGAUUUUCUUCAUGGGCACUUGGAAGAAGAGGUAUAUAUGGAUUUUCCUCCAGGGUACAAUGCCAGAGGGAAAACCGGAGUAUGUAGGUUGCGAAAGUCACUCUACGGACUUAAGCAAUCGCCUCGUGCGUGGUUUGGUAGAUUUACCCAAGUUAUGAGGCGGAUUGGGUAUUAUCAAAGUCACUCGGAUCAUACAUUAUUUGUGAAACGGGAAAGUGGUAAAGUGACAGCUUUAAUUAUUUAUGUGGAUGACAUGAUAAUAACAGGUGAUGAUUCGGAAGAGAUGAUGAAGCUAGAACAAAACCUUGCCGCCGAGUUCGAGAUGAAGAAUUUGGGAGAUUUGAAAUAUUUUCUUGGCGUGGAAGUUGCUCGGUCAUCUAGAGGUAUUUUCUUGUCUCAACGUAAAUAUGUUCUGGAUUUAUUAAAGGAAACAGGAAUGUUGGGAUGUAAGCCUGUGGACACUCCUAUCGUAGAGAAACAUUAUUUGGGUAUUUAUCCAGAUCAGGAACCGGUUGACAGAGGUAGAUAUCAAAGACUAGUGGGGAGGCUGAUUUAUCUUUCUUACACUCGUCCAAAUAUUGUCUAUGCUGUAAGUGUGGUUAGUCAGUUUAUGCAGUCACUAAGUGUGGAUCAUAUGGCGGCAGUAAUGAGAAUCUUGGCAUAUUUGAAGUCUGCCCCUGGUAAAGGAAUUUUGUACGAAUGUCAUGGACAUAUGAGGAUUGAGGGAUUUACUGAUGCUAAUUGGGCAGGUGAUGUGACUGAUAGACGGUCUACAUCUGGGUAUUUUACUUUUGUUGGAGGUAAUUUGGUUACGUGGCGAAGCAAGAAGUAGAAUGUGGUAUCACGGUCUUCUGCCGAAACCAAGUAUAGGGGUAUGGCACAUGGUGUGUGUGAGAUUCUUUGGCUACGAAAGUUACUUUGGAGUCUUGGUUUUAAGUAGAAUGAGGCAAUGAAGUUGUAUUGUGAUAAUAAGUCCGCCAGGGAAAUAGCCGAGAAUCCAGUACAGCAUGACAGGACUAAGCAUGUUGAGGUUGAUAGACAUUUUAUCAAAGAAAAGCUGGAGAAAAAGAUUGUGUCAAUACCGUUUGUGAAUUCAGAAGAACAACUUGCAGAUAUCCUAACCCAUGCCGUGUGUAGUAGAAGAUUUGGUAAUUCACUUGUCAAGUUGGGCAUGAGUAAUAUCUAUGCUUCAACUUGAGGGAGAGUAUUGGAAUAAGUCAAUAUUUAGAAGAAAAUGAAUGUAAAUAUCUUGUAAUUAUUAGAGUCAUGUUUUUGGAGGGAUAUUGUGUCAUUUACUUUGUUUUCUUUUGUAACAAGGAUUGUAUGUACUAUUUAUUCAGAAUAUGCAAUACAUGAAAAUUAAGCCGGAAAAUUCUAUUGUUUCUGCAUGAUGCGAUGAGUUUUUCAUUAAUUUUUCCCAAAAGAAUUGAAAAAUGAAAAGUUGACCUGGUGAGUUAGUUAGGGAGAGAAGAGAUCCAUUCUUCUUCUUCGUGAAGACCAUAAGCAGCAAAGAGACGAAGUCUCUGUUCUCCUCUCCUCCUCCAAGAUCUUAUUUUCUUUAUAUUUCUCAAAAUACAAGCCCAAAUUUGAUGCCGUUUUCAACCACGAGAUCCAUGAAACGAGCUCUAAAUAUCAAGGUAUUUUUUUUGUUUGUUUGUUUGUUUUUGUUUUGGUCCGUUUUAGAAAUAUCCUCAAUUCAGAGUUUUAAUCUAAUUGAGAUAAUUUUGUAGCUUGAAGUGUUGUUUGAGUUGCUUAUGAGCUCGGGAAGCUAAUUUGACGAAUUGGGGACUCGAUUGAUACUUUUGGGUAAGUUUCUAAUCCGUUAUGUACAAUUCCAAUGAGGAAUUGUUCUUUUAGUUGGAGAUUUUUACCAAUUGAGUUAAAAAUUCGAAAUUAAUUUUUAGUUAGUUACUUGAUAGUGAAUUUGGAAUUUAUGUAAUGGGUAGUUUUUUGCAUGAAGAACAAGUAAAAAAUCUGGAAAAAAUGUCCCUGCUGCUGCUGUACUGUUUUCUGCAGUGCACAGAGCCAUUUUAUAAAUUUGAAUUUACUUUUGCGGCAGUUUGAUGAUUUUCUAAAAAUAGAGGGUUCCAACUGUAGUUGGUAGAAAGUGCAGUGGUAAUUUAUAAAUUUAAGCAAACUUAUUGGGCAACAUGCUUGCUAUACAGCAAGAGACCAUGAACAUGCUUACUCGAGGGUACUUGGGAAAUUGGGAAUACAAUGCUACGGCGAUUGAGCGUUGUAUUUUUGGGAUCGUCUUGGGGCGUGACGACGAGCAUUGCUCUCUUCUCUGUUAUUUACUUUGUCACAUCCUUGGUUAUUCUAAUGUUGUCCAAAUAGCUCAAGAAAGUUUCCCCCAGUAAUGAAUACACCACCACUUGUUUUCAACCAACAUUUUUCUUCUGAAAUAAUGAAGUGCAAUAAUUUUUUCUCCUUUCUGGUAGAUAAAUCAAGUACAUUUUAUGCCUUUUUUCAAAAUAAAAAAUGAAAAAUCUCGGGCUUGGUUGACGAAAUUGUCCGAAUUAAAGGUUAAAUUGCUAGUUAGGUUAAGCAAUAUAUGGCAUAUACUACAAUUCUACAAAGCAACAAGUUGACAGCUUUCUUUCUCUAUACAUUUAUGUCUUUCUGUAUCUCAUUUGACUUACUCCCCUUCCCUCUUUCUAUCUCUCAUUUCCUCAGAAACAUAAACUGCAACCAUGCCUUUGAGAAGAGCCUUUGAAUCUGCUUCUGUAAGCCUGCUGCUUAACAAGUUGGCCAAUCAAGAUGUAAUUGAUUUUUUCCUCAAGUGGAAACUGGACAGCUCGCUCUUAACAAAGCUCAAGACAAAUUUGCACAUAAUUCAUGCAGUUCUCAAUCAUGCUGAGGAGAAGCAAGUCAAAGACUUAUAUGUCAAAGCUUGGAUUGAAGAGGUCAGGGUUGCAGCCUAUGAUGCUGAGGACAUUGUGGAUGAGCUUGCUAACGAUGCGCUUGAAUCGCAAUACAAUAAUCAGGCAUUGAACUAUGUCUGUGACUCUUUGAAUGCAAAUGAAACAGUCAAGGAAAGCCUGGACUUUAAGAUGAAAGACGUUGGUAAUGCUCUGAAUCCAUUUAAGGAACGUGUAGAGCCAAAGUUGGAAAAGAUCAUAAAAAGAUUAGAUGAAAUUGCAAAGCAAAAAGAUAUUCUUCGUUUGAGAGAAGAUGCUGGAGGGAUGUCGUCUGGGAUUGAUAGAUUGCCAACAACUCCAAUGGUUAAUGAAUCUCAUGUUUAUGGCAGAGAGUUUGAUAAGGAGGAAAUAGUCAAGUUGCUGGAUUUGGGUAAGGAAAAUGAUGAUGGGAUUUCCAUAGUUCCAAUUGUAGGCAUGGGAGGCAUGGGAAAGACAACACUAGCUCAAAUUGUGUAUAAUGAUGAGGUCGUGGGUCGGCAUUUUAACUUGAAAGCUUGGACCUGUGUGUCUGAUGUAUUUAAUGUCUGCAGGAUAAUUAAAACACUUGUUGAGUCGGCGACCAAGAGUACUUCAAGCACAAACAAUCUGGAAUUACUUCAAGAAAAUCUGAAAAAAUUGUUGGACAAGAAGAAAUUUUUGGUCGUUUUGGAUGACGUCUGGAUUGAUGUCCGGAAUGAUCAAAUUGAUGCCCGGAAUGAUCAAAGUUGGGAUGCAUUAAUGAUACCUUUCAAGGUUGGCGCUCCAGGGAGUAGAAUUAUAAUAACAACACGCUCUGAAAGUGUUGCAUCAACUGUGGGUGUGAGCACUGUUGUACCUUACAAUUUGAAGGCAUUGUCGGAAAAUGAUUGCCAGUCAUUAUUUGAACAAAUUGUGUUUAAUAACAGAAGUUUAGAUGCCUAUGGAAACUUCAAAGUGAUUGGCAAGAAAAUUGUAGAGAAGUGUAAAGGGUUGCCUUUGGCUGUGAAGGCACUUGGGGGUCUUCUGCGUGCUGAACCUGAAAUGGAUGAGAAUUUCUGGAAUGAUAUCUUGAAAAGCAAGAUGUGGGAACUUCCGGACAACAACAUUCUACCAGUGCUAAGGUUAAGCUACCAUCACCUCCCUGGGAAUUUGAAGCGAUGCUUUGCUUAUUGCUCAAUGUUUCCUAAGGACUAUGAAUAUGAGAUAGAGAUGUUAGUCAUGCUAUGGAUGGCCGAGGGUUUUGUGGAGCCAGAUGGAAAUAAAAGAAUAGAAGAUGUAGCUGGAAGAUAUGUUUCGGAAUUACUAUCUAGGUCCUUCAUCCAACAUUACCUCAAUGACGCGAAACGAUUUGUGCAUGACCUCAUCCAUGAUCUAGCGCAAUCUGUUUCUGGAAAAACAUUUUUCAGGUUGGAGGAAAAUGCAGAGAGUAAUAGUGAGCUGCCCACAAAAACUCGUCACUUGUCAUACAUUCGCAAUCCUGAAGAUGUUUUUCAGAAAUUUGAGCCAUUCAGCAAAGUUGAGUGUUUGCGAACAUUUCUACCAUUACAUCCGUUGCAUGGGUUCAGUCUUAGCAGCAUAACUGACAAGGUUCCUCGUGAUAUGAUGCCAAAAAUGAGAUUCUUGCGGGUGUUAUCCUUUAGUGGUUAUCUCAUAGCUAAGUUGCCAGAUUCAAUUGGCAAUUUGAAAAGUCUUCGUUACCUUAAUCUAUCUCAUUGUGAAAUAGAAGAGCUACCUGAGUCAACAAGCAGCCUAUACAAUCUGCAGACGUUGAUAUUAUUUAGAUGUGUAUCCCUUACCACACUGCCUACAGAUAUGGGAAACCUUAAGAAUUUACGGCAUCUCAACCUUAUUGGAACUAACCUGAAAAGUAUGCCUCUGGGAAUGGGAAGAUUGACUAACCUUCAAAUGCUGUCAGAUUUUGUUGUGGGGAAAGCCACCGGAUCAGGGAUAGCUGAGUUCAAGGAUUUGUCACAUCUUCGAGGUUCCCUUUCCAUUUCUGGUUUGCAUGAGGUGGGCAGCAUUCGAGAUGCAAUUCAGGCCAAAUUGGAGGCAAAAAAUUAUCUUGAUGAGCUAGUUCUGGAUUGGAGCAGCAAUGGUGAUAGUUCACGAACUGAAAAAAUUGAGACGGAUGUACUCGAUGCACUACAGCCUCAUGAAAACCUGAAGAAACUCACCAUCAAGUACUAUGGUGGUACCGAAUUUCCAAGUUGGAUGAUUGAUCCUAUGUUCAGUAACAUGGUAUAUCUGCAUCUUUACGGUUGCACAAAGUGCACAUCUUUACCAUCCCUUGGCCAACUACCUUCUCUUAAAGACCUUGUAAUUGAAGGAAUGGAUGGAAUAAAUCAUGUUGGACUUGAAUUUUUUGGGGAUGGUGAUGAUUAUCGAAUUCCAUUUCCGUCGUUGGAGACUUUGAGAUUUGAGAACAUGAAAGAGUGGGAGGAAUGGUCAUCUAUAGAAGAUGGAAGACUCGAUGGAUUUCCAGGCCUUUGUGAGCUUUCCAUAUUCAGAUGUCCGAAGUUAAGAAAGUUCUCGCAUGGAUUUUCCUCCCUGAAAAAGUUGCGCAUCAAGAACUGUGCAGCUUUAACUACUUUUUCUCGUCUUUCUGGACUUGGAAACUUGGAACCUGCAGAAUUCCCAAGCCUUCGACAGCUUGUUCUUGUAGGUUGUAGUGAGCUUGAUGAACUUCCUGUUACGAUUCCUUCAUUGGAAUAUCUAGAGAUAGAUGGUUGUAAAAAUUUGGCUGCACUUCCAAGGCUAAUGGGCCUUAUUACAUUGUCUGUGUUAGAUGCUAGUGUUGAACUACUUGGAUGCAUGAUGGAACUAAGCUCACUAACCUCUCUGCACUUGAAUAAUGUUUCACAGGUCAAGUCUCUGCCUGAGGGCUUGGUGCAACAUUUCACAAAACUUGAAGAGUUGAGUAUUGAUAGCUUUCUCGAACUUGAAUUCUUGUCAAUUGAGAGAUUGGGACUGGCAGGUCUUGCAUCCCUUGGACGCUUGACCAUCUCCAAUUGUCCUAAUUUCAUUGCCUUGCCAGAUGAAGCGGAUAAGCUCCCGCCUGUGCUUAAAUAUUUGAGUUUGAAACAUUCUCCAAGCCUGGUGAAGUUUCCACAUGAGCUCUACAAACUGAAGUGUCUUACAGAGUUGAGAAUUGAAUGGUGUCCAACGCUUGAAUCAUUUCCAGAUACAGGGUUGCCGUCCAUGCUUAAGCGUCUUGUAAUCAGUGAUUGUGCUGGUUUGAAGAGCCUUCAGAAGGAGGUGAUGAGCAACAACAAUAGCCUUGAGUACUUGGAGAUACGUAAAUGUUCUUCUUUGACAUCAUUUCUUGAGGAAGGAAACUUGCCUCCCACCCUCAAACAUGUAAAAGUUUGCUAUUGCAGAAGCCUGCAAUCAUUGCCGGAGGGUUUGACGUGCAAAGACAACAUGACGCUUCAGUUUUUGGAGAUAGACAACUGUCCCUCUCUCAUGUCAUUCCCAAGGGGUGAGCUACCCAGAACACUUGAACGCCUUGAGAUCAGCGAUUGCUCUAAACUCUUGACCUUGCCAUCCAGCCUUCUCAACCUCCUGAAUCUGGAAAUCUUGCAAGUAACUGGAUGCCCCUUUCUUGAGAGUUUUCCGAAAGGCGGGUUGCCAGCAAACAUAAAAUCAGUUAUAAUUUCUGAAUGUGAGGAGCUCAAGUCCCUACCGGAGUUCAUUUACAAACUUAAACGUUUGCAAAAACUUGAGAUAUCUUGUUGUUCUAAUCUCAUCUCCUUGCCAAAGCAAGGUCUGCCCACCAGUUUAAGAUUACUCACAGUUACAGAUUGUGAAAAGCUCAAUCCCAUACAUGAAUGGAAGCUUCACAAACUCCACUCUCUUCAUGAUCUCACCGUCGGUGGAUUUCCUGGCCUUGUAUCCUUCUCAAACGAGUACCUUCUUCCCAACAAUAUAACAUCCCUCAUCAUCCAAAGACUCCCAGAUCUUGGAUCCAUAUCGGAGGUGCUUGAAAAUCUCUCCUCGCUUCACAAAUUGGUUAUCAGGGAGUGUGAUAAGCUCCAAUAUUUGCCAGUGAAGGGGCUGCCAGCAACGCUUUGUCACCUAUCAAUUCAUCGCUGCCCUCUUCUGCUGCAUCGGUGUGAACGAGACAAAGGAGAGGAUUGGUCCAAGAUUGAAAACAUCCCCUAUGUGCAUAUGAGUUAAUGGCAUUAAGAUAAUGAGAAACACAGAAGUUUUCUCAGGUAUGCUUCUCAUUUCCUGACAAAUUUACGUUCAUAUUUUAGCACUAUUUCCACACAAGUUCAUAUUAUCACCCCGCUUUGUAAAAAAUUGCAGCAGCACUACGACUGACGAAGGACGAGCAGCUUACAUUCGCUGCCCGUAGCUGUGACCUUGUUACAGCCAAGAUGUAAAUACAAAGCAUCUUCUUGCUCAAAGCACCUCCCGUCUCACAUUCAUUGAAUUCAGGUCAAGUACUGUUUGUUAUUUGGCUCCAAUUUUUUAAAUACGAACUCUACUUAGACUCAUUAAAUGUAAGAAGUCAUUCUUCUUUACAGUCUAUCACUAUUUGACAAACUUAUGAAAAACCUCAUGACGAGUACAAAAAGAAAAACUUCUACAAACGUUUCAAAACAUACUUUUCCUACUAGAAGGGAAGACUCAUUUGUCAUCACAGACUUUCUUAUGGUAUUUAGGAGCAUCGGAUAAUCUAGAUUGGGAUUAGCAUGGGUGUUGGCAUCAAAUCAGUAUUCUCAUUUGUAUUGAAAUCACUGUUAUAAAAAACGCACCCCAAGGCGCGUCUAGAGGGCUUUGGAUGCGGGGCGGGGGUGAGGUCUGCCCAAUGGGAGUAGGCGAAAACUCGCCUACAUGUUGUUGAGGCGCACCUUAGGGCGUUCUGAGGCGGUCGAAAUCCUUGAAAUUUUUUGGGACCCCUCGAAGUCAAAGGUUGGGCCCCUAGGCUUUGCACUUUUUUUCCCCCUUCAAUUGCAGCAGCAGCAUCUUUGAAGGUGAUUGCGAAAAAGGUUUUUUUUUAUUUUCAUUUUUUUUAAGACAUGGGCUAAAACAAUGUCGUUUUGGCCAAGUCUUUAAAUUUUUUUCUUUUUUGGAUAAUUUAGCCCAAAACGACGUCGUUUCGGCUCUAUACUUUAAAUAAUCCACAAGUCCUCUUUUUUUUUUGUAAUAUAAUCCACAACAGUCUCCCUUUUCUUUAUCCCUUUUCUUUAUAAACCAUAGCAGUGCCCUAUUUUUUAUAACUCAUAUAGGUCCCUAAUUAUCUAGGUCGCAGAAGGCUUCAUCUCAAGUCUCAAGGCUUUUGUCUAGGCGGGACUAUCCAUAAAACAUCUCAGCUGCGCCUUCGCCUUUUAAAACAUUGAUUGAAAUUGACAUCGGUAAUUAGCACCAAUUUUCUUUUUGGAAAACUCAUGAUGUGGUAUGAUACCAUCAUGAAUUCGACGACUCCAACAACAAUAUAGGAGAACAACAGUAUUAUUACUCAUUUCCAGAAGAGCGUCUGCGGCUGCCCCACCAAGCUCACUUAUCUGUCCAUCUCCAAUCUGCCGAGUCUUUGGACCAUCCGAGGCAAUUCAGUUUGAAUCUCCCGACUUGGACUCGACGACUCUACUCUUACUCUCGGCUGCAGAUCUCGUCCGAGCCUUGGAACCUUCGGACCAUCCUACCAGCCCAAAAUUCUUCUCCUCCAAAAAAUACGACGACCGUUUUGUCACAUUCCCUUUCAUUUUAUGACCACUAAUUCACAAGUCGACAGCAAAAAGAAUUUUAUUUACAAGUUCCACAAAUAAAGGAAAUCUAUAUCAGUUGCCAAACAACUUUCAGUUUUCAUUUUAUUUGUAAAUUAAAAACUGUUACCAAAGAAGUUUAAAACAGGCCAUUUUAUGGCCACAAAGUACGAGAAUAAACCCAAUUUAAAGGAAGAAACUGAAAGGGAAAUGUUGUUUAAACCUAAAUAAAGAUAAGUGUGUGAGAAGUUAAAAUGAGUGUGGAAAUUAGCUCCCGAGCUGAAAAAAACGAAUACACUGUGACACUGGCACAUAUAAAAAUAUAAAAUAUGCCAUGUGUAGUAUCUGAAGACCGGGAAUAAAACUGCACCAGUUAGUACUGUAGAUGUUUGACAUUUUAUCCUCCAACAAAAGUGCUGGAGUGUUUGACUUCUAAUCGAUCAUGUUCACAGAAUCCUAGGCAAAAAUCAGGUAACUAAAUCAUACUGCUUUCACAAAGAAUUCCACAGUUUUCUGCCUCGUCUUCUUGCUUUUCAUAUAUUCUGCAACAAAAGUCUGCUUUUUAUAUUCUGUUCUGUUCCAUCAUAUGUUAUUGCCCCACUUAAAGUUGUUCUCCUCACCACCUGUGGAAUCGAAUUUAUCAAUUACUUUCUACUUCUGGUUUCAGCUCAUGGUUGAUUUUAUGCUUAUAUGUUCAAAUAAGUUAACUGAAUAUUUUUCAGAGGGAUCAGCUGCUUGUAUAUAUUCUUGAAUUGUAUUUGAUUUGGAUGCAGCUAAAGGAGACUCUGCCGAAAUUUUGAUAAAUUCCUUUCGCUAAUGAAAUUUGUCUUGAAAGUUCAUCUCACUUCAAUUUUGAAUUCCGGAUCCGUACCUGCAGUCAAAACCUCAUACUUUUAAGUAAGAACUAAGUUUGGUUUAAUUAUGCUUCAAGUUAUUAUAAUUUGUAUACCAAUAAAAUGGGAAUUGGCCCAAUUGUUUAUUUUGCAGAUACAUAUUUCUUGUGUUGUUUAGCUUCAAGUAGUUCUUAUUUCAAGUAAUCAAAGAAAACAUGGAUGAUGGGGAGGUGGUUGCUUCAGACCAUGCUUUGCUUCCAAAUCCCAAUUGCUCUAGCAAUUUUCCUGGUUCAACUUCUGUAGAUACAUUUUUUGAUGAAAUUCUGAACACGCAGACAUGCACUCACACUCACACUUGCAACCCUCCUGGCCCUGAUGCUGCACAUACACAUACUUGCUACCACACACACACUCAAGUUCUUUCGUCCGAAGAUGACGAUGAUGAUAGCAAGAAUAAAGAGCGUUCCAUCCUGAAACCACGAAGAAGAAGGCCUCUGGGCAAUAGAGAAGCCGUUCGAAAGUACAGGGACAAAAAGAAGGCGCACGCAGCUUAUUUAGAAGAGGAAAUCAGGAAAUUGCAGGUGUUGAACCAGCAACUUGUUGGGAAAAUACAGGCACAGGCAACUCUUGAAGCUGAGUUUUUAAAGCUGAAAGGCCUUGUGCUGGAACUUAGACGAAUGAUUGAUAAUGAGUUGGGUGCUUUCCCCUUCCAAAAACAAUUGAACAGUAAUACUUAUUUCAAGGAAAGCCAGUGUAAUCUGCAGUCUAGUGUUGGGGCAAUGGGACUUCAUUGUCAAACCGAUUUACCAUGCUCCUGUCCACCUGUUGGGUCAUCCGUCCAGGCGGGUAUCGGUGCAAGGCAAAAAACGAUGGUGUCAUCAGGAAGAAAUUGUCAGCCUGCAGUAAUUGAUUGCCGAGCAAAUACAAAUGAGGCAUCAACACAAGCUGAGUAAUUUACUGAAGCAACUAUAGCAUGUAAGUUCCUUGUAUACCAGAGUAAAUAUCCGUAAACUAAAUAUGACGAUAAGAGCAUGUUUGCUUAUUAGGUAUGGAAUAUAAGGAUGGCCCGUAUAUAAAGAAAAUUGAGGUUCCACCAUAAAACCAAUUGACAAUAUAUAGAGUAGCCCAAUCUCAUUCAAGUCUAUGCAAGGCCCUUCCUCCUAUCAAUGUAGAACUCGUUUUCAACACGCCCCCUUACAUGUGGUGAAUUUUCGAGCCUAAUAUGUGGACAAAACAACGGGGUGACGGGAGCACAUGUGGCAGUUUGACUUCACACGUGGGACAACCUGCUCUGAUACCAUAAAGAAAGUUGAGGUUUCACCAUAAAACCGAUUGGCAAUAUGGGGAGUAGCCUAACCUCUUAUAAGUCUAUGCAAGGUCCCUCCUCUUAUCAAUGUGAGACUCAUUUUCAACAGAUGUCAUUCUCAUUCCUAACAUACUAUCCUUCAUUAUCUAAAAGAUUAGGAAUGAAAAUCUUGUGUGUGUCAUGUUGUAAAUAUGUGUUUGAUUCCCAAUUUCAACAAGAUAUCAUUAACAAGGGACCCGUAACAAGGGUUUUAUCCUAUACCAGAAUAAUUUCCCGAAAAUGUAAGUAAACGUGUCCUAUCAUAUUUUAGGGUGUAAUACAUUGUGUAGAAGACAUGUGAGUUUAUGUUCAUAAUAUUUGUUGUUUUGGUAUUUCUGAAUAACUCAAAUCAUGACUUCUCUUUGUUUCUUGAUGCAUGCUUAUAACAUUUUUGUGGAUGGAGUUUAAUUAGAAAUGAGAAGUCCUUUCUCAGACCGUAUAUUGGGACUUGAUUGUUGUUCUGCCACCAAUCUAUAUGAUGUUCGACAACAUGAUGAAGAUGCUAAGUUUUCUUUUCCUAGCUUCCUUUCUCUGUCAACUUUUCCCGACUGUGUUUUCAUCGUUUCAGUCUCUGGUCGUCUGAAUAUUUCAUUUUGCUUCCCUGGAAUUGUUAAACCUUUGAACUAUGAGCAGACCUCAUCUUAGAAAGCCAGGUUUUCACAAAAAAAGGGCGUUGAGGGUGCACACUAUUACCGUGUGUAGCGUAUAAAGCCCAUUGUCAAUUAUUUAAUCCAAAAAAGAAAGACGUUAUCAAAAUUGAUCUUAUGGUGUCCAUUCCGUAGAAAUAUUCUCUUGCAAUUAAAACAUGGUUUUAAUAAAUCAAUCAUCUAAUAAAUGCUUGCCAUGUAUUUAAAAAGUGCAACAUCGGUCGAAUAAAUGUUUGUUACAUAGUGUCUUCGGUUACAUGAGAGACUCUCUCUUUUUUGUUAAGAUUAAUCACAACCCUAUUAUAUAUAGUAUUGAUUUGCUCAGUUAAUAUUCUUUUUUUUAGCAUAAAAGACAUUUCACACUAAUCUACACUAAGGAGAAAUGUGAGGUUUGAAUCCAAAAUACAGUGGAUUGAACCAGAAGACCAUAACCACCAAGGGUAUCUACCAUUUGUUGAGUUGAUAUUUUUGUCAGUCAACCUUUGCACAUGAUUCUUCAUCUGUUUAUUAUUUUGUUCCUGUUCCGAUUUUUUUAAGGGAAUUUUAACGAAAAUCUCAUGGUAUUGUUUACUUUAUCAAAAAAACAUAUUUUUACACUAAAAAAUCAAUCAUGAUAUUACUCACUUUACCCUUUAUUUUAUUUUUUUCAUUAAAAUUUAAAAUUUUUAAGCUCUUUUCAUUAAUUUUCCUGUUUUUUUAAUUGACCUUCAAAUAUAUAUGAGGUGAAGGUUUGAGGAAUUUCAAAGAACGGGGUGGAUCAAAGAGGCUAAAUUGUGAAGUUCACUCUGACUUUGGGACUUGGUUAUAAUAUAACCAAGUAUUGAGUACAAUAGGGUGCGUUUGUUGCACCGGACUAACUCGGACUAUAUUAGCUUUAGGGACUAAGCUGGAUUAGCUUAUACUAGACUAAGCUGGAUUGAUUUAGUGAAGCGUUUGGUAGAAUGCCGGACUAAAAAAAAAAGAAUAGUUAACAACUAUAAUUUUAUAUCAUUAAAUACACAUUUAAUAAUAUUUUAUUUUUUAUUCAAGCUUUUUCUUUGUGUUUGUGUCUGGAACACUCUCCUCUCCCUGGGAGUUCAUUCUUUUCUUCCUCGUUAGUGCCGCUCGCCAACACUCAUUUUUUCUUGCAAAACAAAAGCCUUCAAAACGAUUUUUCCUGCAAAAUCGUCCCUAAAGCUACUCUCUCCUUCGUCUCUCCAUUUCUCUUUGUACCAAAGCUACUCUCUCCCUUUCUCUAUCCAUUUCUCGGGAAUAUUCUAGGAAAAUAAUUUUUUUUUUGGGAAUUUUUUGGGAAUUAUUGGGAAUAAGGAAGAAUUUUUAUAUGGGGAUUGUUGUUGUUUUUGUUUUGAUUUUUUUUUUAAAAAAAUUUGGUGUGGAGAUUUAGGCAGUGGGUGGGCUGGGUUUCAGAUCUAGGAAAGAGAGAAGCAGAUAGAUGGGCAAGGGAGAGAAAAGCAGAUGAAGCAGAGUAAGGGAGAGAAGCGGACGAAGAGAAGCAGAUGGAGUGAAGCAACGAAGGUCUUAGCAAUCCGAUGCCUUUCGAUGGGACUCGCUAAGACCGUCUAGCGACGUCCUUUGUCGAGGCGAGUCCCGGCUAGUCCCACUAAAGGUUAUCCUGCUGCGUAACAAACACGGUAUUGCUCUGAGUUUUAGUCCUGUCCAGUCCAAUCCUACUUAGUGAGGGCAAACAAACGCCCCCUUACCGAUUAACUAUCAGAUAUAAAAUAAUGAUAUCUAACAAUUAUAUCUGACCAUCAAUAAGCCACUCAGUAUUACGAUCUGGCGGUAUUCUUUUUCAUUUGUAAGUGAGAGGUUUUAGGUUCGAAUCUCGUAUAUGGCGAAUUCGAUACCAAAUUAGGUUACCCAUUAUGUGGCUAAACCCAUUGUCAAUGAUUUAAUCCAAAAAAGAAAGAUGUUAUCAAAAUUGAUCUUAUGGUGUCCGUAGAAAUAUUCUCUUGCAGUUAAGACAUGGUUUUAAUAAAAUCAAUCAUCUAAUAAAUGAUUGCCAUGUAUUUAAAAAGUGCAACAUCGGUCGAAUAAAUGUUUGUUACGUAGUGUCUUCGGUUACAAGAGAGACUCUCUCUUUUUUGUUAAGGUUAAUCACAACCCUAUUAUACAUAGUAUUGAUUUGCUCAGUUAAUAUUCUUUUUUUUAGCAUAAACGAUAUUUCACACUAAUCUACACUAAGGAGAAAUGUGAGGUUUGAAUCCAAAAUACAGUGGAUUGAACAAGAAGACCAUAACCACCAAGGGUAUCUACCAUUUGUUGAGUUGAUAUUUUUGUCAGUCAACCUUUGCACAUGAUUCUUCAUCUGUUUAUUAUUUUGUUCCUAUUCUGAUUUUUUUAAGGGAACUUUAACGAAAAACUCAUGGUACUGUUUACUUUAACAAAAACCCACAUUUUUACACUAAAAAGUCAAUCAUGGUACUAUUCACAAUUUUAAGUUCUUUUCAUUAGUUUUCCUGUUUUUUUAAUUGACCUUCAAAUAUAUGUGAGGUGAAGGUUUGAGGAAUUUUAAAGAACGGGGUGGAUCAAAGAGGCUAAAUUGUGAAGUUCACUCUGACUUUGGGACUUGGUUAUAAUAUAACCAAGUAUUGAGUACAAUUACCGAUUAACUGUCAGAUAUAAAAUAAUGAUAUCUAACAAUUAUAUCUGACCAUCAAUAAGCCAUUCAGUAUUAUGAUCUGGUGGUAUUCUUUUUCAUUUGUAAGUAAGAGGUUUUAGAUUCGAAUCUCGUAUAUGGCAAAUUCGAUACCAACUUAAGUUACCCAUUAUGUGGUUAAACCGAACUCCACAUUCGCUUAAUAUAAAAUAUAUCGUUGUACUAAAAAAAACAAUUAUAUUUGACCAUCAAUAGAUGAUCGUAUUAAGUACUUAACGUAAUGUACCCUAGUCAGUCCCGAGACUUUCAAUAGUUUCUAAUUUGGCUAAUUGUUUUCAAGUAGUUGUCUAGGGGUUCUAAUUCGAGGACAAUAUCUUAAGUACGUUAUAGUUAAUAAAUAAGAUCGUUUCACACUACUUUAUAGGCAGUUAGCGAAAUGCCCACACGCUUCAAUUGUUAAACAAUAUAAAAGUCUCAGAUUACGGAGUGACCCUCGAUCAAGGUAUAAAAUAUAGAUGAUAUCGAAAAUAUCAGUAGUCCAAAAACACAAAAAUUUUGAUGAAAAUAUCGGGAUAUUAUCGAUAUCGAUAAAAAUUGAAUAAAAACCACGGAAAUUGUAAGAAAAACUUGGAAAUUUUUAUUGAAACUUUGCAAGAUGUUUAUUUAAUCAAUUAUCUAUUAGUUUAUCACAAAAAAUUGGAAGAAAAUGCAUUGCAUGAUGGAUUUAACUGAUUUAAGUUGAUUAUAUAGCGAGCUAGCAAACAUUGUGAGUGUAUAAAAUAUGUAGUAAUUAAUGAAAGAAGUUUAAACACACCAUAAUCAUUUAUAUAUAAUGAAUUAAUACAAUAUUUUACACUUUAUACAUUGUAUGGUAAGAUACAUGUGUGACUUAGCAAGGUCUAAAAUAUCGAUGAUAUCGGAAAUAUCGGUAGUCCAAAAAAAUAUCGAUAGUCCAAAAACACGAAAAUUUCGAUGGAAAUAUCAGGAUAUUAUGGAUAUUUUAGACUAUAACAUGAGCAUACCACAAUCUCAACCCUAAGGCCAUCUUCAACCAAAGGCUGGCCAGAGGGCUCGUUUGAGUCCUCUGGCCCUCCAAGAUUCCCCAAAAUAUUAAUAUUUUAAUGAACAGUACAGGGCCAUAUUUGCCUCCGUCUCCAACCGAGGGCCAGAGGGCCAAAGGGCUCGUUUUAGCCCUGUCACAAAAAACCGUCUCCAACCGAGGGCCAAAGGGCCAUAGGGCCAAACAUAAUUUAUUAUUUAAAAACUACAAUUUAAUGUUGUAUAAAUGGCCUAGGAAGUUAUACGAAAAAAAUAGAAUUGAAAAAAAAUAUGAAACAAAUUUUGUGAAAUAGAAGUUAUAGGAAAAAAAAUAUGAAACAAAAUUUGAUUCAUAUGAAAAGGAAAAAAAGGGAAAAAAAGAAGUUUAAAUUCAUUAAAAAAAAAAAAGAAGUUUAAAUUCAUUAAAAAAAAAAAAAAAAAAAAAAAAAAAGAGGCCUAAUAAUCCAACGGCUACUAGCCGUUAUAUUAAAAAACAUUUCAAACUAUUAAUGUCGGUUAUAACCGACACUAAUAGUAGAACUAUUAAAAAAAAAAAAAACCUCUUCAAUGCUGUCGGUUUUAACCGACAGCAAUAGAAAACAUUAAAAAAAAAAUAAGCCAGCCCUCCAGCCCUCCAGCCCUCUCCGAUUCCGUGGGGCCCUCCCAGAUUCCAGAGCCCUCUGGCCUAGCCCUCGGUUGGAGACGGUUUUAGGGCUAUUUUCGGCCCUCUGGCCCUCUGGACCCUUCGGUUGGAGAUGGCCUAAUGGGCUAAGCAGAUCAGCGCAAUGAAGACGUCGAAAGCCCACAACAAUAAUUAGGCCCCAAGACAUCACUUGCCAGGAACUCUAUCAGAACACUUGGCUCACAAGCAAGACACCACUCCUCUCCCGAGAGGAGUGGCCAACUACCAUAUCUCAGCUCAACCAGUAGGGCACCCAAACAACCAGUGCAAGGCUCCUUAUAGUGUCCUUAUGGUCUCACUCUUCCCUACACAACUCCAUCUUAAAGACUACCUCCUACAUGUAUAGUUCAGGAUAAGGUAAAAGACCUUUGGAUGUCUCCUAGGCAUCCACCAAAGAAAAUAUUUCUCCACGGGCAGAGGACACCGCAUCCACACGUCGGCUUGCAUAGUAAACACUGUUGAACUUCUGCUAUAUAAAUAGCCACUCACUAAAUCUGGUAAUUGAGAACUCUCUAUGAACUUUUCAGUUUUGCCUAAACCUCUUAUCGUCUUAAGUAUCGAAGACUCUUUAGCAAACAUAGCACCGGUGUUAAUUAGUUGAUUUUUGGUGUUCUUUUUUUUUUGGGACAAUUUGGAUGCGGUCCCUAUCUAUCAAUAUUCUUUGAUUAAAACCUUGUUAGUUUUUAGUUUUUGAUUGAGGUCCCUGACAUUAAUAUAAUAAUAUAAGUUACUAUAUUUUUUUAAAUUAAAAAUUAAAAAUUGAAAUUUGUAAUUGUUUAAAUUAAUGAGAUUUUAAAUAAAACCCAUAACUUAUGGGAUUAAAAAUAAUAAAAUAUAAAUUAUACUCUCUAUUAUAUUGUGUGUGUGUGUAUACACAUAUGUAUGGGUACAUUAACCAAAAUUAACAAAAAAAGUUAUUGUACCAAAACAUGGAUACAUUCUCAAAUCAACGAAAAAGAAUGUACCCAUAUAAGUUUAAACAUGGAUUAAAAAAUUUGAAUGGAUUUUAUUUUAAAAAAAAGGUACAUUUUACAUAUAACAAAUUGAUAUAUUUGAGAAUGGGUACAUUUAAGAUUAAAAAAAUUGAAAAAUUAUAUGAAUGGGCACAUUUAAGAUUAAAAAAUUGAGAAUCUUUUUAUAUAUAAAAAAAAAAACUAAUAGGUACAAACUUAAUUUAAUUUAAUUUUUUUAUUAUUUUGGAAAUGUUUGAAUUGAAAAUUAAUAAGAAGUUUAAUAGAGGUGUGAGUAUUAAACCCUAAAUUAAUUACUAAUUUUUAUAUUAAAAAAUUAUAUAAUAAACAUGUAAAUUCAUUAUCACAUUAAUGCUAGGGACUUGAAUCAAAAUUUAAGAACUAAUAAGGUCUUAGUCAAUGAACAGUAAAAACUAGGGACCGGAUACUAAUUUUUUUUUUUUAUAUAUAUUUUUUCCGGUCAAUUCGCUUGGACAAAAAUUUCCGACCACACAGUCCUUUUGAAAGUGACCACAAACCUCAGUGUGUAAUUACCUCUUUGUGCAUGGCCUCUCUUCACGUGAAGCCAAAUCAGCUCUGCAACUGCUCAACAGUAGUGCAGAAAAUUAACAGUUGUGUAUGUGGACGUGCAUCGACCGCUCGAUCACUUGCAUACAACAGGUAUUCAAAUUUUUCUUGUCAAAUAAUGAUGGAGAGAAAAGGACAUCUUUAACAAGGGCCCAUUUUUGUCAGAUUUCCACUUUGAUUGGAGAGGGAAAGGAUGCAAGGACUCCACUCUUUAUCAGAUAUCUCCUGUCGAUACCACUUAUCAUUAAUACACAAUAUUAGGGUUCAACAUUUUAUCUGAUUGAAUAGUACAUUGUGAAUACUUUCUACAUUAUGUAUUGAUUAAUUAUUAACUACAUGAAAACUUAGAAGGAGGGACUUUUUCUUUAGAGAAUUCAGAUCAAUACCAACUAAAUUGUAUUUUUCAAGGAUAAACACUUAGUUUAAGGAAAAGCAUAGUAAGUUCAACAAAAUAUUUAGGGUAGAUAGAAGCUUUAUUGCAUGACAGACUAUUACUAAAUGAGAUUAUUUUCUCGAACGCAAGCUUAUUUCUUUUAAGAUUUUAAAAAAUUUGUUGGGUUCUUGGGUUAACUGUUAGGGUGCGUUUGUUUGGGCUCGUUAACCCUUAUUGAAUUGGACUAGACUAUACGUUAGUGUAGUCCCGUGUUUGUUACUUACAGGGACUAAGUUUAAUGGGAUAAAGCGGAACUCGUGUGGACUAUCUCCCUCACUAGAAGGUCUUAGCGAGACCCCUCGAAUACCAUGGGAUUGCUAAGACCUCGUCUGCUUGCUUCGCCAACAUCGCCUACACCCGCCAACCCAAAACCACGGAGAACCUAGAAUCCAUAAUCAAGUCAACUCAUUUCGAAUCGUGGAGAACCCAGAAUUGCCAACUUUUCAUCUGCUUGUUUCGAAUCGUGAAGAACCCAAAACCCAGAACUCAGAAUCACCAACUCUUCGUCCGUUCGUUUCAAAUUGCAGAGAGCCCAGAAUCUCCAACUCUUCGUCUUCCCGUUUUGAAUCUCGACGUACCCAAGAUCAAGUUGCGCUCUCUCUCCUCUCUGCUCUCUCUACUCUCGUCGUCGUUCGUUCACCUCCGAGCUCGCCUGGGUCCUCGCCGGUAGACAAAGAUAGAGAACUUGGCAGGUGGACAACCAUGGUCGACGCCCACUUCCAUCUGUAACCACAUCUUCAUCUUAGUCUUCUGCACAUCUGCACAAAUUCGAUGGAAUAAAAAAAAUUCCAGAUUCGGUGGAAGUGCAAAACCAAUCUUCGAAUCAUGAAACCCAGAUUCGAAUUGCUUAUUGCAAAUCCCAGAGAGAGAGCGUUAUGAAAAACUAACCUAUUUUCAAUAGAGGGAGAGAGUGUUCAUGUGAGAGCACCUCCAGCGGGGGAGGUUGCUCGGGGGCCAGUGGGUCAAACAGUAGCAAAUUGCUGGGGGGAUGACCUCCAGCGUAUGGAAGCCCCAGCGACAGGCGAGGCCCGAGGAGCAGGCCCGUCGAGGAUUGCCAGCCCGAGAGCCCGAGGGCUGCGUCAGGCGCGUGCGUUUCACGCGCGCGUGGGCGCGAGUCGUCCGACAAAAAAACAGGGCAGGGGCCCGCGAUUUCAGUUUUGAAAAGUUACCGUUGGGGAAGCCACGUGGCUUCCCCAUGUCCGUUUGAUUGAAACGGUCCUAUUUUAUGGGCCGUUGGAUUUCCAACGGUAAAAAACAUUUAAAAAUCUAAUUUAAUUUCAUCCGUUUGAUCUAAGAUCAACGGUCCACGUUAUUAGGCUUUGUAAAUUAAAAAAAAAAAAGAAAAAACAGUUUAAAAAUCUAAAAUGUUACCGUUGUGACACGUGGCACAAUCUGGAGUGUUGGAAUUUAAAUUUUUUUAAAUCCAACGGCAGAGAUUAAUUAGGUGAAUAAAAAUUAAAAAAAAAUGUAAAAAAAAUUCUUAAAAAUCCGAAAAAAAAUUAUGAAAAAUUAUAAAAAAAUUUUGAUUUCACUUCACCUAUAAAUACCUUCUCAUUAUCUUCUACCCUACACCACAAUUUCAUAUUUUUCUCAACUACUUUCAACCACAUUCCUAUCUUUCUUUCAAAGUUUCAAUCCAAUUUUUUUCCAACAAAAUGACUACUCAACCAGGUACGAAUUGGACGCUUCUUGAAGAUGUUGCGUUGUGUACUAGUUGGGUUCAAGUUACUCAUGAUUCGAUUACGGGUAAUGAGAUGCAGUUGCGAGAAAUGUGGAGUCUUAUUCAUACCAAUUAUCUUGAGAAAAUGGGUGGGCAAAGAACUAAGGAAUCGAUGUCCAGUCGUUGGAAAUUACUUAGUCAAUCGUUUAGUACGUGGAGAGACGCCUUGGCACAAGCUAGUGGUAAUCUUCGAAGUGGGGAAAAUUUAACGGAUCAGGUAACAAUAUAUUAUUUAUUUGUUAGCUACUUUCAUUAUAUUUAUUUGUUUGUAUUAUUUAUUUGUUACCUUCUUUCAUUAUAAUUAUUUGUUAGCUACUUUCAUUAUAUUUAUUUGUUUGUAUUAUUUUGUUACCUACUUUCAUUAUAAUUAUUUGUUAGCUACUUUCAUUAUAAUUAUUUGUUUGUAUUAUUUAUUUGUUACCUACUUUUCAUUAUAAUUAUUUGGUUGUAUUAUUUAUUUGUUACCUACUUUCAUUAUAAUUAUUUGUUAGCUACUUUCAUUAUAUUUAUUUGUUUGUAUUAUUUAUUUGUUACCUACUUUCAUUAUAAUUAUUUGUUAGCUACUUUCAUUUAUAAUUAUUUGUUUGUAUUAUUUUAUUGUUACAUACUUUCAUUAUAAUUAUUUAUUUGUUACCUAUUCUCAUUAUAAUUAUUUGUUUGUGUAGGAACUUCAAGCACAAGCUUGGUAUGGUGCCAAAACCAAAAGCAAAAACAAAACAUUCACCCGGUUUGAAUGUUGGAAUAUUGUCAAAGAUUGUCCUAAAUUUAGAGUUGUGAAUGUCGGUCCAGAAGUUUUCAUGAACAGCACCCCUCUACACUCUACACCUGAGCAUGCCUCGCAUGAUCAUGAUGAAGAUGAUGAAGAAGUGCCUGAAACGCCCCCCGUUGAACAAGCGUCGGGGUCGACCCGUUAUCCAAUUAGGCCUCAAGGUAAGAAGGCUUCAAAGAGAAAAGGUAAUGCUUCCAAGAAUGAUUAUGCAAAGUAUAUGGAAGAUCUUGCCCGCCAAGGUGAAUUGAAUUUGGCCCGGGAAAUGGCUAAAUUUGAGGCUGAUAAGGCUAGAGAGGAUGCAAAAGCUGCAGCUUUUGAGAGAAAAUUUGAAGCUGAUGAGAGAGAAAGAGAACUACUUCGGCAAGAAAGGGAACAUAGAAGAGAAGAAAGAAUGGCUGAACGAGAUCGUGACAUUAUGAAGGAGCCUUUAGAAGGGAAGUCUCCAGACUCUAAAUAUUUUUGGAAGUCAGAGAAAGCGGAUGUGUUGCGAAGGAGGCGUGCAAGAGAAGCGAGAGCAAGAGGAGAUGGUCCUAGCACCACAAGAGAAGAUUAUCCUAGCAUGACAAGAGAAGAUCAUCCUAGCACCACAAAUUGGUUAGGUGAUGGUUAUCAUCCAUUCAUGAACCCAUAAUUUUCAAUCAAUUCGGGUUGUAAUUUCUUAUUCGGGUUGUAAUUUCUUAUUCAUUGAAUAGAGUACUUUAUGUUGUUUCCAAUUUAUUGAACUUAGUACUUUAUUCAAAACACAUUUAAACACACCAAAUAAAAUAACAUCAACACACCAAAUAAACACACCAAAUAAAAACAAACACCAAAUAAAAUAAAAUUACAUUUCAACUCACUAAAUGAACUAAAAAAACACACCACAUAAAAUAAAAUAAACACACCAAAUAAAAACAAACACUAAUGAACUUAAGUAUCGUCAGCACCCCUCAAUUCCCACAGGUGCUCUAUCAAGUCAAGUUGGCGGGCAUUGUGCAUAUUUGACCUUUGAAGUGCAGUAUAUCGUUGGAUGAUCCUUUCAUUGUAACGUCCAUCCCUUUCUAAUGGCUCAUGUUGCACGGGCUCAUCGGUGGCGUCAUGAGCACAAUAUAUACGUGUUCUUGAAUUGUUCAUCGUGUCUGGCUCAUAUUCAUCAACGGCUUCAUAAUCGUACUCAUCUUCCACAAUCAUGUUGUGAAGAAUGAUGCACGUCAUCAUGAUGGAUCGAAGCGACUCUACAUCAAACAAUCUGGCAGCACCCCUGAUGAUCGCCCAGCGAGCUUGGAGGAUACCGAAACAACGCUCCACAUCCUUCCUGUACCCUUCUUGACAUCUUGCAAAGUGUUUUUCCUUUGCACUGCGCGGACGUGGCACUGUUUUGACAAAUGUUGACCACCUUGGGUAAAUGCCAUCAGCUAGGUAGUAUGGCCCGUCGUACAUACGUCCAUUGACCUCAUACGUGACUUUUGGUGCAUUUCCUUGCAGGACAUCGUUGAACACUGGGGAUUGGGCAAGGACGUUGAGGUCAUUUUGAGCUCCCGGAACCCCGAAAAAGGCGUGCCAAAUCCAUGUAUCAAAAGAUGCCACCGCCUCCAAAAUGAUACUUUUUGAUCAUUUUCUGUCCCCAUAAGCGCCUUGCCAUGCACUUGGACAGUUUUUCCAAGUCCAGUGCAUACAAUCAAUGCUUCCAAUCAUCCCUGGAAAACCUCGCAUCUCGCCUUUCUUCAGAAGCCUUUGCAAGUCCAUAUGAGUAGGUCUCCGGAGGUACUCUGCGGUGUAGAUAGAUUCGAUUGCCGAACAAAACCUCAUGAGGGACUCAAGAAUGGUUGAUUGUCCCAUCCUCGUUAUCUCGUCCACUUGGUCUGCAGCUGCUCCAUAUGCAAGCAUCCGCAAGGCAGCAGUAAUUUUUUGCUGAGGCAGGAGACCCAUAGCACCAAAAGCAUCCGGCUUUUGCACAAAGUAAGAAUCAUGGUUGCAAACAGCGCCCAUGAUUUUGUUGAACAAAUGUCGUUCCAUUCUAAAACGACGUCGGAAGUAUGUUUCAGGGAAUGCACUGUUACGGACAAAAUAAUCGUCCAAGAGCUCCUGACCUCGUCGUUGCCUGUUUCUAUCAAUGUUUACAGCACGGUUGGGCCUGCAGAUAUGAGCCACAGCUUGGACGACUCGACGGGAUUGUGAGGCUCCUGCCAUUCUUGAUUCGUCAUCUCUCCGUCUACGCUCGUCAUCCUCUUCCAUCUCAUUUUGGGCCCAAUCCCUAACAUUGAACAUUCCUUGUGAUUGGUUAAACAAUUCUUCCUCUUCUUGCUCGAUUUCCCACAUCAUCUUUGAAGAAGAAGAAGAAGACAUUGUAAAAAGGAAGCAGAAACUAUGAAUAAUGAUAGGGAUUUUGGUGAAGAAGGAAGCAAAAACUAUGAAUAAUGAUAGGGAUUUUGGCGAAGAAGGAAGCAGAAACUAUGAAUAAUGAUAGAGAUCUUGAGAAAAUUGGUGUGAGAUUUAUGAGGAUGGAUGGGGGAUUAUAUGGAGGAUUUAGAAGGGAUUAGGUUGUAGAUAAUGCCACGUGGCAUGCCGUCAUUCGUUAAAAAUCUGGUGGAAAUCUAUCCUCAAAGAUUGUAAUCGGAUUGUGACACGUGGCACGACGUGAUUGGUUAAAAAUCUUAUCAGAAAUCCAUCACCAAUAAUUGUCUUUUCAGAUAAUGACACGUGCCUUGACACAACGAUUAAAAAUCUUAUCGGAAAUCCAUCACCAAUAAUUUUCUUUGCGGAUAAUGACACGUGGCGCAACGAGAACGAUUAAAAAUCUUAUCCGAAAUAACAAAUAUAAUUAUUUUGAAUUAUUUUAUAAAUACAAAAUACAAAAAUUUUAUUGCUAUUGGCUUUUCGGAUAAUGACACGUGGUGCAACGAGAACGAUUAAAAAUCUUAUCCGAAAUUACAAAUAAAAUUAUUAUGUAUUAUUUUAUAAAUAAAAAAAUAUUAAUAUUUUAUUGCCAAUUGCCAGGGCUAUUCAGUGCAGGGGUGGAGAUGCAAAAGGCAAUUGACAGGGGAAUGCACUAUUCAUUAAGGGCAGUUACUGUUCACUAGGUGGAUUAAAUAGUGAAUUGCCUGGGGGGAGGGCUCCUACACUGGAGUUGCUCUGAUAGAGUUCUGAAAAACUGACAGAAAAGAGGGAAGAGUGUUCCAAAAAAAAAGGAACAGAAAAAAGAAAAAGAAAAAGAAAAUGGAAAAAAAAAUUAUUAUUCAAUUUGUUAGUCAAAUAUUGCACCAAACAUUUCACUAAGUUAGUCCAGCUUAGCCUAAUCCAAGCCAGUCCAGUUUAGUCCAUGAAGCUAGUCCAGUUCGAGAUAGUCCGAUACAACAAACGCACCCUUAUGGUUUUAGUAGGUAUUUUAGAGUUUAGGAAAUUAGAAUGUCCUGAGGAAGAGCCUAGUACGUAGAACUCAAGUUUUGGGCAGAGCCUAAAAUUCGUGAACUAAAUCAUGUGCCCUAAUUGAUAAACGUAGUGAUUUCUUUUGUUUUUUUUUUUUUUUAGUAUUAUGUUACGUAUGCAUGUUACCAUUCGGAAUGUAAUGACUUAAUAUGGUUUUGAUGGUUGAGUUGGAUAUUCUGUCUUUACAAACAAAUUAGUUCAACUAGUAUUAAACUAAAAAAUAUAGCAUUUAAUUUAGAUUUGAUAUGUAAACUAAACUCAAAACUAUUCGUGUAACCUCAAUCAUCAAUUCAAUUUGAUGAAAAGAACGUAUACCUUUUGAAAAUAACCACCAAACAGGAAAACAUUUUAUCAUAUAAUUUUAAACAAAAAAGUUGAUGAACAUAAUGUUUCCGGUAUCAAUGUAGUCUAGUAUCGUAGUGAGUUGAGUUUUUACCCAUACAUCCCGGAUUUAAAACUCCAUUCUUUCCUAAAUUAUUAUAAUUUCGAACUCUCUCCCCUAAUAAUAGUACUUUUUUUUAGUACAUCGACAUUUUUUCAUUAUGGGGAGGGGGAGUUCAGUUAAAUCACACAAUGAACAACCUAAUUUGAUAUCCAAUUCAUCAUCCACGAGAUUCGAACCUAAGACCCCUCACUUUUAAGUGAAGAGAAAUACCACCAGAUUGUAGUACCAAAUGACAAUAAUAGUACUAAAUUUAAAAUAAAAUAAAAAAUAAUAUUCCGGCGAACAUUAUGUAUCAUAUUAAGACGAUAAUAAAAUGAUCUAAUCAUUUUCCGUUUUGCUUAUUUUUUUUAAAGAGAUGAUUCUUAAAAAUAAAUCCUGCUAAAAAUGAUCUUACUCAAUAUUGUAGAGUUGCCCAUCAUUGUGGUCCACUCUUAGGAGGAGCCUUUCAUUUACAGCACCAAAUCUAAAGCCCCAUUUCAGCAUCGCGGGACUCCUUCCUUUGGUUUAGGUCGCGGCAACUUCCUUUUUUAAUGAUUUCUCUCUUUUUUCCCGAUCUUUCUAGUCAUGUCUUUGUAGGAGUUGGAUUGUAUGCCCUCCUCAUCCCAUAUAUUUUCCAUAUCUUCCUAUUUAUGUGGUCACGGUUAAGCCACGUCAACAUUUUAUAUUCUCAUUAUUUUUUGUCUUAUUAUUUCUAUAAAAAAAAUCAAUAUAAAAUAUUGACGUGAUUUAACCGUGACCACAUAAUAUAAGAGGGCAUGGAAAGGGUAUGGGAUAGGGAGGGCAAACAAUCCAAGUCCGUAUUUGUAUUGCUCUUCCUACGUCCCUGGUUAUCCGUUUGAGAAGUCACAUCUUUAUUUCUCAGCUUUUUUUUGUAAUUUUUUUAGCGAUCUUUGCCGUUUCCCGGUGAUUUAGAUUUGUUGAUUCUUUUCCGUGUAGCAGUUUUUUGUGGUGGAAUUUGGUUUGGAAUUUUUCCUUAUUGCGGGUUGAAUUGCUUUGCACUGCGAUACCUUCCUCAACGUAGAUUGGUUUUCAUAGAACGGCUACCAUUGUGGUCGAUGGUGAGAUGGUGAGAUGGUGACGGUAGCAAAUGUCAGCUUUUGCGGAUUAAGGAUUAGGAUUUCUUUUCUAUUUUCUGUCUUUUUGCUGAAUAGGCUUUGGCUAUCGCCACUUUAUUGAAUUAGUUUGAUGUAAUUGUAUUAGGCAUUUCUCAUUCAAUGAGUUUUCAUGUUUUUGACCCAAAAAAAAAAAAAGAGGAGCCAUUCAUAUUCAUUACUUAGUUAAGAGGCAAAGCCGCAAAGCCGCAAAGGUGCUUUUCUUGUUUUUCUUGGUUUUUACUUUUCGCUUUUUGGAUAAUUGAAAUCUUAUAUUGUAACUGCAUUUAAUUUUUAAUAGAAAAUAAAAACAAAAGGAUUAUCAAACAAUUCAUAAAAAAAAUUUAGUAUAAAGUAAAGUACCACCUAGUCACUCAGGUGCAUCCACGAAAGUGCUACAUCUCACUAUCUUCCUAGAUCUCGUUGAUAUGCGAAGGACCCAUAUGAAUCAUUCAUGCAACUAUUUCAUCCAUAAUAUCAUACAUAAUAUUGUAGCUUAGCGAUAACAACUAUUUGCCUCAUAAACCUCGAGUGAGACAUUUCAUGGACAACAGAAGGGGACAUUAACAUUGUCCCAUUCCUCUUGUUUUCUUAACUCUGUCCCCUUUCUGUAAUUUAACUUCAUCUUCCGACCUUUCCUUUUCAUCUUAUUUUAUUCCAUUAACAUUUCAAUUACCAUUUCUUAGAUGUUCUAAUAUCAUGAUAUACUAAAAGGUGGAUGAAAUAAAUUAAUUUCAAACUCAUCAUCUAUGAAAUUCAAUUCUAAGACAUCUCACUUACAAACAAGUUAAUUAUAGAUUAUGAAUACAGGGUUAAAAAGGUUAAUUUAUCUUUUUCUUUUCAUUCUUUCAGUAUAUUAUUUAAGGAAAAUUAAUGAAAACAUAUUCAAAACUUUACAUUUUAAUAAAAAACCAUCUAAUAAAUUUAUUUAAUGAUAAGCAUAAAAAGGAAAAAAAACAAAAAAUAUAAACAUGUGUGCCUAGCGCGUGUUAAGUUUCAUAAACAAUGUAGUACCGUUAAGUUUCAUAAAUAAUGUAGUACCGUUAAAUUUUAGAAACAGUAUAGUUUCAUAAACAAUGUAGUAAGUUUCAUAAACAGUAUAGUAAAUUUCAUAAACAAUGUAGUACCAUUAAGUUUCAAAAACAAUGUAGUACUAUUAAGUUUGAUAAACAAUGUAGUAAGUUUCAUAAACAGUGUAGUACCAUUAAGUUUUAUAAAUAGUGUAGCAAGUUUCAUAAACAGUAUGUGUGAUGACGCGCGGGUCUCGCGCAUCAGUUUUUUUUUUAAUAUUAAAAUUAUGUCUUUUUCAUUAAAAUUUAAGUUUUUUUGUCAUUUUUAUGAAAGUUUAAGGGUUUUUCAUUAAAAUUUAAGUUUUUUCAAUUAAAUAAAGUUAUAACAUGGUUUUUGGUUAAAAUAAAUUUAGUCCAAACCCUUUUCAUGAAAUUUUCCUAUUAUAUUUUUAUACUUUUACCACUCAAAACAGACCAAAAACAAAAACAAAAGCUUGUGGUAACACAACAAGGGGACCAUUAUUCAUAUAUGCAUAAUAUUAUAAAUGUUACAAGUAGUACUACUUUGAUUGAUUUUAUUUUCCUUGUUAAAAUUACUAUUUUAAUCUUUAAUAUUGUUAAAAUUUAUGGCACAAAAUGCAUUAAGAUAUUUGAUUGAGCUAGCGUUGCUCGAUCAAUGCUCAAUGCUCAAUGAAUAAUCAUUCAAUCCAGCCGGAAAUGACAAUUUUUUUUUUUUUUUUUUUGAGAAAUGCUAAGAAACUCCUUCAAAGUGGGAUUCUCUGUUAAGAAGUUUUCAAUGUGUUGGAAACACACUCAUUCCAACACACUCAUGUAUACCAUAACAAGUGUCAUAAUAUAAGUGGUUGAAAUUUUUUUUCUAAGUAUCCAACCACUUGUAUUAUGACACUUGGUGUUUCUCGGUACACUGACAAAUCUAUCCACACCAUACAUUAUUUGCCACAUUACAGUUUAAUGUUAAUUCUCUUACCAAUAUUACAAAAUAUUGUGCCAAAAACAUGAGGUGACGGGAAGUCUAUGGAGACUCCCAUAGUACAACUUACGUAUCCUUAGAAAGAACUGGCAACAAAAAGAGCGCCACUUGUCAAACAAAGCAUAAAUAAUUAUAUCAUCCUACAACAAAACAGAACAUGAAAGAAAGCGUUUUUAUCACAAAUGGUCCCUGAAAUUGACUAUACCAUCAAGAUGAUCUCUGAAAUUGAAAAUCAAUCAAUAUAGUCCCUGAAAAUGGGUGUCGCAAAUCAAUGUGGUCCUUCCAUCCCAAUUUCAUAAAAAAAUCAGUUAUGUGCUUAAGUGGCACAUAACUUGGUCCCACAAUCUAAUUACAUAUUGUCCAUGUGAAUUUAAAAAAUAAAAAAUGAUUUUUAUAUUGUAAAAUAAAAAACUUAGAAAAAAAAAUGAUAAAGUGGGCAACGGCAAUAGGGCUGUUGGCGCAGCUGCUGUCGGCUCGACUGGGGGUGGUGACUGGGCGACACUUUGCAGAGUUGUGUAAGGAAGAGUACCUAAGGGCGAGGAUGUAUUGUGGGUGAUGGUGGAGCUGGCAAUGCUGAUUGGGGCGGAUAUGCAAAAGGUGAUUGGGAGUGCGAUUGCAUUAAGAUUUUGAGUAAUAGGGCUUUGCCUAUCUAGUUUGGAGUCGUCAUAACAGCUUUGGAUUUUGGAAUUUACCCUUUGUGUUUUUGAAUCGUUUUUGUUGAUGCACAAAACCGGAGGGGUCUUGGAACAACGUAAAUCCGACCGUGAAUCUGCAAGAAAGUAAAGAACACAAGAUGUAUUGUGGUUCACCCCAAUGUUCGGGCUACGUCCACACUGAUAUUGUAUUUCUCUGUUUGUGAGAGGAUUGUGAGGUAGAGAGAGCUUUGUAUGUAAGGAUGAGAGUUCUGAAUAUGAGAGUGAGCCCCGCUAUUGUAAGGGUGAGGAGGCCCUUUUAUAAACUAAGGGCUCCUCCCCUUUUUACAUAUUUGCCAUUUCAUUUAUUACAUAAUUACAUUUGAGCCCCCCGAGUAUUUAUACGAGAUCUAAAUACAAAUGCCCUAAGUAUGGUACAAACAGUAGUCCCCCAAGUCUUCAGUCAAGAGAGUCUUUUGGCUGGAGACUUGAAAUUCAGUCCAUGUGUAGGCCGAAGUAACUAGAUGUCGUCUAUAACUGAUACUCGAUAUGAGGCGGUGCCCAAUCUAAAAUGAUGCUCAACUAGAAAUAGCACAUGUUGGGAGACUGCUCGGCUUGUGGCUUAUGUUGCCUUGGUUGGCUCGACUUGUGGCGUUGAAGGUGAGGGAGUCCCUUUUAUAGAAUAAGGGCUCGCUCCUCAAUACAUAAAUGAUGGGCUAGAGUUGAUGCUCGCGGCGAGGCGGUUGCUCAGUAGGGGGCGAUGCUCUCUAAUGAUGGUGAGGGAGUCCCUUUUAUAUAAUAAGGGCUCGCUCCUCAAUACAUGAAUAAUGGGUGCUCUCUAAUGAAAGUAAGGGAGUCAUUUUUAUAAAAUAAGGGUUCGCUCCUCAAUACAUAAAUAAUGGGCUAAGUCUCCCAAGUAUUUUUAUGAGGCCCAAUAUAUGGUACAUAGUGUAGUCCCCCAAGUCUUCAGUCAAUAGAGGUUGUUGGCUGGAGACUUCAAAUUUAAUCCAUGUAUAGGCCGAAGUGGCGGUUGUUCGGAGGUGGUAUUUGUAUACCCUGCACUGAAGCUUUGUAGGUGAAGUUUUUGCAAGUGAAGCUUUUGAAGCUGGAGCUCUAUAAAUGAAGCUUUCGAAGCUAAUUGACAUGAAUGAUGCUCAUGAAUGUUGACAUCAAUGAUGCUCAUGAAUGUUGACAUGAAUGAUGUUCAUGAAUGUUUAUGUAUGAUUGACAUGAGUGAUGCUCAUGAAUGUUUAUGUGUGAUUUGACAUGAGUGAUGUUCAUGUAUAAUUUUGGAGUACUAGACGUAUUUUUGAUCACCUGGUUGGUGAUAAUAGCGGCAGGCUGCCGAAUAAUUUUGGAGUAUUUGGCGUACUUUUGAUCACCUAGUUGGUGAUAAUAGCGGCAAGUUGCCGAAUAAUUUUGGAGUACUGGGUGUACUUUUGAUCACCUGGUUGGUGAUAAUAGCGGCAGGCUGCCGAAUAAUUUUGGUUGGUGAUAAUAGAGGGCCUGACUCUUUUAGGCAUACCGACCUUCGCCCUCCACAUAACAUUCCAGCCCAUUAUUUUGGGCUUGCCAUUUUUUUUUAUUACCCUCUGAUGGGGUUAUACAGAUGUCUCCGAAAGAUAAGAAAAAUAAAUCACAUCAUUCAAAAAUAAGAAAAGUAAAUCACAUCAUUCUAGGGGGGGUGUUUAUUCCUUACUUUUGCAGUGUCCCCAUGUGCUCUAGCAGAGGAAAGCCUAUCUUUUGCUUUCUGCUUUUUCUCGGUUUUUUCUACUUUGCUUUCGCUUUUAUUUCUGCUUUUUUAUUCUUUUCCUUUUCUCUUUUUGCUUUUGCUUUCUCUCUGUUCACUGCGCCUCUUACUUGCCGUAGCUCACUUCAUUGGUGCAGUGUAGUGGUGCACUGACAGCUGCCGCUUUGUUCUGUUCCGUGGCUUUUUCAGAAGGUGAUUUCACAUGGCUACCACCCCAUCAAUGAAGCUUCAAGCAGGUGGGUCCUCCACAGAACCUGAUCCAUCGGCGACAUAGUCCCAAGCUUCACACCUUUGUUCUGGAUCUUCACAAUGCUGAUGAAGCUCGAGAUUAAAAUCAUAGACAUGGUCCUUGCAAUCGUUUUUACAGUGGCUGGAUCCUUGCCCAUUUUUACCUGUGCCGUCUAGAGCCAUGACCACAGCUUACGGGGGCUUGGCGUGGAGGAGGACAAACGUAUCUUUGGUGACGUUCAAAACGACGCCGAGUUGAGCAUUGCUCUUGAAGGCCACACAAAGACAGGAAGUGUCAGCUUCGAGCACAGUCUUGAGGCCAUUGCAGCAAGUCUCUGCUAGGUGGGGAAUCUUCUAUGAGAGCUCAAGUGUCACCUUGGCAUUCAUGGUGGGACCCAGGAGCGUCAGGGAUGCCGUACUGUCUAGGAAUCAAAGGCCUUAAGAACCAAUUCCACCUGGGAUGCCAUACUGCCCAGGAAUCGAAGACGGUGGUGUCAUCCCCAUCCCAUCGCCGUGCGUAUUUGACCUACUUCUGGGUCCUUGACCCUGACCCGGCCCAUCUGACUUGCCCUUUUUUCCCAUCAAAAAUGGAGAUCUGAAAGUGAGACGCAGAGAGAGAGAAGAGAGAAAGAAAGCUUCGGCGAGCAAUCAGCAACUUCGCCACCUCGAAGCGGCUUGAGGAGACGGUGACGUGGAAGAUGGAGCGGCCGUCCUCGUUCCUGAGGGAGAAAGCUUCGGCGAGCUAUUUCUGGAUAUGCAGGAUCUUUCUUAUUGUCGUGAUGAAGUUUCUGGAAAUGAAGCGAGAUUUGCUGCGCUUCCAGGGUUGUGAGAGGAUAUAUUUUGGGUCGGUUUCUGUGUGCGACUGACUGAGAGAGGAGAAAGAGACUGUGACUUUUUUUUUGGAUUUCUUUUUGUUUAGGUUUCUGUGUAUGACUAACCGAGAGAGGAGAAAGAGAGAGAUUUGGUUUCUUGGGUUUUUGUGAUUUUGCAGAUUCACGGUGGAGGUGAAAAAAUGAAAGAGAACAGACAUAGCUUUUCAUGUCGUUUCCCACAGACGGCGCCAAAUGUUGAUGCACAAAACCGGAGAGGUCUUGGAACAACGUAAAUCAGAUCGUGAAUCUGCAAGAAAGUAAAGAACACAAGAUGUAUCGUGGUUCACCCUAAUGUUCAGGCUACAUCCACACUGAUUUUGUAUUUCUCUGUUUGUGAAAGGAUUAUGAGGGAGAUAGAGCUUUGUAUGUAAGGAUAAGAGCUCUGAAUAUAAGAGUGAGCCCCUAUAUUGUGAGGGUGAGGAGACCCUUUUAUAGACUAAGGGCUCAUCCCUUUUUUACUUGUUUGCCCCUUCAUUUAUUACAUAAUUACAUUUGAGUCGCCCGAGUAUUUAUACGAGAUCUAAAUACGGAGGCCCUAAGUAUGGUACAAACAGUUUUAAUCUUUGAAUUUUUCUGGGUUCAAAUGUCAAAUUUUGUUUUUUUUUUUUAGAACUGAAAAUUUUGGUUGUACAACGACGCUAAAAUCAUGGCGACGAUGUCGAUGAAGGUGAUGACCAGAAACUCGUUGUUGAGAAAAAUGGAGAUGGAGGGUUUGCAAAGCGGUUGGUGUAUUUGGCUACGGUGGAAGGGGAAGAAGUUGAGCAGAUAAAGUACAUAGUUUUUAAGUUACUUUUCUUUUCUCUUUUUUCUUAUUUAGUUACUUUUCUUUUCUCUUUUUUCUUUUUUAAGUUUUUAAUUAUAUAAAAAAUAUGUUUUUAAUUUUUAGAUAUUUUAAAUCCAAAUAGAUAAUAUUUAAUUUGUUUAUGGGACCCAGUUAUGUGCCAUAUCAGCACAUAACAAAAUUUUUAAUGGUAUUGUGAAGGAAAUACCACAUUGAUUUGCAACACUCAUUUUCAAGGACUACAUUGAUUGAUUUUCAAUUUUAGUGACCAUCUUAAUAAUAUAGGUCAAUUUCAAAUACCAUUUGUGAUAAAAACAUAAAAGGGUUUUGUUUAUACCAUAUUUAGGGCCUUCGUAUUUAGACCUCAUAUAAAUACUCAGGGGACUCAAAUGUAAUUAUGUAAUAAAGGAAGGGCCAAAUAUGUAAAAAGGGGAGGAGCCCUUAUUCUAUAAAAGGACCUCCUUACCCUCACAAACCCUAGGUCUCUCCUAUCUAGAGCAAAGCUCUCACUCUCUCCCUCACAAAUACUCUCAGAGAAAUACAAUCAGUGUGGACGUAACCCAAACCUUGGGGUGAACCACGAUACAUCUUGUGUUAUUUACAUAUCUUGCAGAUUCAUGGUCGGAUUUACGUUGUUCUAAGACCUCCGGUUUUGUGCAUCAACAUUUGGUGCCGUCUGUGGGAAACGACACGAAAAACUAUGUCGGUUCUCUUUCAUUUUUUCACCUCCAUCGUGAAUCUGCAAAAUAUGUAAAAAUCUGCAAAAACCCAACAACCCAAGCUUUCCCCCCCUCCCCCAAAAAAAAAAGAACCCAGAAAACAACAAAUCAAACACUAUUUCCAGUCAAUGUUUGGCAGCCGAGAAAACCAGUAAAAAAAAAAGCAGCUCAGAGAUACAGCUGGGUUGUGGGAUCUUCAACAUGUGGCGCGUUGUGCUGCUGCAACGAUUUGGGUCGUUCUGCCAAAAUGCUCAACCUGUUACUCGAAGCUCCUCGGCAGCUUAAUCCCACAAGGCGUUCAGAAGCUGGGUCUCUAUCCAAUCCUGCCAUGCUGCCUCAUUUUUAUUCAUUAGUCCACUUUUCUUUCGCUUUUACCUCCAAAUCUUCUUCUUCUUUCCCGAUUUGAACCUCCAAAUCGCGUCUCCGGGAUUCGGUUGUCUCUGCGAAUUAAAGAUUUCGUGCUUUUUUCGGAUUCAAAGUCAAGAGGAAUGAGCGUGACGAAGUCUCAGGUUUGGCAGCCCUGCAAGAAGAAGCGGUAGUUUCAGUAUAAGCAGCUACUGCAUGUGCCACGCCAUCAAGCCCCUCUUCUGCGGCAUGGGCAUCAACCCUAUUGUGCACGUGCUGGACGAAGACCCCAGAGGUAAGGAUUUGGAGAGGGUGUUGAUGAGGCUGCUGGGGACCUCCUCCGCCGAGUCUACCUCAAGCAUGAAGCGUCGGCUUACAGUUGGGCGGUUAACCAAGCCACCAUGGUUCAUUCUUCUUGUCACCAUGGCCUACAUUGCGAAGCUCUGUCCACCAGUCCUGGAGUUCAGAAUCAACUUGGACCGCAUCAUCAAAAUCUGUCCACCAUGGCCUACAUUUUCUCUUGGGUCGGAUCGACGAAGCUUGAUUUUGUGCAUCAGAAUCUGUUCUUCAAUCUCAUAUCCUUGGACGUAGCCUAUAUCACCGCCGCCAAGUCCUUCUGCAGAUUUUACGAUGCCUCGGCCAUGGCGGUGGAUACAGCUUUUUGAAACCCCGUCUCCUCCGUUUUACUCCCCUUCUUCCCAUUUCAGCCCGCAGCGCCACUUCUACCUUGCCGUCGACAGACACCAGUUCAAGAUGGAGACCUUAAUGGACUUAUUGGGCUGGCGGGUCGGCGUCCGGGGUUGCCUAUUGUGGUCUGCUGCAGCUCACGUGACGAGCUCGACACCAUUAGCUCUGCCGUCGCCAACGUCCCCUGUAUCUCUUUGGCUUCUCUGGACUACGCUUAUCUAUUUGAUAGAGAUGGUCAUGGCACAUAAGUUUUAUAUUCUCUAUUUGACGGAGAUGGUCAUGGCACGUGAUUAAAAUGGAGGGGCUGAAAGUGGAGGUGGAUGACGGUGGAGAAGGGGAUGCAAUUGUCACUUUGGCUGCAAUUAUUACCACGGAAAUAUCAGUUGUCAAGCAUUUGUCACGUUAGAGAAAAACAAAAGAAAGCAAGUGGGUGGUACAUGCAGGAAAUGGAAAAGAGAAAGAAAAGCAAAAGAAGAAAGCAGAAAGAAAAACAAUCAAGUGAGCUGCGGCACAAAAGCAAAAGAUAGAGACGCAAUAGAGAGAAAAGAAGAAAAGCAAAAGAUCUUCGUAUUAUUAUGAUUCCUUCUGUUUGCCAUAUGAAGAGACAGAGAGUGUAGCAGAAAAACACAAGCAAAAGCAAGGAAUAAACACCUCACCAGAAUGAUGUGGUUUACUUUCCUUAUUUUUUAAUGAUGUAAUUUAUUUUUCGUAUCUUUCGGAGAUAUCUGUAUAAACCUCAUCAGAGGGUAAAAAUAAAAAAUAAAAAAAAAGGGCAAAGCCCAAAAUAAAUGGGCUGGAAUGUUGUGUGGAGAGCGAAGGCCCAUAAGCCUAAAAUAGCACCAACCAGGUCAUCAGAAGUACGCCCAGUACUCCACAAUUAUUCGGCAACCUGCCGCUAUCACCACCAACCAGAUGAUCAAAAGUACGCCCAGUACUCCACAAUUAUUCGGCAACCUGCCGCUAUUACCACCAACCAGGUGAUGAAAUGUACAACUCGUACUCUAAAAUCUCGUCUCUGGGAUUCGGCUGUCUCUACGAAUUAAAGGUUUCGUGCUUUUUUCGGAUUCAAAGUAAGGAGGAAUGAGCGUGACGAAGUUUCAGGUUUGGCAGCCUUGCAAGAAGAAGCGGUAGUUUCAGUAUAAGCAGCUGCUGCAUGUGCCACGCCAUCAAGCCCCUUUUCUGCAGCAUGGGCAUCAACCCUAUUGUGCACGUGCUGGACGAAGACCCCAGAGGUAAGGACUUGGAGAGGGUGUUGAUGAGGCUGCUGGGGACCUCAUCCGCCGAGUCUGCCUCAAGUAUGAAGCGUCGGCUUACAGUUAGGCGGUUAACCAAGCCAUCAUGGUUCAUUCUUCUUGGCACCAUGGCCUACAUUGCGAAGCUCUGUCCACCAGUCCUGGAGUUCAGAAUCAACUUGGACCGCAUCAUCAGAAUCUGUCCACAACCCGCCGCUAUCACCAUCAACCAAAUCAUCAGAAGUACGCCCAGUACUCCAUAAUUAUUCGGCAACCCGCCGCUAUCACCACCAACCAGAUGAUCAAAAGUACGCCCAGUACUCCACAAUUAUUCGGCAACCUACCGCUAUUAGCACAAACCAGGUGAUCUAAAGUACGUCCAGUACUCCAAAAUUAUUCGGCAACCCACCGCUAUUACCACCAACCAGGUGAUGAAGUGUACAACCCGUACUCUAAAUAUCAUUUGGCAACUAGCCAUUCAUGCCACCAACCAGGUGAUGAAAUGCACAACCCGUACUCUAAUAUCAUUUGGCAACUAGCCGUUCAUGCCACCAACCAGGUGAUGAAAUGUACAACCCGUACUCUCCUUCAUGCCACCAACCAGGUGAUCAAAAGUACGACCAGUACUCCAAAUUAUACAUGAGCAUUACUCAUGUCAUUCAUACAUAAACAUUCAUGAGCAUCACUCAUGAUCAUCAUUCAUGUCAACAUUCAUGAGCAUCACUCAUGUCAACAUUCAUGAGCAUCACUCAUGACAACAUCCAUGAGCAUCACUCAUGUCAAUCAGCUUCAAAAGCUUCAUUUACAGAGCUACAGCUUCAAAAGUGUCAUUUAUAGAGCUCUAGCUUCAAAGCUUCACUUGCAAAGCUUCACCUACAAAGCUUCAAUGCAGGGUAUACAAAUACCGUCUUCGAACAACCGCCACUUCAGCCCAUACAUGGAUUCAAUUUGAAGUCUUCAGCCAACAGACUCUAUUGACCGAAGACUUGGGGGACUACAUUAUGUACCAUAUAUUGGGCCUUAACUAGGCUUCAUGAAAAUACUUGAGGGACUUAACUCAUUAUCUAUGUAUUGAGGAGCGAACCCUUAUUCUAUAAAAGGGACUCCCUCACUUUUAUUAGAGAGCACCCAUUAUUCAUGUACUGAGGAGCGAUCCCUUAUUUUAUAAAAGGGACUCCCUCACCUUCAUUAGAGAGCAACCGCCUCGCCGCGAGCAUCACUCCUAACCCAUCACUUAUGUAUUAAGGAGCGAGCCCCUACUCUAUAAAAGGGACUCCCUCACCAUCAUUAGAAAGCAUCGCCGCCAGCUGAGCAACCGCCUCGCCGCAAGCAUCACUCCUAACCCAUCACUUAUGUAUUGAGGAGCGAACCUUUACUCUAUAAAAUAGACUCCCUCACCAUCAUUAGAGAGCAUCGCCGCCUACUGAGCAACCGCCUCGCCGCGAGCAUCAACUCUAGCCCAUCAUUCAUGUAUUGAGGAUCGAGUCCUUAUUCUAUAAAAAGGACUCCCUCACCUUCAAACGUCACAAGCCGAGCCAACCAAGGCAACAUAAGCCACCAGCCUCGCAGCCUCGCAGCAUGUGCUACUUCUAGUUGAGCAUCAUUUCAGAUUGAGCACCGCCUCAUAUCGAACAUCAGUUCAAGACAACAUCUAGUUACUUCGGCCCACACAUGGACUGAAUUUCAAAUCUCCAGCCAAAAGACUCUCUUGACUGAAGACUUGGGGGACUACUGUUUAUACCAUAUUUAGGGCCUUCGUAUUUAGACCUCAUAUAAAUACUCGGGGGACUCAAAUGUAAUUAUGUAAUAAAGGAAUGGCCAAAUAUGUAAAAAGAUGAGGAGCCCUUAUUCUAUAAAAGGGCCUCCUCACCCUCACAAACCCUAGGUCUCUCCUAUCUAAAGCAAAGCUCUCACACUCUCUCCCUCACAAAUACUCUCAAAGAAAUACAAUCAGUGUGGACGUAGCCCAAACCUUGGGGUGAACCACGAUAUAUCUUGUGUUAUUUACAUUUCUUGCAGAUUCACGAUCGAAUUUACGUUGUUCCAAGACCUCCGGUUUUUUGCAUCAACAGGUUUCAACCCAAAAAGAAAAAUACUCCUCGUAGGCCCAACAAAUAGAGGCCCAAUAAUGGCUAGUAGAGAAAACAUAGAAGAUUAGGGGAUGGAUGACCUGUCACAAGUUCCGCAGCUGCCCGAAAAGCAAAGGCAACCAACAACCCACACCACCAAUUUCGCACCACAAAAACAAGGGUAGGUACGGUUUUAAGGUAAAAUCAAAACCGAAAUUUACUUGUUUUCGUUUUAUAGUGUGAACCGAAAUGAAACCAAACAAUUUGGUUUUUUUUUCUGGAUUAAGCCCAUUUAUAUGCAAAGUUAUAUCUUUUUUCUUCUUUUUUCACAGCACAGUUUUCAAAUCCAAUAGUCUUGCGCAAGUGUUGCCAUGAUGAUUAGGUUUUCUUUUUCAAUUCACUAUGUUUCUAGUUCAAACAUGUCCCUUCUUUUUUAAGUGAUUUAGAGUAAAAAAGUGUCUUUUAUUCGAUAAAUCUAAUAGUCUUGUGUUGAAAAUCAACAAUUUUAGUUGAAACAAACACAUAACAUAUUUCUUACUUCUUAUGGUUUUACAAAGGCGAAUAUUUUUAACCUAAUAAACAAUCAUCACAGGCGGCUCAGUAUUUGGGGAUGAAUUACAAGUUUGUAUUCUAUACAACACGUCCUGAGUUCGAUGGUGGUCAGGAAAUGUUGAAAUGCUUCUAUGAGUCUUCCAAGUCCAACCCCCCCCCCCCCAAAAAAAAAAUAGACUAUCAUGAUGAAGCUACAAGCUAUUUUCCUUUUGAGUAAAAAAAAAAAAAAAAAAAAAAAAAAAAACCUUAAUAAAUCUAACAAUUUGAAGCACAUAAAAAUCCAAUAGUGCAUCCACCGUUCUAAUUUUUAAGCGUAGUAAACAAAUGAAUAAACUCGGAUUUCAAGGGGUGGAAGAAAUUGAGAUAGCUUGUGAAAGCCUCCUUUGCAUUGCAGUUUAAAAAUUCGAAUCAUGCUUUUUACUUCUAAAGCUUCAGCCAAAUAUCAAUCUAACAAAAAUUCAAUCAUUCUAUUUUUUUUUCUUUUCUGAACAAAGCUUGAAUUACAGCGAUGAUCCUUUACGAAUCUUUACAGACAUACAAUCACAAUACAUAUACCUUGUAAUGGAAUGAAAAAAUUGUGAAAACCAAAUAUACACUUAUGAUUAUACUGAAGUCCAAAUUCAAUGACUAACUGACUGUCAUGUUUGCUUUGCGGAAAAUAUGCAUGAAUUAUGUUUUUGAAAAUGAGAAAUUAGGUUCACAUCCUAUUUUUUACUACUUCAUUGAUUAAAAUCCUAUUCAUUUUCAAUUUUUGAUCAAGGUCCUUGGUAUUAAUAACAUCAUUAAUUAUUUGAAUAAUAAAAUAUUUUUAUUUUUAAAUAUAUUCCUUUAGUGUUAAAAAUGUUACAAUUAGUAUAUUUAUAUUUAUAGCUAAAUUUUUUUAUCAUAUAUUUUUAUUUUUAGUGUUAAAAUAUUUUCUUUUCAUUUUUAAUUUGUACUCAUAUAUUAGUUCCUUUUUGUGCCCAUAUUUUUAAAGUUUUUUUUUGUGUUUUUACCCAUGUGUAUACCGUCAUGUGACAUUGUAUAUUUAAUCAAUGAUAGAAAAAUUACAUAUGGUAUAUUUAUGUUUUAUGCCUAAACUAUGUAUCAUAUAUUUAUAUUUUUAGUUUGUACCCACUUUUAAUUUGCAACAUUUUUUUAAAUUUGUAGUAUUUUCUUUUUAGUUUUAUUUUGUACCCUAAUUUAUUUAUAAUGCAACCAUUCUUCUUUAUUAAUGUACCACUUUAUUAUAUGUGAAAUAUACCAAUUUUUUUGUAAAAUGUACCAAUUUUUUUUAACACUGAAUACAUUCUUCUGCCAUUUAAUAUUUCUUAUUUUUACAUAGUUUGUAAGAUCUCAUAUCGCCCAGGGGAGUGAUCCUUAUAUGUAUAUUCUCAUCUCUACCUAGCACGAGGCCUUUUGGGAGCUAACUGGCUUCGGGUUUUGUAGGAACUCGGAAGUUAAGCGAGUAACGUGCGAGAGCAAUCACAUGAUGGGUGAUCCACUGGGAAGUUCUUGUGUGAGUUUCCAGGAACAAAACCGUGAGGGCGUGGUUGGGGCCUAAAGCGGACAAUAUCGUGCUAUGGUGGAGUUGAGUUCGGGAUGUGGUCAGGAUCCGGGCCAGGAUGUGACAUAGUUUUUAUCCAUUUAUUCAAUCAAAAUGUUUGAAUUUUGUUGUACCAUAUAUUGGGCCUCGAUAUUUGGGCUUCAUUACUGAGCCCAUGAUUUAUGUAAGAGGAGGAAACCCUUAUUCUAUAAAAGGGAUCCUCCUCACCUUCACUGAGGGAGAGAAAAAGAUACAGAGAGGCAGAGAAUAAUACAGAGAGCAAAUACUAAGCCUCUAUAGCCUCCAUGCAUACUGUAACCUUCAUCAACAUUUAACGACAUCAGUGUGGACGUAGCCCAACUUGAGGUGAACCACGAUAUAUCUUUGUGUUCUUGUGCAUUUGUGUGAUUCACAGUCAGAUUUAUGUUGGUCCAAGAUCCGCAAGAUUUUGUGCAUCAACAUUUGGCGCCAUCUAUUGGAAAGCUUUACCUACAAAAGAGUUUCCCGAAACUACUUGACCAAUCCCGAAACUACCAAGCAUCGGUCAGCGUUAUACCGUCAAGGACCCAGAAGAGUUUCCCUCAAACUAGGAGGCCAAUCACAGCAUGACACGUAUAGACAUCAGAAACCAAUCAUAGCACGACACGUGUCAACAUUAGAAGCUAAUCACAACACGACACGUGUCAAUAUCAGAACAAAGCUACAAACUCUCUUCUAUAAAAGGAGAUCAUUCUCCCACAAUAUUUGCUAAUGUCAUUUAUACUAAAUCAUUCACUAGUACUCAUUAAAGGAGAGUUUGAACGUAUGUACUUGUGUAAACCCUUCACAAUUAAUGAGAACUCCUCUACUCCGUAGACGUAGCCAAUCUGGGUGAACCACGUACAUCUUGUGUUUACUUCUCUGUCUCUAUCUAUUUACAUACUUAUCCACACUAAUGACCAGAGCAAUCUAGCGAAGGUCACAAACUUGACACUUUCUAUUGUACCAAAGUCCUCACUGAUUUUGUGCAUCAAAAUUUUUUUUUAUUGUAACCGUUUCUAAUAGUAUUAUAAUGAGGGAUUUAAAAUUUAUAGGAUUACAAAUCUCAUAAAAUAUCAAACAAUUAAUGUCAAAACUAUAAAAAUAAAAAUAUUAAUUGUAAUAUAAUGAGGUGUACAAAGUCAAUGGACUUUGAUCAAACUUUGAAUACCAUUAAGAUUUUAGUCAAAGAAUGUUAAGGAUUAGGGACCGCAUCCAAAGUAUCCCUUUUGAAAAUUAGUUCUCUGAGUUGAAUGAUGUCUUCAAUAGUUGACUUUAUUCUUUAAGGAAGUUGCGCCUUGUCACUGAUGAUGUCGCUGUUAUAAAAAUCCCAUCUAGCGCCACCUAGGCCUUACCUAGGCAUUAGGCAGUUGGUCACCAUACCGAUUAACCCAUAGACGUUUGAAAAUAAGAAAGGGUGCCUAGACUUGCUUAGGUGUCUGCCUAGAUCGCCUAUGUGUCCGCCUAGACCAUCUAGACUUGCCUAGACACCCGUCUAGUCACGACUUUUACUUAGAUUGAAAAUAAAUAACUUUCAUUUCACAGUUUAUUUAUUUUUCAAUAAAUUUCAAGAGACUUAUUGAAUAUUUAGAUGACCACGCAUUAUAUGCUUUUUUCUCAUGUUUUCAUUAUGUUUUUACUUUAUAAUUCAUAUGUCAUUCUAUUUUGCAGUUUAUGUAUCCUAGUAAAUUAUGUAUUUUUUAAAUAUAAGCAGACAUUUAUUUAUAUGACAUAUAAUAAAUUUAUUUAAAUUCGUCUAGGCAUCCGCCUAACCGCAUAGGCUCUAGGCCUCAGCCUCUCGCCCACCUAGCGCCUAGCAUCUUUUAGAAUCUUGGAUGAUGUUGAUGAGAAGAGACUUUUCAAUGUGUACAGAACACAGGUACAUACACAUAUGUUAUUAUACAAGUAGAGGGACAUUUAAAAAAGAAAAAGAAAAAAACCUUCCCUCUGCUCAUAUGAUAACUUAUGGCAUACCUCUAUAUAUUCCAAACACAUUGAAAAAUCUCUUUUCGAUGAGAACCCGUAAAUCUCCUUCUACCUGAACGCGAGUGAUGCCUAGUAUCAAUGCCCAUAAACUUAAGGCCUUGUUUAAGACAUGUAGCUUCUGCUUACACAAUUGACGUAUACAUAGCCUAAGAGAACUGCUCCUGCAGCUUUUGAAUGUUUAUAACAUUAGGAUAUACGUAUAAACGUUGAAUAUAUCCCUAACUAGUUUGCAGCAACUUCGAUCACAUUUCUUUUCUUAGUUAUUGUCCAAUUGUUAUGCGGAGCCAGGAUUUUGGCUUAGGAGGGGUCAAAAGUCUCACCUUAAAACGCUGUUGUGAUUUAAGAAAAUAAAUAUAUGUCGUGUCCUAACUACCGACCACCAUCAUUUGAGUUUAGUAUAAUGUCAUUCUUGUUAUCAUCUUUCUCAACUCAACCUCAUGCCCAAUAUCAUGACUCAGAUUCAAAAUAAAAAUAAGAACAAAGAAAAGUAAAAGUAAUAUUAUCAAGAGACUUCAAAGAAAAAAAUUAAAAAAAAAUCAAGCAAAAAUAAAAAAUAAAAACCAGCACUCUCUCACGACCUGGCUAAUUCAUGUCUCUCCCUCUUCUGAUCACCUAAGUCUCUCAAAACUUGCCACUGGUUAACUAGAUAAGGGCCACCAGCCUCAAAUGGAACUCAACAAUGAAAAUAAGGAAAAAGUUCUGGUUGAGACUCUAAAACCUUAAUAAGUCUUUGGAAAUUAGAGGAAUAACUCUAAUUUUUUCUGUGCGGAAAAAAUGGUAGAAUGGUCUCGGGACCAUUCUGAUAUCUUCAUGGUUCCGCCCAUGUAAACCUUGUCCUUUUUUUUCUCAUCAAGUAGCACAUGUGCAUCACAUUCGCAUAUCCUUAUAGAUAUAUAUAGUUUCAAUACAUAUAUUAAAGUUCCUUUCUUUAAUCUGAUGGGGACUUUGUAUACGCAUACAGACAAAGUAUAAUCUAAACCUGUAUGAGGAGGACCACUCAUGUCUCUACUAUAUAGUAUAUACAGCCGCAGCGUCGCAUCGCAAAUGAAAUCACGUAGCUUUCUCCCAUUUUUUUGUCUAAAGAAAAUAAGUUCUUUCUACUUUAUUUAAUCAUACUUGACCUCCUUCAAGUUAUUUUGUAGUUUUCAAAUAAAAUUUUAUGCAUCUGCAUUGUGUUUGUGCUUAAAUUUGGCACAAUUUCACUUAUUUGUGUCUAAAGCUAAAUUAUGGCUUUUUGUGAGGUUAUUUUGAAAUUAAACUAAACGAUGAGUAAAUUUUAUAUUAUAUAUUUUACCCUAAUCUUAAUAUAUUUUGGAAGAAUUUUGAUACUUUGAAUUGUAUUUACAAUAUAGGACUUUCAACUUCCUCUGGAGCAAAACAGGAUCAAAUGGACGAAUUUUGGAGUAAUUUCAGUUGGAAGACGUUCAUGAGUUACUUAGCUUGAUCGUACCAAAAUCUGGGAUUUUUCCACCAAACGGUUAUUUUCUGGCGAUAAAAUAAAGGAGCGAUACGCAGGGCUGGAAAAUGACGUUUUUGGGCUUAAAUUGCGUUUUUGGAGCCCAAUAUGACCUCGGAUGGGUUCGUGGCCUUCUGAAGAAGUGUUCAGAAUAUUUCAAACAUUAAAUCCAGCUAUAUUGGGCUAGUUUUGGAGCAGCUUAUGGGUCCAAAACGUGGCUGUUCAGAUUUUGGGCGAAUUUUACCAUUUAAUUUAGGGUUAUAUUUCCUAUUUUAUUUUAUUAUUAUUUUUAGUUUCCUAGUGGGAAUAAAGGACCUGUUUUUAGGGUUUGUGUGGGGGGGGGGGGGCUUAGCAGAUUUAUAGCUUGGCCAUCUGCAAUUUUUCUCUACGCGCUUCCUUCAACUUUGGAGACAGAGAAAAUUGCUAGGGUUUUGGAGAUUUUCUACUUGAAGGUGUUUUCAAUCAUUUUCUUAAUAAUAUUUUCUAUGAUUUCAAUUAUGAAUAUGCGUAACUAAUUCAUUUUGCUAGGGCGAAGCCUUGAGCCUUAGCAUGAAUAUGUGAUUUUUAUUACUUAUGAUUGAUUGCAUGCAUACUUUGAAUUGUUAAUCACCAGGAUAAAAACUAUCUAAUUGUCUUAAUGCCUGAUCACCAUUAGGAUCUUUAGAAAAUUAAUUUGAUGCAAUUUUGGUCGGAAGAUUCCCUGAAAUUGACGCUAGCUUCUUGUGAUUAAUAAUUGUAAUUUCACUUAGGAUGAACACCACGUCUUAAGGGUUGCAUGGUUUUUCAAAGUGUUUUCAUAAAGCAUAAUGAGUCUUUCAUGUUCAGAUUUGAUCCGAACGAACGGGUUGCAAGUUAGAUAUACGUUCUAUGUUGGAGGUUCCAAGUAGAAUAUAAAUUAGGAAAACCUAACCUUCAAAGUGGCAUGUGUAGAUCAUAAGUAAUUGGUAAAAGUUCAUAGGAUUGCUAGGUGAUGAUGGAACCCUAGUGCUUUCUUAAUUUGAUUUCUCCCAAAAACUGUUUUCUUUUUCCAUCUAGUUUUAAUAUUGCAGAUUAUCUUAUUUUUAUUAAUUAAACUCGGUUUUAAUUUAAGUAGGUUAUAAAAUCAAUCAUCUCAAUUUCUACUUUACAAUAAUUAAUUGGAAUUUGGUUUGUUUCAAAUUAUUUAAUAAUCCAUGUGGAGAACGACAUUGCGAGAUCCGUUUAUACUACAACAACCUUGUGAUUCUUGCAAGUAUAAUAGGAGUUUUUAGCCCAUUCACAUGAGGAGUAAAAUCUCUAUCACUAAACUUGCAUCAAGUGACAUAUACUUGACUUACAGAUGUCAAAUGACAUCCAUUAUUAUAUGUUAUAUGCUUAUAGAUAUUUUUCAUGAAAGUGCAGCAAGUAGAUUUGCUUCUACACUAUGGUUUGUUCUCAAUAUAUCUGAACCCAAGGCAAAAAAAAAAAAAAAAAAAAAAAGAGACACUCAAACAAUCGAACAAAUCUCUCUCUAGAAAACCAACAGCUGCACCAUUUUCAUUUUAAAUCUUUAUUCUACUAGCAAGUUUAGCAACCUUUUAUAUCAAAAAAUCCUUUCAAUAUUGCAAGCUCUUUCAUUUCUUUUAAUUAAAGUCAAAUAUGGUUCAGCUGAGGGCACUGACUAAUAACUACAACAUUUUACAACCUCACAACUUGAAGUUUCUUGCUUCGGUUUUGAUGUCGUAUCUAUUUAGAUCUUUCUAUGAGCUCAACCAUCUGGGCAAGGCCAUAGAUCACUGACUGAUGACUAACUACAUUUCACAACCUCGCAACUUGAAGUAUUAGGUUUCAAUUAUGUUCUCUCGCUUCGGUUUUGACGUCGUAUGCAUUUGGAUCUUUGUAUGAGCUCAACCAUCUACUUCAUGAGGAUACUGGCUAGAGCAAAGGCCAUAGAUCACCGACCGAUGACUAACUAUAUUUUACACCCUCGCAACUUAAAGUAUCGGUUUCAAUUAUGUUUUCUCGCUGUCCAGUUUUUUUGACGUGGAUGUAUUUGGAUCUUUGUAUGAGCUCAACCAUCUUCUUCAUGAGGGUACUAGCAAGAACAAAGGCCAUAAAUCACCGACUGAUCACUAACUGCAUUUUACAAUCUCUCAACUUGAAGUUUCGGGUUUCAAUUAUGUUUUCUCGCUUCGAUUUUGACGUCAUAUGUAUUUGGAUCUUUGUAUGAGCUCAACCAUCUGCUUCACGAGGGUAUUAGAGCAAACGCCAAAGAUCACCGACUGAUGAUCGAUGAGGUGGAGAUGGAGAGUACAAAGCUGACCUCUUCCUCUCCCACUGUUGCCAUCACUAUUUUGGUGGCUACUUUUUUUUUUUUUUUUUUUUUUUUUUUUUUUUUUUGGUGAUGCUCAUGGAAACAAACCGCAUGGGUUUUGGCCCCAGCCAGAAAUGAAAGAAAAGCGUGAGAGAAAUAAGGCAUGGGCGUUAUGGUAUUGGAACGCUCAAAAAGGAACUUUAUUGGGAACCAAAUUUGGCAAAUAGUGAAAGCUGACGAUGGUUCACGUGAGAACUGAGGAGCGUUCGGGAACCCUAAUUCUCAUUACUUUUUAAAGCCUUGGAACUGUGAGUGUAUGUCAUGCCCAAUUGGUGGGAGACAAAUAGUAACCAUGCGAUUAAGGACGUGUUUGGCUACUUUGGAAAUGUGAUCUGCGGCUUGGUUAAAGAGAAAAGGCAGUAUCUUCAUUUGUACUAUAAAACCAUGUUUUCAAUUAACAUUUUCCUAAAUUUUUGUAAGAGAAUAUUUCCUAAAUUACUCAUCUCUUUUUUUGCAGAAAAUCGAUGCCCCACUUACUAAUCGGGAGGCUACCAACUGAUACAACAUUAUGUAUGUAUAAUUAAUGGUAUUGGUAAUUUAGGAGGCUAGCUGUGGAAAUUAAAGGGUUUAGAAAAUUGGAUAAAAUACAUAAGCAGGAGUUGGUGAUCAUAAUUUAGUAAAAUAUUUAAACUGAAUUAUACCCCAAGACACCAAUUAAGUUCAUUAAUAACAGGCUGAUUGUGAAGUCCAAAGAUAAUGUUUUCAAGUCGUUUGUUAAUUAGUUGUAUUUUAAGGUAUUUGAGCUUAUUCAUGAUGAGUUGAAUUAUUCCGAACAAUUUUGAAUGAAGCAGUAUGUAUUUCUUAAUGCUGUUAGAAUGUGGCUUUUAGUGUGACAAAGACACCCCAGAAGUUUGUAUAUGGGAAUAUUAUUAUCUCAACGCUUUAGAAUAAUUUAUUUUAGUUACGUUGUUUCUUUGUGUAUACAAUAAUCUUCAAAUUAUAUGGUUGUCACUUGUUACAGGUUGGAAAAUGACUCUUUAAGUGUUAUUUUCGCUCUCCGAUUGACUGAUUUUGAUCCUCCUUGGCCUCUUCGUACACAACGGUCUAUUUGUUUGGAUAACAUUUGAGAAAUGACUUUCUACGCCUCUCACAUAUAUCACUAGGGAAAUGUUGUUGCGGACCAUUUUUGUUAACAUGAGUUUGUCUUCUCCAACUUUGGUAUGACAUGGUUCCCCUCUGCCGCUGCUCAUGCUGCUUUGUUUUUAGACUAUAUUGGCUUGCUUGGCUUCCACUUCUCAAAUUAAUGUGUAUCUUGGCAUAUAGAUUUAUCUCACUUUUUUUUUGUUCCCUAACCUUGUGGAAUUGUUCGACUUGUUUUGCAAGUUUAGACCUUUAGGUUUGGCUUUAUAUGAGGUUAGGUUUUAUGCCCCCUCCCCCUCCCCCUUCUUUUUCUUGUAUCUUUUUUGUUUUCGCUUUAGAGGGAUAAAAUUUAUGUUCCUCUUCUUUUUCAUGAUGUUACGAAGAGUAAGGUUUAUGGUCCCCUUAAUUAGGUGUAACUUUUUUUUUUUUAUCAAUAAAAUCUCUCUCAUGCCGUUGAAGUUAAAAAAAAAUCACUUUCCCGAAGUUAGUAUACUAAUCAGCGAAAUUUCCAUCAUAAUUUGGUGUGUGGCAAUACACGGAGCAAUGGACGGUAAAUAUGUUUUUUUUCCUUAUUUAGUAAAAAAGUCCAAAAAUUCAACGUCUUAUUGUUUGCAUAUUCGAAUAAGGAAGACAUAGCUUUAAAUACAUGCAAACUUUUCACAUAAUCAAUAAAACACAUUUAUUUUUCGGUCUUUUUAUAUAAGAUAGUACUAAUAACCAUGCUCCUCUAAAGGCAUCUCUGCUCCAAAACCUUAGUUCGAUGCAUAAAUUUCCUCCAACCCUACUCUUAAACACAGUUCCAAAAAUGUUAAUUUUUUUGGAUUAUCAAUUAUUCUACUUCAUAUAUGGAGUAGAUGUCACAUCCCAACCCGAGCCCCCACCACAUUCCUAGCUCGACUCCACCGUAGCACGAUAUUGUCCGCUUUGGGCCCCGACCACUCCAUCACGAUUUUGUUUCUGGGAACUCAUACGAGAACUUCCCUGUGGGUCACCCAUCCUGGGAUUGCUCUCACUCGAACUCACUUAACUUCAGAGUUUCAAUAGAACCCGAAGCCAGUAAGCUCCCAAAAAGCCUCGUGCUAGGUAGAGAUGAGAAUAUAUAUAUAAGGCUUACAGGAUCCACUCCCCUAGCGAUGUGGGAUCUUACAAUCCACCCUCCUUAGGGGCCCAACGUCCUCGUCGGCACACUUCCGACCAGGGAUUAGCUCUGAUACCAAAUUGUCACAUCCCGGACUCGACUCCGCUGUAGCACGAUAUUGUCCGCUUUGGGCCCCGACCAUGCCCUCACGGUUUUGUUUCUAGGAACUCACAUGAGAACUUCCCAGUGGGUCACCCAUCCUGUGAUUACUCUCGCGUGAACUCACUUAACUUCAAAGUUCUGAUAAAACCCGAAGUCAGUGAGCUCCCAAAAGGCCUCAUGCUAGGUAGAGAUGAGAAUAUACAUAUAAGGCUUACAUGAUCCACUCCCCUGAGCGAUGUGGGAUCUUACAAUCCACCCCCUUAGGGGCCCAACGUCCUCGUUGGCACACUUACGGCCAGAGAUUAGCUUUGAUACCAAAUUGUCACAUCCCGCCCCGGGCCCCCACCAUAUCACAGGCUCGACUCCGCCGUAGCACGAUAUUGUCCGUUUUGGGCCUCGACCAUGCCCUCACGGUUUUGUUUCUGGGAACUCAUAUGAGAACUUCCUAGUGGGUCACCCAUCCUGGAAUUACUCUCGCGCGAACUCGCUUAACUUCAGAGUUCCAAUAGUUACCGAAGCCAGUGAGCUCCCAAAAGGCCUCGUGCUAGGUAGAGAUGAGACUAUACAUUUAAGGCUUAUAGGAUCCACUCCCUUGGACGAUGUGGGAUCUUACAGUAGACACCAUCAUACUCUAUAAUUUGGAUUAUGUACUUUUUUCUUAUAAUACCUAUACUACUCAUUUUUGCUAUAGUACUUUUUUUUUCCUUUCAUAUCUCUUUCACAUUAUAACUAUUAUCAUAUCACAAAUUUGAUUUUAAUUUUUUUUAUCAAAAAUUUUAUACCAUUACAAAUAUUUCAUUGAGAUCUUUAAUUCAAGUCUAAUCUUGACUUUAUAAUACAAAUUUUGAACUUUACUAGUUAAGUAUAUGAAGUUAGUAUAAGAUAAAUUUUAAGAUGAGUCAUGUGUCACAGCCCGUCCCAAAUUAUUACUAUUGAUGAUGUAAAAUGACGGUUUUAUCCUUGGACGUUGAGAUUGUAGAGUGUGUAAUGUGCUUUGGGACUUAGAUGUGUUUUCUUUGGUUGGUUGGUGACCCACGUGGAGCACAUACACACACCCAAAACUCUCCCUUUCUCUCCCGUGCCUUCCCUCUCUCUCAUUCCUUUCGGAUUUUUGCAGAAAGCUCGUACAAAUGUACGGACAAACUCCAAGCUUCCAUUUCAAGCACGGAUCGACGUCAAGAAGGUAAGAUUUGAACUCCUUGCAAGUCCUUGAGUUCAUAUAUGCCAUUUUUAGGACCUGAAAACCUCAAAAACCCCGAGAACUCUAACCUUCGAUUUGGUGCACUAUUCAUGCACACGUAAAUGUGAAGGUUUCAGGUGAUUUGAAGCUUGUAGGAAGCUUUAAAACAUCCCUACGAAGCUCGGAGAAGAAAAACCAAGCGAUUUGCACGUCGGGAUGGUCAGUUUCAAGCUUGGCUGAUUUUUCUUGAAAUUCUCCGGUGAGAUCCCAUGAGAUUUAGGCCCUAAAACUUGUAUGGGUUUGUUCUACAAGUCCUAAGCUUCAUUUUGAUAUAUAAUUUGUGAAAUUUGGUUGAAAAUCGAGUGAGAUAUCAAGAUUUAAAGAUUUUCCCAGUUUCCAGCGCCGACGACGAUAGCCGGAGUUUUGAGUUAGGGAUGACGGAAUAUUCCGUCAACUUUGACGAAAUAUUCCAACGGCGUUAGUUAAUUUUAACAGAUUUCGUUACUAUUUAACGGAAUAUUCCUAACGGCAGUUAGGGUUUCUGUUAGGGUUCCCUGCGCGUGGCGGCGCGUGUUGCCGUGCCUUGGCCGGCGCGUGGGUGGUCGGAAAACUAUUUUUAAAAUAUGGGGAUGUUCAUGGAGUUGUGUAGAUCACGUUGGUAUACUCAAACACCCUAUUUGAGCAUUGUAUAAGAAGUUAUUAGCUAGUUUUGUUUAUGUGCUUUAAAUAACGUUUUUAUAGUGAUUUCGCAUAUAGGGGAGGCUUAUCCCGAGAACGAGCGCAGUCAAUGGCGACUAGGGGGUUACGACCCUUCGACAUACCAGUGAGUGGGCUUUUGGUUUUCAGUAUAUACUUAUAUACUUGAUAUUUUCCCAAAAAAUGCGUUUAAAUGAAAGUAUGCCUUGAAUGCCAUGCAUCUAAAUUUAUAUUUCGUAUAUGAAUUAGUUUAUGAUGCUUAUAUAUAAUUAUGGUGAUGUGGACGCUUAGGUAAGUACCAGGUGAGUUAUGUUUUGUGAUGAGAAUUAAUGAUUAAUGGCAUGUGAUUGAAUAACGUUGAGCUCAUAAAACUGCAUAUAGGGUGAUUGUGAUUUAGCCAAAGAUAUGGGACAUGCCUGUUAUUACAAUGUCACCUCCCGCACCAUAUGCUCAUAUUGGAUCCAAUUUAGGUGCAUCAUAAUCAUGUCGUACAGACCUUUACUAUGGUUCCAACUUGUAGAUGACUAGUGAUUUAUCGCCCAACUAUUAUGAGAGAGUAGUAUUGAGCAUAAUUAUAUUACACCCACUAUUGUCGUACAUACCUUUUCAUUUGGUUCCGACUCGUGUGCAGUAGAGUGUCGUAUAGAUCAUUGUAGUGACUCCGACUAGAUUUGAUUAUUGAGCUAUGAAUUCAACCGUACAUACUUCCAUAGGGGUUCCGGCUAAUAUGUUAUAUUUCUAUGAAUUUAUUCUCACCUGAAUUACUUACUCUAUUAUAUCUUGGUAUGACAUACUUAUGAUUAUGAAUAUGUGAAGCAUGAUUUGAAUUGAUAUAUUUGAACGCUCACUUCAUAUUUUGUCUCCUUUCUUGCCAUAAUCUUGUAGUACUCGUCAUUAUGAACGCUCAAGCGUAACAUGAUUUGAUCUAAACAAACGGUGGGCCUAUUUUAUAGAAUAUUUGUUUUCUGUUUUAGAAAUAUCUCAUUGUCUUUUAUGUGAGAUAUUCAUAUUUAAAGAAAUAUCACAAUUUGGGAAAUCUUCCCACCGACACAUAUCUCUUUCCACCAUCUCAUCUUUCUCUCUCUCAUCUCGUCCUCCCUCUUCUCGCCACAACUCAAACAAACGACGUCAUCUCAAAUAGAUUAACUCUCAAAACUCCACGUUUUCACUCACCUGGUCACGUCGAACCUAGCCAUGGGUUUGGAUUCGUGAUAAUCUGAACCAAACUGUAAAAGCAAAGGCUUCGACAAGGCCAAACUUUCCGACGAGUUUUUCAUCGUUUUCCCAGCAAAGGUAAGCUUCUAAUCCUCUUAAAUCGUUGCACCUUAUUUAGUAGAUUAAAUCUUGUGAUUAGUUGUCGAAAUGGUGAGUUGUGGACACAAAUCGCAGAAGAAGAAACCUACUGCAGUUCUAGCAAGUUUUGGAGAGAAAUGACAUGGGUUUUCUGACUUGAUCUCGUCGAUUUUAGACGAGAUCGUGACCACCAAACAACUCUCCAAUGUCCCUAGGCUCAGUUUCGAGCAACCAGUUGCAGUUUCGAGAUUUCCAAAUUCGGGCUGAAACUUUCCUAGCCUAUUUAAAGGCUUGCCAUUUUUUGGGCAAACCAAGGUGAUGCUUGGAUUCUACACCCUCAAUUUGGCCUAGGUUGUGAAUUUUUUAGUCAUUGGUUGAAUACUUCAAGCUCAUCGUGUGUUUGGAAAUUUUUCGACAAAUUUCCCAGUUUCCGAUGACACAGGCAGCUGACGAAACACAGUUGACCGGCUCACUACAGAAGAUGAAGAAAUAUAUAUUCUGUUAAUUGGGCGAAGUUAGGCAACCGUUACUUUUUCCAUUAACCUUAAAUGAAUAUUUCUUCCGGUCUUGGUAUGCAAACACGUGACAUUCAUAGCUGAAGUAUGGCAGUUCCGGGCGGCGUGUGGCAGCACGUGAGCCCUGUUUUUAACACUUUUAACUCCAUUUUGAGCAAACAAAAGACAUAAUUUUUCAAGUCUCUCCUUAGUAUUUACAAACUUUGGUUAAUUUAACCAUGAGUAUGUAAUAAUUUCCCAUAUAAGAAAAACUUAGCCCGAAGAGUUUAGAGGCCAAGCAAAGUAAGACGACUACAACCUGACUACAUAUCAGUGAGUGGGCUUUGUUUUCAAGCAUAUAUAUAUUUGUAGUUUCCAUAACUGCUUGGAUAAUGUGUUUUUACAUCAUAUCAUGCUUUUACUUAUGAUUAUAAGUAUUAUUUGAGGGUGUGUGAUGUGUAUGAAAUUAUUUUGGCAUGAUCACACGUAUAUUUUUAUUUGCUUAUCAUGCAUGCUUACAUUGGUGUCUAUAAUAGUCGUUUGGGCUAGGAUCGGCUAAAGUGUAUGUUCACAUCGCACAAUUAUGCUCACUAUGGAUCCAUUGCAGGUGUUAGCAUGUACUAGUUUCCAUUAAGCAACUAGGACUCGUAUGUGAUGCGCUUAGCACCAGCUUCAUGUGUAUGUAGUACUUGAGCGUAAACACCCAACUUGUUCCACGUAGCUAUUUUCUAAAUGGACUUGUGUCUAUACUAUUGUGAUAAGCAUACUAUUUUAUAUAGUUGAGAUGUUGCGGUUUACUGUACAUUUGAAUAUUUGUAUUUACCCAGUAAAUGUGAGAAUUUAAUUUCCUGUAUUUAUGAGAAUAGGAUGAGAAUAUUCUUCUGUAACUACACUCUUAUCUAUGCUCUGACAUUACAUUUAUGUAAUAUGGAUACAUCUUGCACACAUUCUUGUCAAUUAGUUUUAGGUUUCGAUUUUAAUUUAUUCACACCUUUACCCAAAAGAUUAUCAUAAUAUGACUUCGUCACCUUCCAAAUAUUGGCCAGCACGUCUCGGGUUUAAGUAUCCACCUAAAUAUCCGGCUCGGGAUGUGUCAAAAAGUAUAGAGUAUUAAGAAAUAUUUUGUUUUAGAGUUUCAAAUAUAGAGUACGGUUGAGGUAGGAAACUUUUAGAGUUGGAAUAUUAUGGGGAUAUAUCAUUUUAAAAUCAAAUUUUAGAGUUUGAAGUAAGAGUAGAAUUGGAGAUGUUCUAAUGACUCCUACAUUGAGAAAGAAUAAAGGAGCUUCAAACUGCUUAUAGCACUAAUUAAUACUGUUUUAAUAAUAUUAUAAAUAAUAACUUUAGAAAAAUCUUAAUUACAAAGUCAAUAUACCACUUCCGGUCAAUGUGACUCCUUAUGAGUUCCAAUUACUUUUCAUGCAUCAUGCGUGUUGGAAUUACUGAUAUUUCUUGUUACGGCCUAAUGUAAUAAGGCACUAACAAGUGGCAAACAAUAUCGUAUUACAUAUAUGUCAAUUUACUUGUACCAUGUUAUACUGUGCGUGUUAAUUAAGAUUAGAUUUCCUUGCAUAAUUCCCAAAAUCGAAAGUUUCAAUGCAUGUACAUUUCCAAACGUAUUUUGUCGCCUAGAACACCUAAGGUAACAUCCUUCCAUCAUAUCAUUUUUUUAAUAAACAAUAUUAUCUAUAAUAAAAAGGAGGACAUGAGCUUAGUCUCACAAUGAACUAGCAAUAAUGUGGUUCAAAUUCACCUUUGAUGAAAAUUGAACCUAAGACCUCUCACUUAUAAGUGAAGAGGAAUACUACUAAACCGUAAAUACUAACUGACAUUCCUCCUAACCUAAUAGAAUGUGCACAAGCAUGAUCCUUGUAGGGUUUGGGUUCGAAGGUUGGUAUCUGCAAUUUGAUGUUCUUCAUGGUCCCUCCAUCAUAUAUUUGAGUUCGAAUUAUUUAACCAUGUUGAGCCAUAUCUGUACAAUUAAACAGAAAAUUAAUAACUAAAGAGUUAAGAUUAAUUUCAGUGAAUCUUCGUAGAGAUAGUUUUCAAUAUAUACUCAUUUAAAAAUGAUCAGUUUGCAACUUCAAAUUAUGAAAAAUUCUUAUAAAAUGGAUCCCAAUGACUAAUUAGUUUUUCUGUCGAAUGUUACUAAUUAGUUAGCGCUUUAGUGUUCUUGUAUGUUUUAAAUUUUAUACUUUUGCUAUUUCGUUAGCAUAAGAGCUUAUUGAUCAAUCUUCCCUUAUUUUGAAAGAAAGUACACGUAUUUAGUAACAAUGUUAUUUGUUUUUGGGAAUAAUUAAAAAUGUUACGAUAUAAUUAAAACAAGCAGUAGUAUUAUUCUCGUAUCCUUAGAGUGCUUAAAAAUAAAUGAAACAAUCCUGCAAGAUUCAAAAUUGGAAGAGAUGUCAAAUCGAAACUUCUCUUCUAUUGAUCAAAAGAACUGUUACGAAUCACAUACGAACCACAAAAAAACACUAUCUUUUAGGCUAUAUAAGAUUAGAGAAGUAAUUCUUAACACACUCUUUUUAUUUUGUGCACAUCCUAUUUUAAUUUUGAUCAUAAUUUUACUUUAAUUGUUUAAUGUAACUGUUACGAAACUAUAUAUGUGUGUAAAGUGAGAAAGAGUGAAAAUCAAUUCUCUAAUAUUAUUCUCAAACCAUUUUUUUGCAGUGAAAUAAAUAUGUAAUGGUACAAUAAUCUUUACAUUUAUGUGGUAAUUAUUUUUAAAAAAUCAAAACCCAACUAAUCCCAUAUCUAUUGACCAUCUAUCAUGUCAUUCAAAGGAAGCUAUGAUGUGAAUUGAUAUAAACACAAUACUUCAAAUAACUUUUUGGAUAUCACGAUUCAAGAAUCCAACAUUGUGUUGUACCAUUACAUAAUAGGAGGAAACCAUCCUUUUGGGAUUAGGAUCCUCUCCUGAGCUCAGGAGGCUCAGCCUUCUGAGCAAAUCCAUCAGACCGUUGAAAUUUGAUCCAACGGCUACAAACAGAAAGCCUCUCUAAAAGUUAUAACAACUGUAGCUAUUGGAUCAAAUUUCAACGGUUCGAUAGAUUUGCUCAGGAGGCUCAGUCUCUUAAGCUCUAGAGAGAAUCAUGCUUUUCAUAUGAUACUGAUUUAAUGGCAUUUUAAUUUAUUUUUCCAAUUCCCACCAAGGACCAAAAAAUAAUAAUAAAAAAAAAUUGACAUUAAAAUUAAUCAUUUACUACUUCAAUUUUGAAAACUCUAGCUCUAAAGAGCAAGUCCUAGACCAAGUUAAGGAUGGAACAUAUAUAUUUGUACAAUUAAAUCCUUAUAAAUUAAUAGUAUUGGGAAUAAAUAAAUUUAUUAAUUUAACGAACAGUUUCUAUCAUUGAUUGUGAUUUUCCACACGUAUCAUAUAGAUAUCACAUUUUCUUCUCUCUCUCUCUCUCAGUCUGUGUCUCUCUCUCUACUCUCUAUCUCUAUCUCUGUCGAUCGAGGUCCCUCACCCACCACAUCAACACUAUCUUCGUCGAUUGAGGUACCUCCCACCCACCACCUGACCACCAUCUUCGUCAAUCAGGGUCUCCGUUGAUCCUAGGUUUGGUUUGGGUUUGGUUUGGGUUUGAUUUGAGUUUUUUUUUUGUUCUUUCACUGAUUUAGGUUUUUCUACAUUUUGGUUUUAGUAGGAAUUUGUAGAGUGAGGAAAUAGAACAUAAACUCAAGCAUUACUCAGAGCUGGUUUGGUAUUGCUGUGCUUUGAAAAAAAGCUGCUGUGAGAAUAAACGGCUGUGCUGUGAGAAUAAGCGGCUGUGAAAUAAAUCAGCAGAGUGUUUGGUAAACUUUUUUGUAAAAGUGCUUUUGGAAAAAAAAAGCAGUCUUAUAGUUGAUCUUUUCAUUAAAGAAGCACUGUAGCUUCGAGUGCUUUGAAAAAAAGCCAGUUUUCCAAAGCUACAAAUAGCAGCUUCAGCUUUUUCCUUUGAUUUCAGCUUAUUCUCACAGCAGCUUCCAAAAUAAGCCAUUUUUUUUCAGUUUACCAAACACCUAAAACCCUCACAGCUUUUUUUCAUGGGUGCUUUUUUUUUUAAGCACCUCACUCCCAAACUAGGUUCAGACAAUUCUCCGCAUCAGGUUUUUCAGGUUGCACAAUGACAUGGACCUAGGGGUGGGUUCAAAAAACCGAAAACCGAAAAAAACCGAAAACCAAACCGAACCGAAACCGAAAAAACCGAACCGAACGAAAAAACCGAACCGAAUUGAAAAAACCGAACCGAACCGAAUUCUUUUGGUUCGGUUCGGUUUUAGUGAUCUAGAAACCGAACUAAACCGAACCGAACCGAAUUAAUUAAAUUAAUUUUUUUAUUUAAUUAUUUGUUUUGGGUAUUAUUUUCUAAACCCAAUUUGUAAGUUAAAAUGUGCUAAACCCAAUGUGUUGCCAAACUUUAAGCUCAAAAUAUUUAAAAAAGGCCUAUAAAAACUCUAAACCCUAACCUAUUAUUUAUCCCCCAUAUAAGGUUACGGAACCAAACCUCCUCCAGAAGUACCUACAUCCAUCUCCAUAGCACUGCCUACUUCUGCCCUAGCUUUCUUUUCCAAAUCUACUCUCAUAUAACAUGUAACAGAAUCCAUAAACAUUUAUUUCGGGUAGAUUACUUGGGUAAUUUGUGAUGGAAAAGAAUCUAACACACACUAAAUAAAUCCACCAACGCAUUAUUUUUACUAAUCAAGUUGUCAACAUGCAAAUACAAGCAAACAACCUUGAUCUUUGAACAACAUCAUACAAUUUAACUUUUCUAAGUCAUUUGUACAAUUUUUGUGUUGUGAGGUUGUUAGUUUGGACUUUGGAAGACUUGAUUGAUGAUUUUAGUUCAAUUUUAAAUGUUUAUUUUCAUUGUCUUUGAUUCUAGUUAGAAUGCUUAUGUUAUGAUUGUGUUGGAUGUGUUAAAAUUUAAAAUUUCAAUGUUUUUCAUUUUUUUGAAAGAAAAAAAAAACAAAAAACCGAAACCGAACCGAAAAAAAACCGAACCGAAAAAAACCGAAAAAAAAAUGAACCGAACCGAACCGAACCGAAAUUUCGGUUUGGUUUCGGUUUUGGCAAAAAACCGAACCGAUUUAAACCGAACCCACCCCUACACCCAUGGAAACGUUAGAACAAACGGGUCGGGUUGGUCUAUUUUCAAUUUUGAAAAACAGCCAACCGCGUUUCAUUUCCAAACAGAUCCGAUCCAAUUCUUUCAAAUUUGGAUCUGACCCUGCUCAUGCCCACCCCUAAUUUUUUAUUUAAAAAAAUAUAUUCAUGACCCAAUGGCCAAUCAUACAUUAGAUUAGAGAAACAAAGUGAAAAAUUUCGACCAAAAAAAAAAGAAAAGUGGAUUUAUUCCCACGCGCUUGUUUAAGCUUCAAGAUGUCACGCGCGGAAUUGACUAGCAAAGAAUGUUGUGAUUACAUAGCUCAAAACAUGCAAUUGUUUUGUUUUCAUUUUGGUUCAAUGGUUUGAUUAAUGUUUCGAUUAAUUACGAAAUUAAAGAAGACAAUAUCGUGGAGCAUAAAGUACUCCAUGUAAGAGGAUUAUCAUCAUUUUUGGUAUUGGUAAUGAAUGCAUGAUAGGAAUCUCUUGUUCGAUUGUCUAAUAAUUUUUUUCAAUUAAAUCGUCAUAAAAUUGAACUCUAAACUUAUUUUAAUUUUAAAUAUCACUUACCCUUCCUCACUAGUAAUCAUUUGCUUAAAUAGUUUACUUAUUUAUUAUGUCAUCAAACUGUAAGUCUCAUACUAAUUACGUGAAUAAUUGUGUUAAUAAUUUGAAAAAUCGACUGAAAUGGUCAAUUUGUAAAUCUCAAUUGCUAGACUUGUCAAAAUCAAAUACAUACAACAUAUCAAUCAACCAUUGAAGAUACAUGAAUCGAGUAUUGAAAAGUAAUUGUUUCACAAAUUAGCAUGUAUAAGUGAUUGUUACGGCCAGUAAACCAAACAAAUCUAUUUGACGAUGACAUAAUUUGUCAAUUUUGUUUGUUACAAAUGAGAGUUUUGAAUUUUGAAUAUGUAGCUUACUCAUAUCCAUCACCAUAUCCUCAACACUGGACUAAUCCUGUUAUCUAAAUUUUCUGAAAUGUAUGGUACAAAUUGAGAAUCUCACACAUGUGAAUAAAAAUAGGAUACAUAGUGCAUACCUCAUAACAUGAACAUUUGCUUGAAAGUAGAAUUAUGAGAUUGGCCAUACACCCCAUGUGGAAGCUCUCCAUGGUUCCCUCUCUCUCUCUCUCUCUCUCUCUAAUGAAAAGCUAUACUUUUCAAUUCCCAACUACUUUUGUUACUCACCACCAAGAGGCAACAAUUUUGUACUCCCUCCUUUAUCUUUCUUUGUGCAUAUAACUGAGUAAUGAACAUAAAAAGGUGGGGGAGAAAAUGAUUGGGGCUCAUUGCCUCUUAAAAUUAUAAUGUGAUAUGAGUUGGGUGCUUGGACAGUGAGAAAAGGAGAGGAGAUAAGGGAAGGAUUCAGUCAUCAUUUAUUUGUUUGUGGGGCAUCUUAUUCAAAAAAUGCAAGAGCAUGAACCAUGCUUCCCUAUCAUAUACAAAUCCCCAUACCAUUUGUAGUUUUCACUCACCAUAAAAAAAAAUCUCAAAAAAUAAACAACCCAUCCUCCCUUUUUGCGUAUGUUUUUGUUUAUGUUGGCAUGCUUGAUCUCUUUUUCUUUUCUUGAUAUUUUUUUUAAGUGGUUUUAACUGUGAGAGGUUUUUUCAGAAGCCUUUUUCUUGGGCAUGCCCAAUCAUCUUCUUAUACGUUUUGGAUUGUUUUGUUUGAAAUGAGAUCUAUCUUUUCCCCUCAAAAACCAUCAUCAUAAUAUCAAUUAUUUUCAAGAGAGUGAGACAUGACCUCCAGUGACCCCUAAUUAUGUGGUUGAUGAGAGAAAAUUUAAACACUUUGUAAGGCAAAUUUUUAUAUUUUUACUCGUUUGGAAACGCUCUUAUUAAAAAUAUAUUUCUCUACAAACUCACUUAAGGAGAUUGUUUAAAAUGAUUUCUUUAACAAACACUCGUUUAAAUUUAUUUAUAAUAAAAAUGCUUUUAUUAGAAGUACAUUGAAAUUUUUAAUAAAAAUGCAAGUAUUUCUUAAGAAACAAAUAACGCAGAUUCUUCUAGAAUGCACUUCAAGUACCUUUUUUAACCCAAAAAUAUGAGUAAUGCUAUUCAUAUCAUGUUUUUAUACCACAUUUCUAUAUCACCUUAGGUGACAUCUGAUGUGGACAGCCACAUCAUUUGAAAAAUUUGCAAAACCCAAGGAAAUGAAGGAGAAAUACUUCUCGUAUACCACAAUCAUCAUUUAAUUAACUAGUUUUUUUUAUUAUUAGUUUAUUAAAUAAUGAACUAAAUUUAAAAAUAUGAUUAAUUCUAAUGAUGUGACUGUCCAUAUCAAAUGCCACCUAAUGUGAUAUGAAAAUGUAAUACAAAAAUAUAGUAUGAAUAACAUUACACUAAAAAUAUUAAUUUGUUCUGCCAAAUAUAGUCAAAAGUAAUUUUAACAAUUUAAAAGCAUUUUAAGUUAUUUUAAAGUAUUUUUAAUUAAGCGAGUUUAUUUCAAACCAGAAGCACUUAAUUUUUUCAUUUAAACAUAUAACAAACGCUUUUUGUAAUAUAAAAUUGCUUUUAAUUAUUUUAACCUAAUUCCAAACAAUAAUACCCAGAAAAAUCCCAUUUGCGGAUCACUCAUCUUAUUAAUACAGAUAGAGGCAUUGACUCACUUACAGAAACACAGAUAGAAUCCGUCCACAAACCAAACCCCAAGAGCGUGCAAACCACACUGCAAUCAACCACUGUCCUCGAUGAAUCCCUUAAGAUCACCAUUGGCGCGUGUGCUGACCUCCCCACACAAGCAGCGUGGAGUCAAACCAGGUUGUUUUCGAGUUGGGAAAUAAAAACACAAUUAGAGGGAGAAAUUUAAAGAGUGUCAGAGGUUAGGGGCAAGAAUACGUGCAGUAUUUGAAGCAAGCACACAGAUCUGGAUCCCACUCAAAGCACUCGACUCGGACACUCAGCACACUCACUCACUCUCUCUCAUCACUCGGUCCUUGUCCUCUAUAAACUUCAGAGAGAGACCCAACAGAGAGAGAUACGAGGAGGAGAGAGAAGAAAAUCGAAACCAAACCAAAGCUAGAGAGAGAAAAGCUCAGAACCCAAAAUCCCAGCAGUGCAGCAGCAGCAGCAGUGAAGCAAUUGAUGGUUCUUCUGCCGCGGCAAAAGAGGGCCUAAAAACUAGAGAGAAAAGGCGGUGGUUUGCUUUUGUAGUAAAAGUUUGACUCGGAUGUUCCAUAGCUAUAAGAUUGGGAUUUUAUACAAUUUAUAGCAAAUAAUAUGUUUGAAGUAGUUGAGCUGCAGGAAGACACACAGAAACCAGAACAGCAGCAACACUCCUACUCCUUUCAUCUUUCGUGGGUAAGCGUUACUUUAGUCACAGAUUUUGGUUUCAGCUUUCAAUUUGGCAUAAAAAACUUCGAAAAAAAAUUGAUUAUUUUGUUGGGGAUUUUAUUUCAGUUCAGUUGAGUUCAAACUUUUCAAUUUUGUUGCUAUUUCUUUAUACUUAACGAGUCCUCCCAACUUUCCUCCUCUUCAAUUGCUUUUUGGAGAAAUAAGGUCUCUCUCUCUCUCUCUCUCUCUCUCUCUUCAGCCUCAGCUACUAGUUGCUUCCUUUUAAUCAAUCAAACCACACGAGAAUACUACUUUUAACACUCAACUUUUUUUAUCAUAAUUUUUUUCCUUUUCUCUGUACCUUUGUUUAUUUAUUUAAUUUUUCUUGGGUUUUGCAGGAAUAUUAAGAUAGAAAGAAAGAGAAAGAGAACACUACUCUCUAUCUCUCUCUCUCUCUCUGUUGUACUCUUCCUCCUACUCAUCACAAAAACAAGUUGGUAGGUAAAAGGGUUGGGAAAAAGCAAAAGAAAUUGAAAUUUUCACUUGUUCCUCCCAAGAAACACAGAAAUUUUUUAGGGUUGGUGGUGCGAGUGAAGUACCAGUUCCUGUUCCAAGACACACACCAACCCAACUUCUCUAUCCGCCAUGGAUUCCUACGAAGCUACAAGAAUUGUGUUCUCAAGGAUCCAAAAUUUGGACCCAGAAAAUGCUUCAAAAAUCAUGGGUCUACUUCUGAUACAAGACCAUGGGGAGAAGGAAAUGAUAAGGCUUGCUUUUGGGCCUGAAGCUUUUCUCCACUCGGUCAUUCUCAAGGCAAGGAAGGAGCUGGGAGUGCCUUUAUCAUCGAACUCUUCUUCUACUCCUUCCACCCCCCCUUCUCCUUCCCCCUUCACAAACCCCAUUGCUAUCUCCAGGCAGAACUCUUGCUCUUCCGCCUCGAGGCUCUCUCUCACUAUCCCAAACCCUUGUUCCUCGGCUUCCUGGGCUGCUCUCUCCGAGCUCAGAAACCAAGAAGAAAUAAACAGCUUUUAUGGAGGAGUUCCAACUGAUGUGAUGGAUGAGUUUCAGCUCCAAGAGCAGCUGUCCUUCCUUAACGACGGCUGUCCGCCACCAAUGGUGGGACCCAAGUCGCCUGAUUUUUUCUACCCUCAGUCCGACUUGUCUUCCAGUCCCAGUCUCACCACCGCUUCUGAUCCGAACCUUUUCCCCUCCUUCCACGGCUCUGCUAAUUGGGGUGGUGGAGGCGGUGGCGGUGGUGGGCCGCUCCACCGACGAAGUUGCUCAGUCAGCGACGUGAGCUUGGAGGACCCCAACUCAGGGUUUGGGUGGAAACCCUGCUUGUAUUUCGCCAGAGGCUACUGCAAGAACGGAGCCAGCUGCAGAUUCUUGCACGGCGGCGGGCUUGGAGACGCCGUCGUCGACGGCGGUGGACAGGUGGUUGUUGGGUCGCCGAGCAAGCUUGAGAUGAUGGACCACGAAGCACUUCUUAGAUCUAAAACCGCUCAGCAGCAGAGACUUGCUACUGCUUCUCAGCUCAUGGCGGCGUCAGCCAACUCCUUCCCGUACUCCUACAAGUGCAUGAACUUCCUUCUUCAGCAGCAACAAACUGACGCCCAAAGGUACAUGAUUUAAAGAAGUUAUUAUCUGUUUUUAGAAAUUAAUUAAAGCUCUUAUCUUUAAUCAUUUGCGUUACAUGUAAGUUGAUCGUUUCUGUUGAUUGUACAUGUAGGGCUGCAGCAGCUGCCUUGAUGGGUGAUGAUAUGCACAAAUUCAGCCGAUCCCGCCUCGAAAGAUCCGAUUUUUCGAUGAAUGGCGGGGCGGGGAUUGUGAACCCAGCUUCAAGGCAGAUAUACCUGACUUUCCCGGCCGAGAGCACUUUCAGAGAGGAAGAUGUCUCAAACUAUUUCAGGUUAAUUUCUUCUCUUUUGUUUUUUAUUGGUUCCGUUUUAGUGUCAGUUUGAAGGUCACGGGGUGUUUUCGUUUUGCUGACCUUUGUUUCUGUUGUCCUUGAUCGGCAAACAAUGAAGUAUUUACGGGCCGGUUCAAGACGUGCGAAUCCCGUACCAGCAGAAGAGGAUGUUUGGAUUCGUUACAUUCGUUUACCCGGAGACGGUGAAGCUCAUCUUGGCCAAAGGGAACCCUCAUUUUGUUUGUGAUGCAAGAGUGCUUGUCAAGCCUUACAAGGAGAAGGGCAAAGUUCAUGAAAAGUACACGAACUCUCACUUUCUCAAUUGAUCUUGUUUUAAUUUUUCCACUAAUUAUUAUAUCAUUACCUUAAUUAAAUUAUAUUUUAGUGAAUAAUAAGCUAAUAAUGCUGCUUUGCAUGUUAUUAAUCUUCCAGGAAACAACAGCAACAAGGAGAAAGAGGAGAUUUGUCUCCCUGUGGUACACCUACUGGGCUGGAUGCUAGAGACCCUUAUGAUCUCCAACUAGGUUAGCUAAUUAAACAAAAAUAUUUACAUUGUAAUAUUUAUUAAUUUUCACACAUUGACGAUAUGCAUUCCAUUUCUGUCACAUGCUUAAUUAUUUUUUUAUUUUGUUUUUUAUUUUAGGACCGAGGAUGUUUUACAAUCCUCAAGAUAUGCUAUGGAGAAGGAAGCUGGAGGAGCAAGCUGAGUUGCAGCAAGCACUUGAAAUUCAAAGUCGAAGACUGAUGGGCCUGCAGCUACUUGAUGUCAAGAAGCAUCACCACUGCACGCUUUCUGCCAGCAGUCCGAUUCACUCCCCUACCCAGUCUCCCAACAUGUUCAAUCAAAACCUGGUGCAUCCUUCGGUUCACAGCGGCCAAGAAGUUCCCCACGGUACGUAUUUUGUCACUCAUACCCUGGUCACAAAACCGUGUCAUGGUUCAAUGCAGUUGGUAAUGUUUAUUUGUUCUUGAUUGCAGAUAACUGUUCUUCUCCGAUGCCACACAUGACUCCAGCAGUGGAUGCCGAUCAGCUGCUUAAGGAAGCAGCUGCCGCUGUUCUAGGUGAAGGUUCAAUUGCCAACAAUGACGAAAAUGGCAGUGGUAGCCAAAGUGGCAAUAGUAGUGGCAAGGAGACCCCCCAUGAUGAGAUUGGUGACUUGCUCGAAGGGUAAGCCGGGUUAUGCAUCAAGUUUACCCAUAUUUCAAAUUUGUAAGGACAAUGUGUAAGAAGCUUAUACAAUUGAGUUCCUGCAGCUUGGAGCACAAUCUUCCCGAUAGUCCUUUCGCAUCUCCAACAAAGGCCGCUGGAGGGUACGCCUUGUCCGCCUUCCCCAAUGGGACUAGCGAGGCCAAUGGUUCCGAUGCCCCAGCUGCAACCGCUAAUAUUAACGUGGCAAAUUCCCUUCUUCCAGCGUCUUCCACCCUGGACAUGGCAUCCUUCAAGUCUUUAAACUGCCAAAUUCCACGGUAAACCCUAAUGUCGUACUCUCAAUUUUUUUUCAUUUCAUCACGGUGUGAAGUGAAUUAUAUAUAUAACGUGCAAGGUUUAAUUACAUUUCAGGUUGAACUCCGGCCACGGAGCCAUAGGGAUGUACGCCGGCACAGGAGCCGGGCCGAAAUGCCCGGUUGGAACUUCCUAAUCAAGCUUAAUUAGGUAAAAGUUACUUUCAAACCUAAGAUUAGAUUUUGUUUAGAUAAACACUUAAUCUAUAUGAUUAAUUUGUCUUUUUUUGCAGGAGGGUCAACAUGUUUUAAGUAUAACCAAACAAAAGCCACCCCCGACAAUCUGUAGAGAAUCAAAUGAUAUCAAAUCUCUCCACCAGCACCACCAGCACCACCACCACCAUCACCGCCAGCAGCAGCAGUACCACCAUCCAAAUACCCAACAAUACUACUUACUAGUUACUACCAUACAAAAAUGCAUACGUAAAAAGGGCAGUGAAAGGAAGGAAGUGGGUCCCCGUCCCAUCCCCAUUAACCUUUUCCUUCUUUUAUUUGUUGUUUGUACUAUUUUCGGUCACAUCUACUCCCCCCAUUUUCUGCACUAGCUUUAUCAAGUCGGAAGAAAUCAAAGCACCACAGGUUAAAAGAAAAGGAGACACGGUAAAAAAAAAAAAUGUUAGUUUGUUGUAACUUUUGGCACUGUAAUUUUAAUUUUCACCCUUCCAAGUGAAACAAUUGCCUAAAGGUUUAGUGCUAGACGAGUGUUACUGUUAGUCUCUGUUAUUUCAAGUGUAAUCAAAAUCUUUGUACAGCAGAAGCAGAAGAACCCAGAAGAAGCUAUAAGCUGAAGAAAGAAAGAGGUAAAAAGUAAAUUUGUAAGUUUGUAACUACAAAGGCUGAUUCACUGAUAUGAAGGGAAAGCUCGGGAAGAAGGAUAAAUUACUGUCAGAUGAGCUCCAGUUAGAUAUUGGGAAAUUUUUUUGUACCACUAUCAAUCAUGUGUUCCUGCUGCUUGUAGUUGUUAUCAAACGGUAAGAAAAGUUUAGGAACAAUAUCAGAAAUGAAACAAGUCAAGUUGAUACCCUUUACUCUUUUCUAUACCGUCAUUGCCCUUAUAUGUAUUAACGAUUUUACAUGAAACGUAUUCAUUGUCAUGUGGUAUUCCGGCUAAUCUCAUGCAUGUCUAUUGUCAUUUGGUCUUCCGGUUUAAUCCCAGGCACGUCUAAGCUCCUGUUCAUGUGACAUAAGAUUAUUAGAUUACAUGUAAUGAGACAGUGAAUCAGUUCCAUGUAAGUUGUUAUAUUGUUUUUAGAGAAAAUAUUCUUAGGAAGCAUCAGUUAUAUAUUUUUUAAUGAUGUUUUAAAGUGUUUUCUCAAAAUUUCACUUGCGUUUUCAUUAAGGAUUGAUUUUAAAAAUAUUUUUACCAAAAAUAAUUGGUUUUAUAUUUUAUCAAAAGUUAGUUUUAAAAACAUUUUUACUAAAAAUGCUCUCAAUACUUUUAAAGGCUUAUAAUUCAGACUUUUAAAAUUUGAUUUAACGGUUAAAGUUAUUAUAACUUUUAAAAUGAGUUUUUAUUUAUAGUCGAUCAAAUUUUAAUAGUCCGAAUGAUGAGACUUUAUGGAUUAAAACCAAUGGAUCCAUGUGCUUUCUAAACGAGUUCAAAGUUUAUUUUGUUAUGUUGUCCGUUUGUGAAAAGCUUUUUCUAUUUUUUUUCAUGUUUUGUAAUUGGCGGGAUACAUGGGGCCCUAAGGACCAAAGCUGAGUGGGGACCGCAGUGCACAGUGUCACAUGGGAUUGCUGACGCUGCAAGCGGGUCCUACUCAUUUAUAUAAUGCCAGAUUGGGGGUUGGGUCCCUACGCACCAAAUACCCCACCCAUGUGAGCAAUCUAUGCCAUGCCACUAUCUCUCUCUAAGCUUUCUCUCUCUACUUUCUCUCUCUUUUUAUUGACAGGAAAAAGAGAGGGGACAUGCAUAGAUCUAAAAGUAGAUGUGAUGCCCACACGUAUGACAAAAGUGCACGGAUACUGGAAUCUUUUGGGCUCCGUAGCCCUAUUUUGUGAAUGCGUGACAAAAUUGGCAGUAACUGCAAGAUAUAUUAUUUACUCUUUGGCUCGGAGUUUGUAGCUAACCUACUUGACCAGUAAAAUAAAAGGAAAACUAAUGAAAAGGGCUUGAAAACUUUGAGUUUUAAUGAUAAGGACAAAAUAAAGGGUAAAGUGAAUAGUACCAGGAUUGACUUUUUAGUGUAAAAAUGUGAUUUUUCAUUAAAGUGAACAGUACCGGGAGCUUUUCGUUAAAGUUUCCUAAAAUAAAAGAAUUAAUAGAAAAAUUUUGAAAACUUAGAAUUUUAACGAUAAAAAUAAAAUAAAAUAAAGUAGUAUUAUAAUUGAUUUUUUAAUAUAAGAAUGUGGUUUUUCGUUAAAAUAAACAAUACUAGAGCUUUUCAUUAAAGUUUCUUAAAAUAAAUCUAAGUUAGAUGGAUAAAAUGGAAAGAGAUUCUUUUCAGAUCUCUUCUACCAAAACUACCAGAUUAAAUGAUUUGGACUUUUCAAAUUUCAUCCAACAGUAAAAAAUUAUCACAUUUUUUAAGGAAUCAAAACAAAUGGGCUGUUUGAUGAAAUUUAGAAGGUUCGGAUCACAUGAUCAAGUGGCCUUGGUGGAAGAGAUCCGGAGAAGAUCUCUUUCCGGAUAAAAUGGAUAUGGGUGGUGAGAAACAUGGAUAAUUUUAGUUCGGUAUUGAUUAACUUAUUUAUUAUUUAUAAUGAUACAUAUUUAAUUUAUAAAUUUAAUUUAAAAUUUUGAUCUUCUUAGGAUUGUCUGAAAAAUAGGUAGGCAAAAUAUUUCGGCAACUACAAAAUUACUAUUUUACCGUGUAAGACCAUAUCCUUGCGCUGUUUCCCAACUGGUUUUGGGAAUUUAUGAUUAGGGUUUUGGAAUGAAGGGCUCAGCAAUUAAUAAGUCGUUGAAGUCUUUGGCCCCUUUUGACUAUGACGUUUUCGGUUCGUUGUUUUAACUCCGGUAAAUUAAAUAGAUGAAAGUGACGGGAGUGAAAGGGGUAAAAGCAAAAAUCUUACUUAGUGUUGAAGGAUAAUUAAUGUUAUGGAGGGCUAAACGUACGUAGUCUUUAAUUAGAGUAGUCAUAUACUUACCAUCUAAUUAUACAAUUACUUGUACUAUUUUUUAUAUUUUUUGUAAUAGAGAUAAAUUUCAACAACGCAUGUGUGUUUCAUCUCUAUAGAGAGAUAGUAUAAGUGAUUGUACAAAUAAAUGGUAAAAAUAACAUUUUUGCUUUAAUUAUGCUUUAGUCUUUCAAAAUUAAUAUUUUAAAGAAUAGAGUUACAUUUUUUUCAUCUCCAGUCAUGCAUGGCUGAGAAGAUCGUUUAAAAGUGCUUUUAAAUGAUUGAAAUCUAAAACCGCUUUCAAUCAUAUAAAAUCACUUUUCAAACGAGCCAUAAGUCUCUCCAUUGAUGCUGGUUUGCUAGGUGAAGCGGCUAAAUGUAGCCCUAAUUCUGUUGAGCAUAUUCUUUGGGCAUUUGGCUUGAUACGGGUUUUGUAUAAACUAUAUGCUAAUGAACUUAAAUUAUGAGGCAUGGCAUGAUUAUUAAGUUGAAGAAAGGUGAUUACUUGUGUAACUAGAAUACUAAGUUAGGCCAUUAUGCGCAUGACUUCAGUUGAUGAAUGGUUACUUUGGCAUGUAAUGCCAAAAUGAGGUAACCUUUUUACCCAAAAAAAAAGAAAAAAGAAAAAGAGGUUACCUUAUGCGGUAGCGCACUAAAAAGACUGAAACGGGGCAAGACAUUUGUUGAUUGUCACCCUACAAUGUGGUGUCAACAUAUAGCAAUAGUAAUCAUCGUGUUAUAAUAUAUUUUGACAAUAUGAUUAUUUCAUUGUUAAAUUUAAUGUAUAUUAUGUACAAAUAAAUACAUGUGUUAUCUGAAUGAAUUGAUACUACCAUGAGAUACACGAGCGAGGCUACAUGGGGACAAGGAGGGAUGGCCACCCCUUCGAUUGCUGGAAAUCACUAUUGAGAGUAGGAGUUCGCCCUUUAGAUCCUUUGAACUGCCGUCGAAAUCUGUUGCGCUACUUCGCUGCUUCUGUGUUAUAUGCUUUGCUACUUUUUAUGCGUUUUAUAUUUUUUUAAAUACCCAGGCCAAAACAACGUCAUUUUGGUACUAGGAUUAAAAAAAAAAAAAAAAAUCGAACAACGUUGUUAAGGAAAAUUGUUAUUAGUCAAGAGUUUGUUAAGUUAUUUGAUAGUAUGAAGGAAUUGGGUGUACGGAGAAGUUUCAAGUCCUAUUCAGCUCUAUUUAAGGCCGUUAUGCAUCACAACCGGUAUAUAAUGGCCAAGAGGUAUUUUAAUGCAAUGUUGAGUGAGGGAAUAGAGCCGAAUAGGCAUAUUUAUAAAUUAUAUAAGUCACUCGGUCAUGCUUGCAAGGUGUUUGAUGAAACACCCCACUUAACUGUCACAAUUUUGAAUGCCAUGCUUAGGAGCUAGUGUAGAGAGAAUCGAUGAGAAUAUACCUUGUAUCUCUUGCAUAACAUGAUAUCUGAGUCAAGAAGCAAUGAUAAUAAGCCUGAUAAUUUUCCAUUCCCACUACUCUGAAGGUGUGUGUGAGGUUAAGGCACUCAUAUAUGAGAAAAUAAUACAUGGAUUUGUGAAGAUACAUGACAAGGUUGCAUUGAAUCCACUACUCUGAAGGUGUGUGUGAGGUUAAGACACUCAUAUAUGAGAAAAUAAUACAUGGGUUUGUGAAGAUACAUGACAAGGUUGCAUUGAAUACGUUUGUGGUUAUGCGUUGAUUGAAUUGUAUUUCAAAUGAAAAGAAAUGGGCACGGAUGUGAAAGAGUUCGACGAGUUUUCGCAACUGAAUAUGUUUUUACGAAGCGUGACAAAAAUAAAGCAGAAGCUUCUACCCUUUCAUGUUUUGUCCCUUCCUCCGACAAUUUUCAUCUUUGCCACUGAUGCGACAGUGGUGAAGUUACAUAGAAAUUUUUUUGCUGUGCUAUUAACACAAAGAACAAGACUGUUUCCUUAUAAGAUUUUUUGAUUAGUUGCACUUGGUUUAUGUAUCUCUAUACGUGAGCAAUUUUGUGUAAUGUCUUUAUCAAACCGUUUUGAUGUUUUUCAAAUAUGAAUGUAAUUCAAUAAAAGAAAAUAUGACUUACAUAUUAAAGUAACGAUUGCCUAAGUCAUAAAUAAGACAACAGCUUAUGAAAAUAACUGUACUUUUCCGUUAUAUACCUUUUUGUUUAAUCAUGUUCGUUAUAUUUGAAUAAUUUUUUGGAAACAUAAUGAUAAGAAUAAAAAUUGUGUAAAAAGAAAAAAAACUAGUAGGUGCCGAUGUGGUAUGAUUUCCUAGAGGAGAAAAGGCGAAUAUUGGCCCAGAAUUGGGUGUAAAGUUUGGGAUAUGAUUGUGUGAAAAUUAAUAAUGCCAAAUGAGAAAAUGCAGAAAGUAAAAAAGAAAAGCUGUGUUUGCUCUGCUCUAUCAUCAUUCUUUCAUGCAUGUACCACGUCUAAAUGAACAUGAUUAUGCCGGAAGAGGAUCCAAGGUAUUCUCUUUUGGCUUUUUCAUUUUAAUUUUUUUAUUAGAAUAUUGUAGGAUUAGGAUUUAGGAAAGUUCAAAGACAGGGAAACAAGCUCGAUAAGAGGGGCCAUAACAACCCCAAAACGUAAAACACUAGAUUUGGAACAUAAAAGCAGCCGGCUCCACCCAAAUUAACAGCCACUCCAUUGCCACGAAACUGCCGCCACCGAGAAGUAGAAUCAAAGAACCAAAAAGACGAAUGGAGAAGUAGAAUCAAAGAACCAAAAGACGAAUGAAAAAUGAGGUGGUCAAGCCUCCCGCGAUGAGCGCUCUUGUAAUUCUACUAAAUAUUGUUAAAUGCACUCCAACAGCCACCCAAACUCAAAGCACGUCUUCCGAUGAGAUCCAUGGAGCUCUAGUAGCUCAGAAUAUAAAGAUACACAAGUUUCUUGGUGCACAUAUAAAAUCAAAGCUUAUUUUUUAGUAUGCCCUAUAAAACUCAAACUUAAUCUCACUUUUCCUUUCGAAACAUAAAUUUCACCACUUUUUACCACUUUAUCACAAAACCUUUGCCGACGCAAUCCUAUGUCGCCAACAAAUGGUCGCCGAAGUCAAUCCAACCCCAACCCCCCCCCCCCCCGGCCGCGUGUCUUCCUCUUCUCCUUCUCUCCGUUUCCAUAUUUUUGUUAUCUUUUCUGAUUUUUAUACAAUAUUUUUUCUGUUUUUCUAUUCAAUUUCUUUAUGAAUUUAGUAUUUUAAAACUUUUAAACUUUCAUUUAAUAUGUAAAUCCAAGUGGCGUCAUAUCGUUGUGUGAAGGGUCCAACAUGUCUGCCACAUAAGCAACUUAACAGGAUCUAGACAAUUUGGGAUGAAAAUCUAGUUUUAGGGAGUGUAAGAUGGUGAUAUUUUUAUUUCACGGAUGAAAAUGAAAUGAAAUUUGAGUUUCACGGUUGCUAAAAAAAUAAGCUUAAGAUUAAAGAGGGAAGGUUCAAGGCUCGAUGUGCUAAUCUGUAUUGUAUAAAGAGUGGGGACACAUUUUUUUGACACAUUCUUAGGGCUCACUUUGUAUUAUAUGCAGCAAUCUGAUCGCCUAUUUUUAGGUCUUUAGUCAAAAAUUAUUUCUACCAAAAAUUACUCAAUUGCAAAAUUAUAUGACUCUUGGAUUAAAUAAUAGUGAUCUAGGUGUUUCUUUUUAAAAUUGUAUUUGUCUAAUUUUUCACUACAAAAGAUGUCUUAAUGGUUUUGAAUUUAUCUAAUUUUUGACAAUAAUGAUCUAUGAAUUAAAAUUGAAAUAUUUGAUGGUUCAGAUCUUUGAAAAAAUGUUACAAAAUGAGAACCACAAAAAAGUAUAUUAAAAUGUGCCUAUAUUUGUGUCCUUUGAUCCUAAUUUAUAUGUGUGUGUGCGUGCAUAUGCAAGUAACUAUAGCUUCGCAAUGACAACCUUGAUUGAAUGUGUAGGGUAGGUGGGACAUGGUGACACACAACACCAAUUCGGAAAGGUCACUCUCUUGCUUAAGGAUGCCUGUGAGGUGGGUAGUUUAUUUGGAGCAGAUGCGUCCUAAAGAGUAACGGAGGUGUGUGACAGUAGGCUCAAGCUAAAAUUUUUGUUGUUGAGAGUAUUAUAAGCUUGCUUGAUUGUGAGACCUAUUAGUCGAACAUAGAUGAAAAUCGGCCAUAAUGAUUCGAGGGACCUGUAGGAAAAGGCUCUCACUCGACAGAUCAAAGGUUCGCUUGGAAUGUUGGAAAAUUACUUAUUAUUUUAUUUUUGUUUAUGGUUUCCUUGUGGACAAUGAUAUUAGAGUUUUCUAUAUUCUUUAAGGAUUAGGAUUUUGUUUUAGUUUUCACUAUAUAUAGUAGUGUUUGUAUUAGUUAAUCAACAAGUUAGUCACGAUCUAGUCUCUUGGGAUUAUGUUGUCAUUUCAACAUUCAGUUUGUUUAAUAAUAUUCUUAUUAUUUUGUUAGUCUUGUUCGUUGCGCACUCUGAUAUUCAACUUAGUAUCAAAGUAGGUUCAAUCCUUCGGGAUUUAAUUUGCUUGGUUGGGUUGGUAUCUGUUUAUCAGUAUACCCGUUUGCCUUUACUUCUGAUCUGAAGCUGUGAAAGAUUUGAUGCGUCCUGACGAUUGACGGGAACCUUGCACCAUCACCAGACGACAAACUUGUGCCCACAUCAUGCUGCCACUUGCCGUCGCACCACCUUGUACCCAACUUGAGACCCAACGACACACGCACAGCUACAAUCCUUAUUGCCAGAAAUCCCGACCUACAACCUGAAGAACUCGAUCCGACGAACCCAACAUCGCGUUGUCACCUGAACCCAUAUCAGACCUACAUCAAACCCGCCACCACGCCCACCUGAACCCUUGAACCCGUCUGCCCCACCACCGCUGCUGCUCGACCCGAGAACCAUAAACUCGGAUUGAGUUUGUCCUCUCCCUGUACUCUACUGCAGUUUCGAACCCACUGGAACAACCGCUGCACCAGAAUGCCAUUGCCAUCAAACGCUGUUACCAGCACUUGCCGUCUGCAACCAAAAGUCUCGCUGCUGUUUGCACUUGUUCGCAUAGAAAAAGAAAGAAGAAGGAAAUGAAAGAAGAAAAAGAAAGGAAAUAAAAAAUAAGAAAAAAGAAGGCCGGAAAAGAGAAAAAAAGAAAAAAAAAGGUAUGGAGCCCACAAUCUGUUGGGCUAUAAUGAUUUGUUUGAAGGCCUUUAGUUGGGCCUUGUUGAUUGCUGGAAUUGCUUGUUCACUCGCUCGCCUGCUCGUUUGGAUUAUUUGUUUGCUCGCUUGAACCGCUUGUCUUGUCGUGUCCGCCUAACGGAGUUUGUCUUGACUUGUCUGCCUAACGGAACUCAUCUUGUCUUGUCUGCCUAACGGAGCUUGCAUCCGCAUCUGCUUGUUGGCAAACUCAUGACGUGUACCGCCAUGAGUUUGACGGGGUGUUGGAAAAUUAGUUAUUAUUUUAUUUUUUGUUUAUGGUUUCCUUGUGGGACAAACAUAUUAGAGUUUUCUAUAUCCUUUAAGGAUUAGGAUUUUGCUUUAGUUUUCACUAUAUAUAGUAGUGCUUGUAUUAGUUAAUCAACAAGUCAGUCACGAUGUAGUCUAUUGGGAUUAUGUAGCCGUUUCGGUAUUCAGUUUGUUUAAUAAUAUUCUUAUUAUUUUGUUAGUCUCGUUCAUUGCGCACUCUGAUAUUUAACAUAACAGACUGAUGAUAUAGGGGUGGUCAAAUUGUGUGUGUGGAGCUUAUGUUUUCAUUUAUGCAUACAUUUUCAUCUCAUGUCAAAAUUACGAGGCAAGUAGCCUGGAUUUUAUACUUUGGGGGGUACUCAACUCUUAACAAUGAUAACAAAGACAAAAAGGAAACAAGGAUCACCGAUUUGGCGGUGUCAGCAUACCUACAUAAUUAUAUCCUUUUGGAUGUUAUCGGGUCGCUGAUAAUUUGUGUGACAACCCGUCCCAAUUAUUAUAUAUUUUUCUUCCCGAGUGUGUAAAGUGACGAAUAUGCCCUCAUUGGCUUAGUGACGUGGAUGUGAAUAUGUAGUUUUAAAUUAUUUUUUCGCCGUUGUAAUUAAAUCGUACUUGAUGUCACGAGCACGUCGACGUGAGUUAGGGUCGAAUCAGAUUUCUAACGAAAGUGUUAUGAUGAUUAAAGAUCAAGAUUUGCUAGAAUUUAAUUUUGGGUGGCCUAUCAAAUAUCCACCAGUUAUCUUCCUUCCUACAAUCUUGAGCCCAAUUAGAAUUUUUGGGUUUAUUUUAUUUCCUUUGGACCAAUUAAUUAGACCCUAAAUCCCAUAGCCCAAUCAGGGCUUGUGACCCCCUUUUAUUUUGGCCAACCCGUCACACACGCGCACACACACAUGCAACCCUUCACCCUCAUCUUCUCAAAAUUUCCCUCGUCCGUACACCAUACGACCAUCACUUUCAAACUUACCAAAAUUUCCACGGAUCGACCCUACUGAAACUAUCAUCAUACUCCUCUCAAGGUUACGAGUUCAUCCAUACUAUUAGGUUGAGGAAGCUCUUAAUCAACUCCAUAGAGACCUUAGAGUAGUUUUAGGGUGGAGUUGACAUGGGGAUAAGAGGAUUCACGGAGUUCCAAUUUGGCCGGAUUUUUUCCAAGCUUUAUUCCAACUACUUCUCGUCGGUUUUAGGAUCUCUAAUAGGUAAGGUUAUGAUCUACUAGUUGAGGGCUUCAAAUUCAUAUAAGAUCUAUGAAUUUUGGUGAUGAAAUGAAAGAGAUAUUGAAGUUUGAAGUUUUUCCAGUUUCCGGCGUAACAGACGGCGGCCGACGGCGGAUUCCGGUGAGUCAUCGGAGAAAAAGAGGAAUAUUUUGUCAACUUUGAUGGAAUAUACUGACGGUGUCAGGUAACUCCAUUAGGAUUUUAAUGGAAUAUUCUACUAUUUAACGAAAUAUUCCCUAACGCCGUUAGGGAUUCCGUCAGUGUGUCAGGCAUGUGCUUGCGCGUGGCCGCCACGUGAGGGCGCGUGUGACGUCUAAAAAUUAUUCUAAAAAUAUGGGGGUGUUCAUGUUGUUGAGUAGAUCACGUUGGUAUAUUCAAACACCCUAUUUGAGCAACAUAUGAGAAGUUGUUCAUUAGGUUUGUGUAUGUGCUUUAAAAUUAAUGUAAAAUUAGUUAUUUCACAUAUAAGUGAGACGUACCUUGAGGACGAGCGUGGACAAGCGAGGCUAGAGGGCUACGAUCCUGCUACUUAUCAGUGAGUGGGCAUUUUCUUUAUAUAUAUAUAUAUAUAUGAUAUGGUUUCCAAAACGUUUUCUUAAAUGAUUUAUACUUUGAAUGCCAUGUCGUAAUGAGUUGCACUUUAAGUAUUGCACUGUUACAUGUGAAUUAUAUUGGGUGAUGCUGUGGAAACUCAUGUAAGCUUCAGGUGAGUAUGAUGUGAUUGAAUGGGUUGUGUUGCAUUGGUACGCAUGUAUUUAUUUAGAGCUCAUCAAGGCUGCACCCGGUAUUAGUGCUCUUGCCCGGGGAUUUGGGCACAUCCUUCAUGUGAUCGUUCAACUCUUGUACCGCACACUCACCUUAGAUUCAAGUUUGGUGCCAGCCUGUUGUACAGACCACAAUAGGUGGUUCCGACUCAUAGGUGACCCGCGAUUUAUCGCACAGCCCUCAUGUGAUCGUAGCACUUGAGCGUACAUAUUUAUACCUAGCCUGUCGUACAAGUCACAUCAAGUGAGUUCGACUCGUGUGCUAGCCUAGGUUGAUGAGCUAUGGUUCCAGUCGUAUAGGUCACAUUAGGUGACUCCAACUGACAUGUUAUUUUAUAUUGAUUCUACACCUGGCUUACAUGAUUUAGAGCUGAAACGUUAUGACAUGGCAUAUUUUGGGUAUCAAUGCACUUAUGCAUUGCUUUUCAUAUAUACGUAGUAUUAUUUUCUGGAAAUUAUAUGGGUUUUACAAUGAGGGGUUAUUAUGUUCAUAAAAGAUAAACGUGUUUUCAAACGUUUUGUUUUUGCCCACUCACUCUUCUGUUUUGCGCCCUUCUAGGUUCUAGGUAGUUGAUCAUCUUUGGGUGGCUCACGAGGACUUCCCAGCAAUUUUGAUAUAUCCAUAAAUAAGUAGGGAUCUUCUCCCUAUUUUGUAUAAUUAGCACUUACUUGGUUUGACUGCACUGUUGGAUUGCCUAUGCUCUGAAUACUUGUAUUUGGUACUUGACCACUUUCACGCACUUAUUUAUUAUCUGUAACAACCCGUCCCGAUUUUAUUGGAACGAAUAGGGUAUUUUCGUGAAAUUACAUCUUGGGUUAGAUCUUUUUCUUUUAAAAUUGUUUUUGGGUCUUAAUUGGUGUGCCAAGGGGCCCACCUCUGAUUUGGUUCCCCCGGCUCUCCCAUUUUUUCUGAUUUCUAACAUAUACACACCCACACACAGUUCUCUCUCUCUCUUCCCAUCACUUUCUCUCCCUUUCUUUCUUCUUGUUCCACACCCCCGAUUUGGGUUAAGGUGACCUGAUUUCAGGCCAGGGAUUUGGCCCGUUUUUGGCACACUUUCAAACGCUCAUAACUUAUUCGUUACUUAACCAAAUCAAGUGAUCCAAACAUGAAAGUUGUAGUACUCGACGAGAUGAAGAGAUUGAUACCCUACACGCCGGUCAAAUCAUAAUGGUUUGGCUGGAAAACGAGUCACCUCAACCCAAAACCUUUUAAACCCUUUUCAAAAACCCAGCCUAAACAAUUAGGCUAUGUAGUCGGCCCAAACCCAAAACCUAAUCCUCUAACCUAGCCUAACCCAAGCCCCAUUUCUAUCAACCUAAGCCUUAUGGCCCAAAUGACCCAAAACCCAAACCCUUUGAACCUAGGGCCUUCGGCCCACUAAACCCUUUAACCUAAACCUAACUCCCAACCUGGUGGAAUAUUUCAUGGAAAAAUACCCGGGACACUUCUUAGGGUAAUUCGACGUCCUAAAUCCGUUUCCAAUAUCUGUUUUCCCAAAUUCAAUUGUUAUAAUAGAGUUUUAUUAAUUUGACCCUUUAUGUGCUUAGGGGCAAUUAUUUGUGGCGUCUCCGUCUUUGCUAGUUUGCGUGACUCUUCAGCGGCAAAGUAUCUGUGAGUGGACCCCUUCUAAAAUGCAUGUUUUAAUAGUAGAAAUGCAUACAUGGAAAAGCAUGAUUUAGCAAUUAUGUUCUAUGAAACGCUUUGAGAUAACAUGCUUACUGAGGCUAUUUUGAAUUAUUACUAUUUUUCCUAUAACCCGUGUUCUUAUAGAAUAUCUGAUGGAUGACGAUAUGAUAUUUAGAACAUGUUUCAAACACCUAUUUAUAGUAUAGAUGAUGGAUGACUUUAUACUAUGAAGUUGUUUUUCAAUAUAUAUAUGUUCAAUGGUUUUGUACUUACCUAGUGGUCCCUAUUCCGCUAUAGGACGAAUGGAUAGAUUCCGAUCUGUCUCGGGUGACGGUUAUGGUGUUGGCAUAGGGCUUGAAGUGUUUUUCCUCUGGCUAUUAGCACAGGGACAGGGAGCUGGCAUGGUGCUUGGGGGUAACUUUCCUCUGACUAUUUGCUUAGAGACGGGGAGCCGGCAUGGAGCCUGGAGAGUUAUUAAACAUUCACUAGUGGUUAUUAUACAUACAAGUUAUGAUUUGAGAUAUUGCACGACAUGCUAGGUUUUGGAAAACCUAUGUUUAUCAUGAUAUAUAUGUGUUUUCAUAAAACCUGGGGGUUAGUAUGUUGAUAACUGUUUUAUUAUAUAUAUAUAUAUAUAUCAACUUAGUCCACUUAUGUUUGUUUUGCGCCCCCUUCAGAAUUUAGAAUCGAGGCAUACAAUCCCGACGUCAAGGCACUUCCGCAUUGGCAUCUUCGAGUCCUCUCGGUAUAGGACCCACUCCUUUGUUCAUUCAAUUUUAUAUUAAUUAUUUAAGCGUUCUAGAUUAGUUGUGUGCUCUGAACACGUUCCUAAAAUGCAUAUUCAUUAUCUUUUAUAUUUAUAAGUCUUAUUUAUUCCUUGUUCUCAGCAUUUGCAUUCAAUAAAUGGCUUUCGUCACCUUCGGAUGUCGGCCAGAACGUGCUUAUCUUGGAAUUUCGAGGAAUAUCGGGAUCGAAGCGUGUCAUUAUCACUAGUUAAAUUAGCUUAGGUUGGUUUUUAUUUAUUCGCAUUUUCUUAUUAUCGUAUACACUUCUAUUGCGCACUUGGCUAUGUUACCCUCACGUGAUGGCCAAUACGUCUCGACUUUGGUCGUGGUGUGUCAAUUUGUAUGUAUAAUUAUAGAAAAAUUUGUUUGGAUAUGACUAUUUAUAUAUUAAAAGUAUUUGAGAGUAGAAAUAAAUGACAAAUUCUUUAUUUUAUUCAUGUUAAAUGUUACUCAUGAAAAGCAGUUGUACUUUUUAAUUCUAUCAUUUUUGUGGUGUUAGUAGGAAUAUUUUUUUUUCCUGUGAAUAACCUUUAAUUUGGACAAAAUUAGAAAUUUGUCAUCCAUUUCUUUCUUUAAAAUGCAUUAGAAACACUUUGAACACUCAUUUUAUAGCUAUUUUAGUUUUCGAUUUUGUUAUUUCACUUUUCCGUGUUAGUAGUAAAUACAUAGAAAAAAAAUGAGGUAUGAAGGAUGCAAAAAAUAAAAGAAAUGUACAAAUUAAAACACACAAGCCGCGACCACGCUUAGCAAUCUCAUUAAAAGUCUCGGAACAUAAAGAAAUCUAAUAGCCAAUAAGUUCUUUUGAUGCCCUUCUGAAAACUAGCAUCGUGUAUAUAUGUAUAUUGAGGCUUUUAAGGGAAUAUAUUUUUAUUUUUUUAAAUGGGGAUUAGUUAUGGGGUUCCAUCAUAUUGAACUUCAACUAUCUGAACAGUCUAUUUUUCAAGUUGAACCUUAUAAAUCAUCCUUGCAAAAUAUUAGUCAAAUCGAAAACAUUUGAGAUAUCUAAUUAAGUACAAAGAAAUUAACAAACAAGUUCCAUGUACUAAACCAGUAAAAUAACAAGAAAAAUGGGAUCUAAUUCAUAAACUCAUCUACCCAGAUUUAAGAUUGACUAAUAACUAAUUCAUAAGUUAGGACAUUAGACCGCGCAAACGAACAAACGGCACCAUAUGAUAAAACUACAAAUAUCUCUUUAUUGACGAAAAACAAAGAAAAAUUACAAAAUCGCUGAGGCAACUACAUAACCCUUCAAGAAUAUAUCUUGUCAGACUUAUAUAAAAUAAAUGAAUACAAACACUCAUAUAUAUAGUGAAACAUAAAAUAAACCCUAAACCUUAAUGGGCAAGAAAUCUUUAUCCUUGGCCCACAAGAAAACCAUAAAUAACAAUAAAAUAAAUAACUAAUUUUUCAACACCCUGUCAAACUUAUGGCGGCACAUGACAUGAGUUUGCCAACAAGCAGAUGCGAACAUAGACUCCGUUAACAUUAACUAUGGUUAGUUUUUAUGCAGCUCGGUCUUUGUAGAAUUGUGUCACACAUCUAAAACAUUAACCAUGGUUAGUUUUUGCCUUUAAUUUUUUUUUUUUUGAAAAAGAAAAAAGAAAUUAAUACAUUAUAUCUUUUUUACCAUUUAAUAUACACUUACACCAUUAAGAAGAAACACUCCAUGCUAGCUUGAAUUUCAAUUGAGUGUACAAGAUAAACAGCAUCACCCAAUUAAAUUAGCAUGCCAAUCAAUUAAUUUAAUCCAUAGACAUGUAAGUUUUGAAUAAAAUUUAUCAAAGUAUUUGGUGGAGAGUAUGGAGUCCGUGCAACACAUUUCAAUGUGUAAUAAGAGCUUUACAAUUAUGAUUUUAAAUCAAUCAUGCCUUAAUUCGAAAAUUGGUAUUUCUCAAUUUUCUUGGAAUGGGGCGCGACAAAAAUGUCUGAUAUCCGCGAUAUGUAAGGUAUAUAUAAAGCGUGCACUACGCGCCCUUUCUCAUAUAUUGAGAAUUAUUGACUAAAUCUACUUCAUUUAAUUACGGAUUUUAUUUUAUUAAAUAAUGAGUUUGAGGGGGUGUUAAAAAGUAAAAUAGAAAUUAUUUUUGAUUUGAUUUAAUUAAAGAUUCUUUGUUUUAGAGUGUUUGAAAGUGAUUUUAAAAUGACUGGAAAUGUUUUAUAGAAAAUGUUUUUGGGAUCUAAAAACACUUCAAGUGUUCUUCCGGAAUUUACUUGUGUUUUUAUUAAGGAUUGGUUUAAAAAACAUUUUCAUAAAAAAUGUUUUCAGUCAUUUUAAAAUCACUUCCAAUCAAGCUUAGAUACCAAGCUUACUUUUUUUAGGGCCGGUUUAUUUUGAUUUUAUUUCCUAUUUAUUACUUUUGUUCUCUUAUAAAUUGAUUUAAGAUGGGGAAGAAAGAAUAAUACUGUGAGAUUAUCAAAGAAUUCUGGAAUUUUAUCGUAAAACCUUUAUUUUUAACGAUAAACUUGUGCGAGAUGAUGCCAUUCGCUGCAUAUUGUGCUACUGGGGUUGCAAUCGUGGCUGCAUUAGUUUUUUCUUGUUUCUAUAUUUAUACAACAUAUAACGUGAUGGAUGAAUCAUCACCAGGCACCGUGUCAUACCACUCCUAUCAACGAUCUCUGCGCCGCGAUGUUGAAAGUGGUGGAACCAAAGACGGUGGUGUGGCUGUUUUGGGAGCAGCUGGUUUUACUUUGGCUAAUUCAACUGCUGUAGCUACCGUAAAUAGUCAUGUUGGCAGCAUCAGCGGUGGAGGCUGUGGGGGUGGUGGCAGUGGAGGAGGCUAUGGCGGCGGUGGUGAGGGCGGUGUAGGAGGUUAUGGUGGUGGUGGAGUAUUUUGAGGUUGCAUGAUUGGAUCGUGUUGUUAAUACUGGUUCUCUAAUUAUGCUUGUCAUCUAGCACGUCAACACCAAUUCGUGUUGUAAGUGUUGGAUUGUCCUACUAGUUAGGCUAAUUAUUUUUAAACCACUACGUCAAACUCUUUUUUUAUUUUUUUUAUUUAUUUUUUCUUCUUCUUCUCUUCUUAGCAAUAUUUAGAAUAGAAAUACCGUUUGUAUUCGUUGGUUGAAAUUUAGGUUUGUCAUGUGUAUCCCAUUUGUAACUGGAUUAAUUGGAUCAGAUUUUGACUUAGAUUGCAGUAUCCCAUAUCACCCCAUAUAAGAUGAUUUUUUUGGGAUACUUUGGAUGCGGUCCCUAAUCCUUAACAUUCUUUGAUUAAAACCUUAAUAGUAUUCAAAGUUUGAUCAAGGUCCCUUGACUUUGUACACCUCAAUAUAUUACUAUUAAUAUUUAUAUUUUUAUAGUUUUGACAUUAAUUGUUUGAUAUUUUAUGAGAUUUAAAAUCCUAUAAAUUUAAAAUCCUUCAUUAUAAUACUAUUAGAAACGCUUACAAUAAAAAAAAGUCAAACAUUUUGAUUGAAUAAAUGGAUAAAAACUAUGUAAAAAUAAGAAAUAAUAAAUGGCAAAGAAUGUAUCCAUAGUGUUAAAAAAAUUGGUACAUUUCACAUAUAACAAAGUGAUAUAUUUAUAAAGAAGAAUGGGUACAUUAUAAAUAAAUUAGGGUACAGAUAAAAGAUUAAAAAUUAUGAGUACAAAUGAAUUUUUAAAAAUAUAGGCGCUAAAAGAAAUUAAUACAUGGGUACAAAAUAAAACUAAAAAAACAAUACUACAAAUUAAAAAAAAAAUGUUGCAAAUUAAAAGUGGGUACAAAUUAAAAAUAUAAAUAUAUGAUACAAAGUUUAGGCAUAACAUAAAUAUACCAUAUGAAAAUUUUCUAUCAUUGAUUAAAUAUACAAUGUCAUGUGACCGUAUACACAUGAGUACAAACACAAAUAAAGCUUUAAAACAUAUGGGCAGAAAAAGAAACUAAUAUAUGGGUACAAAUUAAAAAUGAAAAGAAAAUUGGUACAAAUUAAAAAAUAUUUGCAAAUUAAAAAUAGGUACAAACUAAAAAUAAAAAUAUAUGAUAAAAAAAAAUUUAGCCAUAAAUAUAAAUAUACUAAUUGUAACAUUUUUAACACAAAAGGAAUAUAUGUAAAAAUAAAAAUAUUUUAUUAUUCAAAUAAUUAAUGAUGUGUUGUAAACAUUCCUAGUUUAAGUAUGAUUGUGUAAAUCCUAGAUAAGCAUUGAUUCUAGUUAUCCUUUCCUAUUACAACUUGUAUUACUUGGAGAGAAGAAAUAUCUUCUCUACCUUUACUACUAUAAAUAAAGGCACAAUGUAGGAGGGAUAACAACACACACAUUCCCCUACAAUUCUACAAACACACAUCUCUCUUCUCUCUUUCUUUGCCGCCGACCCUAGUCUCUCUGUCAGAUAAAAUAGACCACAACACGUUAUCAGCACGCUCCUACCGCUGCGCUUAGGAAUCUGACGUUAGAGAUUUUUUUUUCUGCAUCAAACCAGUUCAUCCAUAUCAUCACGCAAUCAGGUUCUUUCCAAACAACGGCUUUUAACUCGAUAUUUUGCAAGCCCUGAUAGCAUAAACAUUCACCAUGAUGCAUGACCCAACUUUACGUUUAACGUAUUUUAGAUUCUACAUAAAUUGUGUAUGCUUCAUAAUCAAAAUUGCUACAAUUAUGUGAAUUUGAUAUUUACCAUGAAUUGAAUCUUACAUAUGUACAUGCAUUGAAACUAUUAUAUGCAUAUGCAUCAACAUAAAUAUGUGAUUCAUUAAAAUUAUACAUGCAUAUAAUAUAAUUGAAUUGAAAAUAAAAACAAAAACAAAAAACAUUUUUUUUGCGAUUGGGAUAUGAGUUCUUUCGAACCCGUGACCACCAUCCUGCAGAUGGGGUAUCACACGCAAAUCAGAGAGCAUUCAGCUCUCCUUGUUCCUAGAAACCCACGGAGCCAAGCCCCAAAAACCCAAAAUCCCGACACCCUUCAUGGUGUCCCCCGAUCAUGGAGUGGCCUACAGCCACAACCACGAACCUAUUAAUUCUUGCUAUAAACGACCUAAAGUCGUCCCAUGUCGGUAAUUGAACCGAGAUUCACCGGAAUCUCGUCGGAAUUUUUUUUGAAAAAUUCGAUUUCAAUUUUUUUUUAGGGUUUUAUAGUUGUUGAAACGUUGAGAUUUUCUUAUCUCCGUGGUUGUCCACGACAACCGUGACUCACCCCAAGUCCCAACAACCCCGACGCCGUCAAAAUUUUCCGACUUUCUUCUUCGGCAUCGCACACCCAGCACGGCUGGGAUUUCUUUGGACCUCUUUCCCGAGCCCUACUCAGGCUCUGUCUCUCGGCCUGUGUAACAAAAGAAAAAACACAAAAAUUAUUUUUUUUUAGCUGGGCUCGCUUGCAGCGGCCCAGCCCGCAAAGAAAACAAAUUUUUUUUUAUUUCCAGGGCUCACCUGCAGCGGCCCAUACCAAAAAAAAAAGAGAAUUUUUUUUGUUUCUUUGGGCCAACCUGAUGUGGCCCGCCCGCGAAAAAAAAAGUUUUUUUUGGCUGCUUAACGCAGCCCAGUCCACCCCGUAGGCCUGCAGCCUACACCCGAGACCCUCCCCAGUCCAUUUUUUGGGCCUAGGUCUCACGGACCGAAAUUUUCAAGCCACCCGUGGCUUCAUAUUUUCUUUUGGACCGCAAAUUUAUUCUCGGCCUAUAUUUUUAGGCCCCGAGAUGUUAUUAUUUAAUUUUUUUUUUUAAAUAAUAUGGGUUUUAUAUUUUCACCCACACUUUAAUUUGGCCCCGAAGACCAAAAAUAAAUUAAUCCACUUAUCAUUAUACAAUAUUUCUGCAUAUAUUCUUUGCAUAUUUGUUUGCAUAUAUAUUUGUGUUUGCCUGCAGGAAUAUAUGAACCUGAAGUUCAUAAUUACUUUGAAACCCGAAGUUUCUUCUAAACAUGCCUUGUUUGAAAACCCGAAGUUUUCACUUAAACAUAUCACCCAUGAAACCCGAAGUUUUUCAUGCGAAAUUAAACCAAUACAUGUCUAUUAGAACCUGUAUGUUCUACUCCUAUGUGAAUGGAUUGAUUUUUCUCCAUUACACUAACCACAUCUUGUUCAUCCAUUUUGUGAUAGGAACAUGUCGAAUUUGAACAAACUCGACUUCACCGCUUUGGAGGUUUCUGGAAGGAACUACCUCAAGUGGGUUCAAGAUGUGAAGCUCCACCUCACUGCAAAGAACUUGCGUCCUGCUAUUGAAGAAGCAACAGAUGCACCUGUUGGCGAAGCUGAAAAAGCCACUGCUAUGAUCUUCAUCCGAAGACAUGUCCAUGACGCUCUGCAAACUGAGUACCUUGCUGAGGAGGAUCCACGUGCAUUAUGGGUCGCUUUGGCUGAUCGUUUCGAUCACCAAAAGGACAUAUUCUUGCCUGAAGCAAGACAUGACUGGCAGCACUUGCGCUUCCAAGACUUUAAGUCUGUGAAUGAAUAUAAUUAUGAAGUUUGUCGAAUCCGAUCACUUCUCAAGUUUUGCAAUGAAACUUUGACUGAAGAGGAUCUCCUGGAGAAGACCUACUCGACCUUCUCUGCUUCUAAUAUUGUCCUGCAGCAACAAUAUAGAGCUCAGAAGUUCACUAAGUUCUCGGAUUUGAUCUCUGUUUUACUUCUUGCUGAAAAGCAGAACCAGCUAUUGAUGAAGAAUCAUCAAGCUCGACCUACUGGGGCUACUGUUGUGCCUGAAGCACAUUAUAGCACUAAUCAGCACCCAAAACGCCAAAAGAGGCGUGGUAAGGGCGGCCAGAAGCCAUCCCACCAAGGUCAACAGAGCCAAGGCCCAUCCAAGGGAGGAAACAAAGCCCAGAAGCGCCCAAACCUCGCUCCCAAGGCCCCGAACUUCAAGAAUAAAGGCAAAGCACUUGCCACAAUGAAUGACGAUAUGUGCUAUCGUUGUGGUUCAAAGGACCAUUGGUCCCGUAUUUGCCGUGCUCCCAAGAAGGUUGUAGAUGAAUAUCAUUCUCGUCGUAAGAAGUUUGAAUCAAACUUCAUGCAAGUGGACGAACCGGAGACUACAAAGAUGGAGGUUUCUAACUUUCAAGAGGAUACCACUCCUAUGGAAGAUUAGAAUCUUAGACAUAGACUUAUUUUUCAGUUGAAAUAAGACAAUUGGGGCCGAAUUCCACCUAGUGGCCGAACCCCACCUUGUUUUUUUGGUUGAUUUUGAACUAUUUUCCUUUAUGUUUUGGAUUAUUAGUUGGCGAUUUAUUUUGGAUAUUAAGUUUUUAAUCCUUGAAUAAAUGAAAUUAUUUUGAAUUGAUACUUGUUUUUUAUAAACUUUUAUGCAUGCAUGUGACCGAUUCAAAUUAAUUUUUCAUUCUAGGUAUGACUAGUGGGAAAGUUAGUUGUCUGGCAGAUAGUGCAACCACGCAUACUGUUUUGCGUGAACGCAUCUAUUUCACUAACUUCGUACCUAAGAAUGCACCUCUGACAACCCUCUCAGGCCCAUCCAACCUGAUCGAAGGAUACGGUAAGGCACGUAUAAUGUUGUCCAAUGGUACAAUCUUGACCAUUGCUGAUGCACUCUAUUCUCCACGUUCCGGAAAAAGAAACGUUACUAAGUUUCAAGGACAUUAGAGAUAACAAUUACCACGCUGAAACCCCACGUAGAAAACGGAGUUUGAAUUUCUGUGCGUAACUUCCUACGAAUAUGGCCAGAAGCGUAUUCUAGAGAAGAUGGAGCGUAGCCCGAGUGGUCUGUAUACUACGACCAUACGCCUCAUAGAAUGCCACUAUGUGGCCGGCCCUACCACAGGGACCGCGCACGAAAUUACACUUUGGCAUGAUCGUUUGGGACAUCCUGGACGAAUAGCGAUGCGCCGUAUCCUCAAAACUUCACACGGGCAUCCACUAACCCGAAGCUUAGGUUCAAUCCAUGAAAUUGCAUGUCAAACAUGUUCUAUGGGAAAGCUUAUUACUAAGCCUUCUUAUGACAAGAUUCGUUCGAAUCCUCCCAUUUUUCUACAACGGAUUCAGGGGGACAUUUGUGGACCGAUUCAACCUCCCUGCGGACCAUUUAGAUAUUUUUAUGGUUUUGGUUGACGCUUCUACACGUUGGUCACACGUGUGCUUAUUGUCCACAAGGAACGCUGCAUUCUCCAAACUGUUGGCUCAUGUUAUCAAGCUCAGGGCUCACCACCCUGAUUAUCCGAUCAAAUCUAUUCGAUUGGAUAAUGCUGAAGAAUUCACAUCUAAAACUUUUGAUGACUAUUGCAUGUCGGUUGGGGUUGAAGUUGAACAUCCUGUACCCCAUGUUCACACCCAGAACGGCCUGGCAGAGGCUUUCAUUAAGCGUUUACAAAUGAUUGCUCGAUCGUUGGUCAUACGUACCAAGCUCCCGAUCGCUGCUUGGGGCCAUGCAAUAUUGCACGUAGCAAAGUUGGUCCGCCUGAGGCCUGUUGCGACACAACCAUUUAGUGCCCUUCAGUUGGUCACCGGAUGCAAACCCGACAUAUCGCAUCUGCGCGUUUUUGGUUGUGCGGUCUAUGUGCCGAUCUCGCCGCCCUUACGUACAAAAAUGGGGCCUCAGCGAAGGAUGGGAAUCUAUGUCGGAUAUGAUUCUCCUUCGAUUAUUCGUUACUUAGAACCUUUGACAGGCGAUCUGUUUACCGCUCGUUUCACGGAUUGUCACUUCUAUGAGACAGUCUUCCCGUCGUUAGGGGGAUAAGAACGUCAACGUUCCUAAUGAACGACGCGAAUUAUCGUGGACGACUCCCACUUUGUCUCAUUUAGAUCCCCGCACCGCUCAGUCUGAAGCUGAAGUGCAGCGCAUAUUAGAUCUCCAGAGCAUAGCUCAGAGCAUGCAAGAUGCUUUCACCGAUCUAGCGCGCGUGACAAGAUCACAUAUUCCAGCUGCGAAUACGCCUGCAAAGAUGGAUGUACCAAAUGUACGACGGACUACCCUCCUGGAAGCCUGGGACGCCAAUUCUGGUGAUCCACGUACAUUAGCGGCUAGCCAAUCAUCUGCCCUUACACAAAAGCGUGGCAGACCCCUUGGUUCAAAGGAUUCACACCCCCGGAAGAGGAAAACCACGGCACAAGGUCCUGAAGAGCCUACCGUGAAUCCGACUAUCGCUUACUUAUUUUACCCAACUCAUGAGGAAAUUCUAGAUUAUGGAAGCGUCCUUGAAAAGACGAAUCCUCCUUCCGAGAAUCGUGAGAUUUCGGUCUAUUAUGCUAGCUUAGAUGAUGUGUGGCGUAGAAAUGAGAUGAUUGUCGACGAUGCAUUAGCAUUUGCAGUAGCUACUGAGAUCAUGUUGAGCGAUGACAUUGAACCGCGUUCCGUUGAUGAAUGUCGACGUAGAGCUGAUUGGUCAAACUGGAAACAAGCAAUCCAAGUCGAACUUGAUUCACUUGCGAAACGUAAGGUGUUUGGACCUGUAGUUCCUACUCCUCCACAUUGAAGCCCGUUGGCUACAAGUGGGUUUUCGUUCGGAAGCGUAAUGAGAAGAACGAAAUUGUGCGUUACAAAGCUCGUCUUGUAGCACAAGGUUUCUCACAACGCCCCGGGAUUGACUAUGACGAAACUUACUCACCCAUUAUGGAUGUGAUUACCUUUCGAUACCUUAUCAGUUUGGUAGUUUCCGAAAAACUGGAUAUGCAGCUGAUGGACGUAGUAACCGCGUAUCUCUAUGGGGAUCUUGAUAUGGAAAUUUAUAUGAAAGUUCCCGAAGGACUUACAUUGACUGGUUCAAAUAUUUCCAAACCCCGGAACACGCUCUCAAUUCGGCUGAGGCGUUCACUAUACGGUUUGAAACAAUCCGGAAGAAUGUGGUAUAACCGUCUGAGUGAGUAUUUGACUAGUCAGGGAUAUGUGAACAACAAACUAUGCCCUUGUGUGUUCAUUAAGAAGUCACAUUCCGGAUUUGCGAUUGUUGCAGUAUAUGUCGAUGACAUGAAUCUCAUCGGAACUCCUGAAGAACUCGCGAGAACUGCUUCGCACCUGAAGUUGGAAUUUGAGAUGAAAGAUCUAGGUAAGACUCGAUACUGUCUCGGUCUCGAGAUAGAGCAUUGUUCGGAUGGAAUUUUAGUACAUCAAUCGAACUACACCCAGAAGGUGUUGCGCCGUUUUAAUGAGGAUAAAGCGAAGUCUUCGAGUACUCCUAUGGUCGUUCGUACGCUAGAUGCAAAACGAGAUCCCUUCCGUCCGAAGGAGGAUGAUGAAGAGAUUUUGGAGCCUGAAGUUCCUUAUCUAAGUGCGAUAGGCACUUUAUUGUACUUAGCUCAAUGCACUAGACCCGACAUCUCCUUCGCUGUUAAUCUUUUGGCAAGAUACAGCAAUGCACCAACAUGCAGACACUGGACUGGCGUGAAACACAUCUUCCGUUACCUUAAGGGUACUACGGAUUUGGGCUUAUUCUAUCCCUACGAAUCCUCGAGUGAUGCCGCACCCUAUGCUCAUCGGGUUGAUUCUCGCCUUGUUGGUUAUGCCGACGCUGGAUACUUAUCUGAUCCGCACAAGGCGCGUUCUCAAACGGGUUAUGUCUUUACCGUUGGAGGCACCGCAAUAUCUUGGAGGUCAACUAAACAGACCUUAGUUGCCACUUCGUCUAACCAUGCUGAAAUUCUCGCCUUACAUGAAGCAACUCGGGAAUGCUUUUGGUUGAGAGCAGUAGUGGGCCAUAUUCGAAGCUCCUGUGAUCUUCAUCCCGCCGUUAAUGCCCCGACGACGAUUUUUGAAGACAACGCAGCUUGCAUCGAACAACUCAAGAAGGGUUACAUCAAAGGAGACAACACCAAGCAUAUUGCGCCGAAGUUCUUCUUUACACAUCAACAACAAGAGCAUCAGAAGAUUGAAGUCACGCAAAUCCGAUCAUAAGACAAUCUGGCCGACCUCUUCACCAAAUCACUACCGAAGGCGACGUUUCAGAGGCUUGUUCAUGGAAUUGGUAUGCGUAAACUUUCUGAGUUGUAACUUUGCUAUUUCUCUUUGGAAUUAUGUCAAACUCAGGGGGAGUAUCUUCUGGAUACUUGCUUGAUCUUAAUGUACUCUUUUUCCCUACGAUUAGGAGCAUUUUUCCCACUGGGUUUUUGCUACCUAACUAGGUUUUAACGAGGCACCCACCUUGGGCUGGUCAUAUCCCUGAUGACGUCCUGUAGACGUUUCUUUUGACUUUGCAUUUCUCACGCAUUUUUCCUUAGAUUAUGGAUUUUGUCCCUACUCGGGUUUUUGCCAUAGCCUUAGGGUUUUUUUUAGUGAGACUUACUACUUAUGCAAGUUCCUACCUUAUUGAGAAUAAGCGUUGUUCCUUGGAAUCAAUGCCGACGAGUCAACUUCCUCAACUUCUGCAUGAUGCUGAAUCUACCUUGAGUAUUUACCCACUCAAGGGGGAGUGUUGUAAACAUUCCUAGUUUAAGUAUGAUUGUGUAAAUCCUAGAUAAGCAUUGAUUCUAGUUAUCCUUUCCUAUUACAACUUGUAUUACUUGGAGGAGAAGAAAUAUCUUCUCUACCUUUACUACUAUAAAUAAAGGCACAAUGUAGGAGGGAUAACAACACACACAUUCCCCUACAAUUCUACAAAUACACAUCUCUAUUCUCUCUUUCUCUGCCGCCAGCCCUAUUCUCUCUGUCAGAUAAAAUAGACCACAACAUGAUGUUAUUAAUACACAAGGACCUUGAUCAAAAAUUCAAAAUGAAUAGGAUUUUAACCAAUAGAGUAACAAAAAGAAGGAUGUGAACCUAAUUUUCCCUUUUUUUUUUUUUUUUGACAAACUAUAGGAUAAUUUAUACUAAGUUUAUGUAAAGUACAAAAAGAUAGAUGGCUUGAGACCGGAACGCAGUGGGUUGGAAAGAAAAAACAUAACCAUUAAAGCAAUCCACUACUUGCAUCUCAUAUCACACAACAAUUAGAGUAUGUUUCAUCAAUAUUUCCCUUUUUGAUGUUCACCCCAAUUCCGUUUGAUUAGUUUGUUUAAUUGAUCUAAUACAUGAAACUCGAAAUUUAAACUAAUUUAUAACAACCAGUAUUGGGUGAGCAAAAAAAUACACUAUACCUAAUUUAAUUUCCCUUUCUUUUAAAGGGCAAAUGCGUACGUAAAACAACAAAUUUUUUUUGCUAUUCCUUAACUUAUUUGGAUGGCCAUUUCCAAGCUGAAACGAGGAAAGAAAUCCUUAAACCCAAAGCAAGGAUCAAUAUGAGCAAAAAAGGGAAAGUAUCAAUCAAAUGAAUGAAUUGUGAAAGGCUUGGGGAAAAAGCACGACACUUAUAAUAAUAUUGUGAAGGACAUAGUGAAUCCAUGACAUUGUGAUUUUUCUUUCUCUAAAGCAUUAUGUUGUUACUUAAUAUUACAGUGUAGGGUAGACCAUAAUUAUUUUUUUCAGUAAGUGAGAAGUAUUAGGUUUGAUUAUGACCAAAAGCAAAUUCGAACUAAAUUAUUGCUUGCCUAUUGUGAGCUUAGCCCACUUCCUGACUUUUUAAUGUAGAUAAUAUCAUAUGAAUUAAAAAAAAAUUAUUGUGUUUUCUGCCAAUAAAAUGUGAUUUGAUUUUUAGAACACUAGAUACAAUAAAUGGAUUAAGUACCCGAAACACUUGCUUAUUGUUCAUUUCGCCUUAAAUUAUACAUAGCAAACUUUGUUUUCUUAUAGAAAAUAUUGAAUUAUUAUUUAAGUGUUGAUUAAUGUUCUUAUUUCUUACUGUUGACAUAUCAUUUAGUUUAAAAUUUUAGUCUAUAUAGCAUUACCCUUAGAUUAUAAAUAUUUCAUCGAGGAGAUUUGAAUUUGGACCUUUUCAAAUGACUAAAAUCAUGUAUCGGAAAUUAAAUUUGAUACAAUAUAUCAGUCAUGCAUAUGACUAUAAAUAUGAAAACAUGUAUGAAAUAAUUGUGAACAGACGUAUUUUAAUUAAUACCAGAGAACUUCUUUGUCACGCCCACAUUGCUACAAAAUCUUGGCUUCGCCUUGCAUGCUAAUUAGUUUUGGUUAGCUAGCUAAUUAGUUUUGAGCUAAUUAGUCGGUAAUUUAUAGAUAAUAUCUCCCCUCGAGAUUUUGUGCAAAACAUACUCUUAAUACACAAACAUUCCCGCCAUUGUCGGCUUCCUUUUGAACGUUUCUAUAACACCAAAUAAAACUCUAUCUCUCUCUACGAACUAAUUCACAGAUCCAAACGAACUCAGUCACACAGAGCGAGUCGGUCAGAGUGGUCAUCGUCGUCGUAUUCAGAAGAAGAGAGAGAGAAAUCAUGAGAGAGAAAAUGGAGGAAUACUUGCGGACGCACUUCGACGUCGAACCCAAACGGCCGUCCGAGGAGGCCCUGAAGCGGUGGAGAUCCGCGGUUUCCAUUGUCAAGAAUCCUACCCGAAGGUUCCGCAUGGUCGCUGAUCUCGCCAAGCGCGCCGAGGACGAGCGGAAGCGCAAGAACCUCCAGGUUCCUUUCAAUAUCUGGAUCAUCGUCGUUCCUAUAUAUAAUUUCUUCAACUAAUUAUUUCGAUUCUCGCCAUUGUGUUUGUCACAUUCAAACUACUCGAUGGCUCGUUACUUUAAUUGCAUGUCACGUUCUGUUUCGGCUUCAAAAAUUUAUGGCGAAAUCAGAGGAAUAGAUGAGAUGCAUGUGUUAAUUUUUUAUUGUUUGUGUUUGUGCUCUUGUUUGGAGCCUAAGAUUUUCUUGGAAACCAAACAGGCCUUUGCGAGUCUUAGAUAAUUAUACUUGUGAGGGAGAAGUGACUUGUAGUAGAUGUGUUGUUUGUUAUAAUAUUUGUAUGAUCUUUGGCUUUGAAAUGCCUUUGAUGAUGAACAUAUCAUCAAGUAAUCAACUAAUUAAUCAUGAUGUGCAUAAUAUUGAGUUGGAUGAUUGCUCCACAAACUGUCUUUUAUUUUGUUUUUCUUUUGGGUGCUAAAAUCCAAUGCACAAUUUGCCAUUGCAUUGUGCUUUGAGCAUUAAUUCUUACUGCGCAUCGGAAUUGUGCUGAUGUGCAUAAUAUAGAUACGUGGUGUAUUGACGACAUACAUUCAAGGUUCUAAAAGAGCUAACCACUAGUCGGGCGGUCGGUUGGGGCCAAACGCUUAAGCGGUUAGGUCAGACCUAGGCGGGGGCCUAGGCGGAUUAGGGGGAUAAGUAAAUCUAUUAUAUAUUGUAUAAAUAAGUACCUAUUUAUAUUAUAAAAAACACAUAAAUGUUUUUUUUUAACAAACGAUAUUAUCUACACUAAGGAGGAGGGGUUGUGCUUAGCCUCACAAUGGGCUAGCAAUAAUGUAUUGGCAUACAUAAAUUGCAAAAUAAAUGACGUAUAUAUUAUAAAGUAUUAUAACAUAUUAAAAACAUAGAGAACAAACACAUAAUGAGUAUUCAUCCAAGUAUUCAAGAAGUCUCUUACAUUUUAUUGACAAAACAAAAUGCAAAAAGAAAGUUAUUGAUUUUCUGUCCAAGUAAGAGUUGCGACUUAAGGGAGUGCCUAACAGGGUCUAGGCGCACUUUCUUAAAUUUUAAACGUAUAGGGACUAAUCAGGGCAGUCCUAAGCGAUAAUUUUUAGAACAGUGCACCAUUAUGUUAAUAGAAUAAUAAUUUUACCAUAACGAUACAUUAGUUAGGGAAAGAGAUCCUCUUCAGAUCUCUUCCUCCAAAGCCACCAAAUCAAGUGAUCCAGGCCUUUUAAAUUUGAUCAAACGGUAAAAAAUUAUUAUAACUUUUAAAAGUUUUUACUAAAUCGUUAGAUCAAAUUUUAAAGGUCUAAUCACUUGAUUUGAUGGUUUUGGAGGAAAGAGAUCCGGACCAUUAGUUAGAAUACCUUGUCAAUACACUAUUUACACAAAUCAUGCACAUAUCCAUGUGCGCGGGUGAGCAAACCUCAUUCUUUGAGAGGUGGCAGGGGUCAAAAUCCACGAGUCCAUUAGGGGUGGUGGUGGUGUUAUUCAGAAGUUAUUCAGAAGUCCAUUAGGCCGGCGGCAUAUGAUACGAGAGAUUUGUUAGUGUACCAAUAAAAUAAUAUAAUUAAUUGAAAAUUUUUAUAAAGAAAAUUUAAUUAAUUGUAUUAAAAUACUUGAUGCAUCUGAUCAUAUUUCCGGCCACAAAAAAAAUUCUCCUCUGGCACUGGGUUUAGGCAGCCACAAAGCUGCAAAGUCCGUAUCGUUCAAUGAAAUCGUUUCAUUUGAUUUUUUGAGCUUUACAAAGGUGGGACCCACCUGUGAAUAUUGGGACCCACAAGAAUUAGUGGUUUUUUUCUUUUGUUCCUCCAAAGGUAAGAAUUUUAUUAAAUUCAAAUAAAAAUGUUUACAUCAGAAGUUAAAGUAUUAAACAAUCAUUGUAGCUCAAAACCAUCCAAAAAAUGAAACCCCUUUCCAGUGCAACAAACAAAGCCACUAGAUACGCUGCCUUGUUACAAAUUCGAGGAACGAAGAUAAAUUCCACUGACCUCAAUCGUUAAGCUCUUAGUUUAACUUUAACAUUUGUGCUUAUAUAUUUUAUUCUUACUUUGAAAGAAAAUGAUAAAAUUUGAAUGGAAACGUUUAUAUCUGAAGUCAAGGCUCAAGACCAUCCAAAAAAUGAAACCCUCUUCUCGAGCAACAAACGAAGCCACUAAAUGCGCUACAUUGUUACAAAUUCGAGAAGCGAAGAUAAAUUCUAUUGAUCUCAAUCGUUAAGCUCUUAGCUUAACUUUAACAUUUGUGGUUUUUUUUUUUGAGAACUUUAACGAAAAGCACCCGAUCUGUUCACUUUAACGAAAAACCACAUUUUUACACUAAAAAGUCAAUCAUGGUACUAUUCACUUUACUCUUUAUUUUGUCCUUAUCAUUAAAACUCAAAACUUUCAAGCCCUUUUCAUUAGUUUUUUUUUUUUUUCUUCUUCUUACUCUGAAAGAAAAAGACUGUCUUAACUUUUCCCUAAGUAGAGUUGCUACAGUUUGAUGAAUUUAUUUCAGCAGUUAUGUUUUUAUCUUCAUAAACUUUAUUAUUUUCUAAAGGUCUUCGUGUUGAAUCUCUUUAUUACUGUGCAUUAAACUUAUUUAUUGAAUAGUAGCCAUGGGUUUUUAUGCUCAUGGGGGUUACUAAUGUCAAGCUUAAUUAAACAAUUAAACCAUCGAAGAAAUAUUUUUUCACUCUAUGAAAGUGAUUGUCUCAAGUAUACGAAAGUGAUAGAUGAUCUGUGGGGCUUCGAGUAAUAAGAGUCAUCUGUAUAGACUCUCGGGCUAAGUUCUUUCUGUGCCUUUGUUUUGUGCUGUUUGGCCCCCUUGUUUCGCCAAAAAAAGUAUAUGAAAGUGGUACAAAUAGAAGAGGGUUUGAUGGAGUUGAAUAUACCAAUGACAAUGAAAUAGUUCAAUGGAGGCCUACGGCCUAGGGAGAAAUUGGGACGAAGAGGCUCAAAUUCCCAUAAUGUGUAUUGAGGUAAAAAUCCAACCACAGAUGCCAUGAAGCUGCACAUUGUUCAGAAAAUGGCCUUUCUUGGUGUCUGUUUCGUUGAUUUUGUGUUACCUCCAUUUGAAAGCGUCGCGCUUUCAUAGUGUGACAGAAAAUGAAUGAAAAUCAAAGGAAUGAAGGUUUCAGGUUGAUAAAGUCGGGAUUUUCAUUUGAUAAGGAAAAAAUUUAUAUGCUUGUGUGAGGAUGGCGUGCAGUGUCAGCACAUCAGACUAGUAUUUCAAUCAAACAAUACUUCAAUGGCAGGAAAUUUAGGCUUAUCAAUGUUAAAUAGAUAUAUAAUAUAUGAUUAUAUCUGCAUCAAGAUUGUUUUGCAUCAGGUUUGAUGGCUUUAGGCAUCUGCUAAGCAUGAAAAGCGUGUUCAUUUAACUCUGAAUACUGGUUUUAAUUAUUUUCUUAAUCUACCAUUUUCGCUAUGCUUCUGUUGAUUCUUGUCAGGAAAAGAUACGUGUAGCUCUUUACGUACAAAAAGCGGCAUUGCAAUUCAUCGAUGGUAUUAUAUCCUUCUUAUAUAGUUACAUCUCCUUCAUUCAAACUUCUGAUUCCUUUCUAAGUCAUGUAUAAUUUUUUGUACAAUUCAGCUGGCAAUCGUGGGGGAUAUAAUCUUUCCAAAGAAGUAAAAGAUGCUGGUUUUGGCAUUGAUCCUGAAGAAAUUGCAUCCUUUGCUCGAUCUCAUGAUACGAAGGGUUUGGAAGGACACGGAGGAGUAUCAGGAUUAGCAGGAGAGGUUUCUGUAUCGCUGAAAGAUGGUGUUGUUUCAAGCAAGAUACCUAUUAGGCAGAAUAUAUUUGGCUUAAACCGAUAUGCAGAGAAACCUUCUAAAGGUUUCUUGAUGUUUCUCUGGGAAGCCUUACAAGAUUUAACUUUAAUUAUCCUCAUGGUUGCUGCUGCGGUCUCUAUAGGUGUUGGAAUUGCAACUGAAGGAAUGCCGAAAGGUAUGUAUGAUGGCUUGGGAAUAAUAGUUAGCAUAUUGUUAGUAGUGUUGGUGACUGCAAUUAGCGACUACAAGCAGUCACUGCAAUUUAAAGAACUGGACAAGGAGAAGAAAAACAUAAUGGUUCAGGUGACUAGAGACGGACGUAGACAGAAGGUCUCUAUCUACGAUUUGGUGGUUGGAGAAAUUGUUCAUCUUUCAAUCGGUGAUCAAGUUCCAGCUGAUGGUAUUUUCAUAUCAGGCCACAGCUUACAAGUCGACGAAUCAAGCUUGUCAGGCGAGAGUGAGCCAGUGGACAUAAAUCAAGAUAGACCUUUUCUUCUUGCAGGAACCAAAGUGCAAGAUGGUUCUGGUAAAAUGCUGGUGACAUCAGUUGGUAUGAGGACCGAAUGGGGACGACUAAUGGUUACUCUGAGUGAAGGGGGAGACAAUGAGACACCACUGCAGGUGAAACUUAAUGGAGUUGCAACCAUUAUCGGAAAAAUUGGUUUGGCUUUCGCGGUGCUGACAUUUAUAGUUCUGAUUUCAAGGUUUUUAGUAAACAAGGCGGUUCACCAUCACAUGAAAGACUGGUCUUCCAAAGAUGCACAAAUGCUUUUGAAUUACUUUUCGACUGCCGUCAUUAUAAUUGUUGUUGCAGUCCCAGAAGGGCUACCUCUGGCAGUGACAUUAAGUCUUGCCUUUGCAAUGAAAAAACUCAUGUCGGAUAAAGCACUUGUGAGGCAUCUCUCUGCAUGUGAGACAAUGGGUUCUGCUACUUGUAUUUGCACAGAUAAAACUGGAACCUUGACAACAAAUCAUAUGGUUGUGAACAAGAUAUGGGUCUGUAACGAAACCAAGACUAUAACGAGUAAUGAGAACAAUGACGUGUUGAAGUCAGCUUCUGAAGGAGUACAUAACCUCCUUUUACAGUCCAUCUUUCUGAAUACAAGCGCGGAGGUAGUCAAGGGGGAAGAUGGAAAGAAUAGCAUUAUGGGGACUCCAACAGAGACGGCGAUAAUUGAAUUUGGAAUGCUUCUGGGAGGUGAUUUUAAAUCUUACAGUGAGGAUUAUAAGAUACUUACGGUUGAACCAUUCAAUUCAGUCAGGAAAAAGAUGUUGGUGCUAGUGGCUCUACCUGAUGGAGGAAAGAAACGAGCAUUCUGCAAAGGAGCAUCAGAAAUAAUCUUAGAAAUGUGUGAUAAUGUUGUUGGCACUGAUGGUGAAGCUGUGCCUCUAUCAGACGAGCAAAGAACGAAUAUCUCAGAUAUCAUAAAUGGUUUUGCUUGUGAAGCUUUAAGAACUCUAUGCUUAGCUUUCAAGAAUAUAGAUGAUUCCUCUAGUGAAAACAGUAUUCCUGACGAUAAAUAUACGUUAAUAGCUGUUGUUGGAAUCAAGGAUCCUGUGCGUCCAGGAGUGAGGGAAGCAGUGAAGACUUGUUUAGAUGCUGGGAUUACUGUAAGGAUGGUCACCGGUGACAAUAUUAAUACGGCUAAAGCCAUAGCUACGGAGUGUGGUAUUUUGACAGAAGGUGGUUUGGCUAUAGAAGGGCCAGAUUUCCGAAAUAAGAGCUCACAGGAGAUGGCGGAAAUAAUUCCGAAACUGCAGGUUUUAGUUUUUCUAUUGCUUUAGUAACUUCUUAACAUUAAAUUCACAUUUGUAUCAAUGGGAAGUAGUUUCCGGAUGAAUUUUCUGUCAGGAAAUUAGUGAAAUUUUCUCUGUGCAGGUAAUGGCUCGAUCCUUGCCUUUGGACAAGCACACCUUGGUGAAACAGUUGAGGAAUGAGCUUAGAGAAGUUGUGGCAGUAACUGGUGAUGGGACGAAUGACGCUCCUGCGCUGCACGAGGCAGACAUCGGACUUGCCAUGGGUAUUGCGGGAACGGAGGUUUGUUACAAACCUCAUCCUACACAAUUUGGUUUCUUCUUAAAUGCUAAUAAUCGGCUAAACGUCUGCCGGUCCACAGGUUGCGAAAGAGAAUGCCGAUGUUAUCAUAAUGGAUGACAACUUUACAAGCAUAGUGAACGUUGCAAGAUGGGGUCGGGCGGUUUACAUCAACAUUCAAAAGUUUGUACAGUUCCAACUAACAGUUAACAUCGCAGCUCUGAUGCUCAAUUUCGUUUCAGCAUGCGUCUCAGGUUUGUUCAUCUGCGGAACUACUUCAAAACCUUUCAACGUACAUAUUUACCAAAUGCAUUGCAGGCGGUAAUGAUCGUGCGAAAUAACUUUCAGGAUCCGCGCCUCUCACGGCUGUCCAGAUGCUUUGGGUGAACUUGAUCAUGGAUACUCUUGGUGCUUUGGCGCUGGCUACGGAGCCACCAAACGAGGGUCUAAUGAAAAGACCACCGGUCGGAAGGAACGUCAAGUUCAUAACCGGGAUCAUGUGGAGGAACAUUGUUGGCCAGAGUAUCUACCAAAUUGCUGUCCUUCUGGUUCUCAAGUUUUGCGGACUCCGGCUUUUGAAGCUAACUGGUUCCGAUGCAAAUUCCGUUCUCAAUACCGUCAUAUUCAACUCUUUUGUGUUUUGCCAGGUACUACUGUUAUUCGUUACAUGAAUUUUCGUGUUUACAUAUACAUUGUACUAUUUUUGUUCUUAUCUGUUUAAUUCAUGAUUGUUUCAGCUAUUAAAAUAAUUAUCAAAUUAUUUUCAGAAACAUUGCAUCAGAUUUUCCCAAGUUUUUUAUGAGUAUUUCGCCAAUUUCCCCAUCAACUUGUUGUACCUUACCGUUGAUUUUCCUUCUGAACUUUUUGUUUUGGUCAAUGUUAUGCCCAGGAAUGGCCUGCAAUUAAAUGUUAUUUGUUAUUUUUUCCUUUCUCAAAUGUGUCGUCUCUAUAAAAUGUGGAUGACGUCAAACGUGGUGGGUAAAUUGGUCAUUUACAAUAGAUAUUUACAGGCUUUUUUUUUAGGGAACUUUAACGAAAAGCUUCCAGUACUGUUCACUUUAAUGAAAAACCAUAUUUUUACUCUACAAAGUCAAUCCUGGUACUAUUCACUUCACCCCUUAUUUUGUCUUUAUCGUUAAAAUUUAAAGUUUUCAAGCCCUUUUCAUUAGUUUUUUUUUUUUUUAAAUCUGAUAUUUUAUUUUCUUUGUUCAAAGGGGAUAUAAUUUUGCAUGUAUUGCAGGUAUUCAACGAGAUAAACAGCCGUGAUAUGGAGAAGAUCAAUGUGUUCAGUGGCAUGUUCAGCAGUUACACCUUCAUGAUGGUGAUGAUCUCCACCGUUGUUUUCCAGAUCAUCAUCGUUGAAUUCUUGGGAAAGUUUGCACAAACCGUGCCACUGAGCUGGGAGUUGUGGUUAACAAGCGUCUUGAUCGGCGCUGUAAGUUUGCUCGUCGCUGUCGUCGUCAAGUUCAUUCCUGUUUCUGUCAUGAAACAACAAGCUCCUCGGGAUCACGAGGAUGUCUACGAACCUCUCCUCCGUGGCCCUGACAAUGCAUGAAAGAUCGAAACAGCUUGCUCGUGAAUGAUUAUUGUGCAGAAUUUUGGAGGAAUCUCUUCAUUGUUUCGUUGCAUGUUUGCGCAACAUUUUUGGACACCAUUUCUCGUCAUUUUUUGUUGUACAUUUCAGUCUGCAUUGAGAUCAGCUAGAAAUCGGUCUUCCUUUCGCCAUUUCGCUGUCUUUAUUCAAAUUCAAUUUAUACACACUUGAUCUGGGAACUGUAUUUUUGGGAGCAGGAAAACCCAGGAGGAUUAAUAUUUACUUGCAGGCUGAGUUUUAUACAGUUUGCUUUCAUUUUUCAACUAUUAACCUCUUUGCUGUUAAGUUGUUAACUACAUUUUAAGACACCGAAAGGGUGAAAACUUAACUUGUGUCCUAAGGUACUAGGCGAGCCAGUAGGCACCAAGACCCGGGCUGCGGCCGCCAAAGCAACCUACCCCUUUCCUCCCGCUCAGUUGAAUUGAAAGGAGCUAGGCCCCUGAUAGAAUCAAAAGCUUUAGAGAAAGCAGUGGAGAAUCUCCUAGGUAAGUAAGAUUGGGUUGCAGUGAGAGUAGUGAGCGAGAUGAACGUUCGAGGCUAAAUAUAACGCUAGUUUUGACUAUCAAAGGAAAAAAGAAGGUGCGCUGAGAUAGCAAAUAAUUACAAAGCAACAAGUAAUCUUCAGACACCACCCAUUCCUCUAGCAAGAAUUUCCAUUCGACGUCGAUGAUAGUAUUGUUGAAGCUGAUGAGGCAUUAUACUUGUAUCCAUCAACAUUAUUCUCUCCUCUUUGUCCUCACGGUCGAGUCGAAGCCUCUCUUUAUCCAUCUCAAGCCUCUCCUUAUCCAUCUCAAGCCUCUCCUAAGCAUCUCUAAUUUCUCUAACCGAUAUUGCCUUUUCUCUUCAUUAACUUGGUCUCUCCAUUCCUCCAUCAUGUGUAGGAGAUCCACGGCUUGCUUAUUUGCAUCGUCAUUCUUUUGGUUUUCUUCGAUCUUUUGUUUCUCAACCAGCCUUACUGGUGGUCUCUCCAUGCUCCCAAAAUCAGCAUCUAGGACGUCCAUCAUUGUCGUUGGUCUCUCCAUGUUUCCAGAAUCAGUAUUUGGGAUGCCCUUCCUUAAUGGCGGUCUCUCCAUGUUCUCAACAUCAGUAAUUGAGGCAUCCAUGUUCUCCAAAUCAGUGUUUUGGACGUCUGUCCUUAUUGGUGGUCUCUCCAUGCUCCCAAAAUCAGUAUUCGGGAUAUCCUUCCUCAUGGGUGGUCUCUCCGUAUUCCCAAAAUCAGUAACUAGGACGUCCAUAUCCCCAAUACCAGUGUUUGGGAUGUCCAUCCUUUUCGGUGGUGUCUCCCUGUUCCAAACAUCACUAUUCAGGGCAUCAUUCCCAAUAAGUAGUCUCUCCCUGUUCCCAGAAUUACCAUCUGGGGCAUCCUUCCUUAUUUGCAGUCUCUCCUUUUUCCGAAAUUCAGUAUUUGGGACAUUCUUCCUCUCUGUGUUCCCAGAUUCAGUAUUUGGGACGUCGUCCUCUACAAGACCUAUCAAACUCUCUGAAGUAGAAGGAGAAGAGAAUUCAGGAGCGAGACUUGUACCUUUUCCUCUAUUUGUUGGUUUUUUCCUGGGCUUCCGCAUAUCAUCCAACCACUUUGGCGCAUCCUUCAACAGCUUCCAACAAUGAUCAAAAGGAAAUUUUUUCUUUUCCAAUUUUUCGUAUAACUGUUUCGCAUAAAAACUGCCCAAAGAAGAAGAAAAAAAGAUCAUUACUAAAUCUACCAAACUAUGAUUACCAUAAAUAACAUUGAGAAAAAGAAGAUUACCUUAUCUUGCCCAUUCACGCCGUAUUUGUGCUUCUCUUCCACUUGAGUAACAUACUCACAAAACUUCUUGGUUGCUUGUUGAAUAGCUGACCACCGUUGUAGUAGUGACCUCUCCUCUCGAUCACUUGCAAAUGUUUUGUAGCUGUGAAAAUAAUCCGUCACUCGCCCCCAAUAAGUAGUCUUUGAUUGACCUUUUAUGUGCACGACAUCCAUGUUGGUUGCAAGCCAUCCCUGUGUGAGAAGAACAUCUUCUUGGCAAGAGAAGCUCAGGCCUCGUAGUUUUCUUUCGACGGUAUCAAGUAAUUGUGAGUAUUAAUCAAUAUUUUGGGGUGAAGAACUGAGGAUUCAUGUGAAGAUGAAUAAAAACAGUAACAAGAAGAAAAGAGUAUUGGGAAUUACAGCACUGCAGUCAUAAAAUGUGUACAAAAAUGUUAUUUACAUACAAUUAUAGGUAAAUCGAACUUAAACUAAUGAACGAGAAGCCAUUUCUUCUAGUUAAAAAGAAUGAAGAAACCGUUUCCUAAUCUCAUUUUCACACAGAAAAUUUGAUGCGCAAAAAGUCUAGGGGACAUUUCUUUUCGGGUUUGUUACCUACUAAACUCCAUUCGGAGAUGAUGUUCUACUAACAAGAGUGAUGAUAUCACCAGCCAUACCAUGAAUACUCUAAUACCACCUUUCAAGAAGGGUUUGCUUUUUCUAUGAGCAACAAUCCAAGGGUAAGCCAUUUGAUCAGACCAAAGGAAACAAUUUCUUCAUCAAAUCAAGGGAAAUAGACCAUCAAAUUGGACAAGGCAUUGAACUUGCUUUAAAUUUUGAGUCGCUCCAGAAACUCACAAGCUACAAGCCUACAACUCCAGUGCCUCACGGCCAAGCAUGCCUCAUAAAUGAAAAGAAAAAAAUAAUAAUAAUAAAUAAAAGAAAAAAAACAUCAGAAGCAGAAAAAUCUACUUUUCGAUCUCUCAAAACAUAAUUGUCAUUGACUCAUUGAUCCAGAACUAAUUAACUGUUGUGGCACAACUAAGGCAAGCUAGAACAAAAAUACAAUACAAGGGUCCUCUAACAUUCUUUAUAUUGUACACAACUAAAAUCCUCAGUAGUUGAUGUGAUUCUGAAAGACAUUAUCCCGACUCUCAUUCCAAAACAACAAAAAGAAACCACAUAAACUAAGACUCCUACUACAUCAUCACCCCUUUAGAUAUCGUCUACUUUGGUGAAUGGUCAGCUUGCUUUUUGACAAAUAGCUUUCCUACAUCUUCUGUUACAAUGUUGCUCCUGGACCCAAAAAAGAGAAAAAAACGAUGAUGAGAACAAAAACUCUGACGUAUAACAAAGUUGGCAUAUUUAAUGUUGCUCAACAGAUACAAUACGCCAAGUUCAGGGAUUGCCACCAUCAGGAAGAAAAAGGACCAACAGUUUUAGAAUUGUAAUCAAUUUCCAAACUUUACCAAACACAAGAAAAUUGUAUUUGAUCUAUACCUACAAAUUCUUUAACAUAGCCAUCGUUUUAGCAAGAUUUAUGCACAGUGACCUUCAAAUACACAAACCUGGCCCUUUACAGUUGAAGACAGACUUAACAAAUGUUUUCCGAGGAGUAUCCCAUGAAGAACGUAUCCAGUCACGGAAUCAAAUAUGGCGCAGUAGUAAGCAACCCAAAUACAUCUUUUCAUGUAAAAGCAAAGGCAAAAGGAUGAACCAAUACAAGUACUGCGGAACCCUAAGAAUAUAGAGUUGUGGAGCAGGAUUCUUAUUACAGACCAACUUAAAAUGAGUCCACUCAACUAAGUCAUCAUGACUGUUAAGUGUUAAGCCACUACUGCACACUCCAUGUGUGCAAUUUUUACCCAUUAAAAAGAGUCCAUUUCAUUAAAAGUCUUAAGUUAUACAGCAUAUGGCUCUCUCAUGUAAAUAUUACAAGUAACUGCAGAGAAUAUGGAAGAGUUUUGAACUUAUGAGGGAUAAAUUUUUCUAAUUUAAACUUUAAAGUACAACUUCACACUCUAUUCACUCGUUGUAAUCGUAUAAUUUAUUCACCAAAACUCAUUGCUAACACAAAUCUAUAAACUUUUUUUCCCUUUCAAUAUCGUCAUAGCAUGAUCUCUAUGUGAACCGAGUUUAGUUGGGAUUCCAAAAACAACAUAGCAAGUUAGCAUUUAAAUCCCAAAUCAUGACUGCAUGAAUUCUGAAGUUGUGAUUACUCAGAUUAAGCAACUUAAGAUGCAAUAUUCAAGAAAUUAAAGCUCAUAUUGCAAGUUAUGAAAGCAUACAAAAGAGUAUGUGAGUAUAGCUAAACAGUUAAACAAAAGCAGAAUUUAAAUUCCAGAUAUUCAAACUGACCUUCCACUAAGCUGAGGCGGAACCAGCAGACCACCAACUGUAUCUGGAACAUUCUUGGAAUGAGGCAAGCUACCUCUGGGAACUUUAGUGCGGGGAACAGAGGAAGCAAAUGCAUUCAACUCUCUCUUACGUGAUGAACUCUCAGCCAUUGCAGCUGCAACACGAGAAGAGUGGUCGCUGCCACUCACCAUAUUGGAUGAGAAAACAGGAGAAUUCAAGAGCAGCGAAGCAUCAGGAAGUUGCUGGAUUGAAGGAGCUGAUGAACGGGCAGAACUUUCCGGCUGCUGGUGUGAUAAAACAACUGAUCUAUUACACAGAAAAAAAUAUACCAAAUUAAAAUUCAACUCGAGGAAGGAGAAGCUUAUAUAAAACACUGUGACUAUUUUCCGAGCUGUAAAAAUUUAGGACUGCUAAGAAAAACCCUCAUUUAAUACAACAUUAUGCAACACCAUUCUGUCAACCAACAUAGACACCCAAGAAAAAUUAAAAAAAAUGAAAUUCUCUUGUAUACUGUGCCUAUCUCUAAGUUUUAAUUUUCCGGCAGACCGGGAGUUAGCCAAGUUGACUAGAGCAGUGUGGAAUAUUGUUUAGAUGAAUUUAGUGUAGAAUAUCGUUUCUAAAAAGAGAAAAGUUUAAAUUUUCCUAAAGAGGGGAUAUAACCCUCAUUGUAAUUAAGCUAAUUACAAUAUGCUUCUUCCCAUAAUCCUUGAAUUUUCCUUUCUUAUUUACAACUCAAAUACGCAAAAAUAACAGCAUCCCAACACAAUUUUUCUACAAAUUGAACAAAAACAAUAAAAAUUACUCAGAAUAUCAUAAACAAAUAAAUAAAAUCAUAAAAAAAUAGUGAUAAAUUCGAAAGAAGUAAAAGAUUACAACUUUAACAAAGAAAUUGAAGAAAUUACUGGGUGUGAGGACGAGUCGGAAGACCCGGAAUGUCUCUGGGAACUUGUUGUUGUGGCUCGUUUUCCUUGUUUUCCCUAACCUCCUCCUCCUCCGGUACUUCGUCGUCUGAAGAUGGGUAGUCCACCAACGACAUCUUUCGGCUUUUCUCUUUCACGCUUUCACUCUAUGCCUCUUCCGUCUCCGCUGUUAUUUUGGCCUGCUCGGUAAUAAAAACGCUGCUACUUCUGCAGUAUUUUUUUUUUCUCUUUCUUUAUUGGCAUAAAUUUGCAUAUUAUAUUUAAGAAGAAAUUGCAACAAUGGUUCUCAACUUUAACACAAUUGGAGAAAUUGUUCAUCAACUAAAAAUCUUUGACUACUGAUCCCUUUACUUAUCAAAACGUGUAGCUAUUGUUUUUUUCGUCAAAUUCGUUAAAACUUAGUCACGUGUUAUGCCCGUGAGACUGAAUCAAGGGGCAAAUAUAGAAAACCAAAUAAUGGAAAAAAUUGUAGCAAUGAUUCCUCAACUUUAACCCGAUUAGAGAAAUAGUCUCUAAACUUUAACCUCAUUGGAGCAACAGUUCCUCACUUUAACCCAUCUGGAGCAACAGUCCCUCAUUUUAACCCAAUUGGAGUAACCGUUCUUUCAACAUGAGUUAUUUUGAAAGAAUUCUAAUGGAGUUGACGACAAUUAUCAUAGCUACACGUUUUAAUAAGUUAAGAGACCAAUGGUCAUGAAUUUUUAGUUGGGAGACAAUUGCUCUAAUUGGGUUAAAGUUAUAAGGAUCAUUGCUACAAUUUUCUCUAUAUUUAAUUUUUCUUUCAUUGAAAGUAUUACUUAGUGGUCCGAAAAAUCAAACGGUUUAAUUAUGUAUAUCUGUACCACUGAGUGAGACGUAUCAUUGUAGUUAGACAUUGAUAAUAUAAUCUAAUUUAAAGUUUUAAAUUACAAAGAGGAGGGCUCUAAAUGAGGGAGUCGAACUGAAUAUCAUUGUGCUUAAAUUUCACUGGUUUAACAAUUAUUGAGCUCAGGCUUGACUCGCUACUUAUAUGAGCCGAGCUCUAGCGAGCUUCAUAUGUUCAAGCUCGAUACCAAUCACAAACUAUUUCGAGCUAUUUUCUAUUGUAAGUUGGUUGGAUUGUGUAAACAAUUUUGUUACAUGGCAGUACAUGUCAAUAAUAGAUCAUAUAAAACAUAAAAAGUUCUAUCCAAAACUUUCAAACACACUACUUUAAGGUAAGAAGCGUAAACCUUUCGAAGUAGACAUAAGUACUUGGAACAAUGAACAACUCGGCAAUAGGACUUUGGCUUUUGAAUGUUUAGGGUUCUUUGGGCGCCAACUUGUUUUGUUAGCUGAGUUUGUUUGACUUGGGCCUCUAAAUACGUAUUAGGCAAAUAAAAUAAUAUGAUUACACCACGUCUAAUCAAGACUGGAUGAUAUUUUUUUUUCAUAUAUUUUAGAGAAUUUUAACGAAAAGUUCACGGUACUGUUCACUUUAACGAAAAACCAUACUUUUAUUCUAAAAAGUCAAACAUGAUACUAUUUACUUUACUCUUUAUUUUGUCCUUAUCAUUAAAACUCAAAGUCUUCAAGUCAUUUUCAUUAGUUUUCCUUAAACCAUAUUUUAUUACGUGUCAAGCGUGAAGGAUUGAGCCGAGCUCAAUCCUUACUUCGAGCUCCUUCGUAAAAAAUUUCGAGCUACUCACGAGCUUUAAGAGCCAAACAUACUAAUGUUCAAGGUUGGCUUGUCAUAAAAUCGAGCCAAUCUAGGUUGGAUUUUUUUGACGGGCCAAACAACUGUUUCGAAUCGAUUUACGGCCCUAACAGAGAGCCACAGAGGGGUACUGAAUUUGGGUGCAAAAACAAACAUACCGUCAGCCAAUUUAACUACGUCCAAGGUCUAAAAUAUCGAUAUUAUCCCGAUAUUUUUAUCGAAAUUUCAGUAUUUUUGAACUACCAAUAUUUCCGAUAUCAUCGAUAUUUUAAACCUUGAUAAAAACUCUAUAUGGUACUAAAUCACUCAUGUAUCUUACUAUGCAAUGUAUAAAGUGUAAAAUAUUGUACUAAUUCAUUAUAUAUAAAUGAUUAUGGUGUGUUUAAACUUCUUUUAUUAAUUACUACAUAUUUUCUACACUCACAAUGUUUACCAGCUCACUAUAUAAUCAACUUAAAUCAGUUAAAUCCAUCAUGCAAUGCAUUUCCUUCCAAUUUUUUAUAAUAAACUAAUAGAUAAUUGACUAAAUAAACAUCAUGCAAAGUUCUUACAAUUUCCGUGGUUUUUAUUCAAUUUUUAUCGAUAUCGAUAAUAUCCCGAUAUUUCCAUAGAAAUUUCCGUGUUUUUUAACUGCCGAUAUUUCCAAUAUCAUCAUUUAAUGCUAUGGUUAGUGAGAGGUCUUAAAUUCUGGGUUUACUGCCAAAACAAAAUUCACCAUCGGAAAAACCAUCCGAUAACCAAGCGUUCUCCUGAGACAUUAUUCACGCGGCAGACUGCUAUACAAAACCACAACGCCAGUGCUUCUUGCUACAUGCUUGAGAAC
This 169697-nucleotide long non-coding RNA is filed under the name Malus domestica (apple). RNAcentral's name for it is "long non-coding RNA (MDOM_LNC006444)". The stretch from base 135604 to 135909 matches the Rfam family "Bacterial large subunit ribosomal RNA", at positions 2101 to 2460 of the family's 2925-position model. Lineage: Eukaryota; Viridiplantae; Streptophyta; Magnoliopsida; Rosales; Rosaceae. The record is from RNAcentral.